RNAcentral lists this long non-coding RNA (99224 nucleotides) under Malus domestica (apple). RNAcentral's name for it is "long non-coding RNA (MDOM_LNC006475)". Lineage: Eukaryota; Viridiplantae; Streptophyta; Magnoliopsida; Rosales; Rosaceae. The record is from RNAcentral.
CUUUUUUUUUUUUUUUUUUGGUCAUAUAUUUUUAAAGCCUCUUCAUUAUCAGUUUGGACUUGAUUGACCUCUAGGUUGGACACAUGACGAUGAAUACUUACUUUGUUUGCUCUAAUUAAGGAUAAUCCCAACCAUGGAAGAAAAUGCCGAUAAUAUCGGCGAAAUAUCGCCGAUAUUAUCGGUUUUUCGGGAUGGCGAUAUUAAAAGUGGUAUCCGAAUGCUUUUCGGCCAAAUAUCGCGAUAUUAUCGAUAAUAUCGAUAAUAUCGCGAUAUUUUGGAAAUAUCGGCGAAAUAUCCAUGGACGGUGGAAUCGGAAUCCGAGGCGACGUCGGAGAAGAACGCCGGAGACGGUGGGGCGAUUCCCGGGCCGGUUUCGUCCCAAAAACCUUGCAAAAACACGAAUCUUAACAUCAAUUUCACAUAUAUACAUCAGAUUUCACGCAUGCAUAAACGAUUCAAGGCAGGGUGAAGUCGGUUUAGGGUUUAGGGUUUCAUGGAAUCUCACCUGACGAAGACGAAGACGAACGAUCCUUGCUCAGCGGCGCACCUCUGACUUCGCCUGAGCCACGAUCAACGGCGAAGGGAGAAGAGAGAUCGAGAGAUCUGUGUGUGUGUGUGUGUGUGUGUGUGUGUUUGGGAGAAGAGAGAUCGGAGAUCUCUCUUUGUAUGUGGGUGUUUGGGAGAAGAGAGAUCGGAGAAGGGAGAAGAGAGAUCGGAGAAUGGAGAAGAGAGAUCGAGAGAUCUCUGUGUGCGUGUGUGUGUUUGGCAGAAGAGAGAUCGGAGAUCUCUGUGAGUCCGAUCUCUGUGUGUGCGUGUGUUGGACUUGGAUCCGAUGUCAACCUGUGGAGCUCUCUGUGUGAGUGUGUGUGUGGGAGAAGAGAAGGGAGAAGAGAGAUCGAGAAGGAUGAUCGAGAGAGAGAGAGACUGAGGAGCUCUCUGUGUGAGUGUGUGUGUGGAAGAAGAGAAGGGAGAAGAGAGAACGAGAAGGAUCGAGAGAGAGAGAGACUGAGGUUGUCUGCGUGCGUGCGUUGUGUGUGCGUGCGAUGUGUCUUUUGAGUGUGUGGGUUCCUCCUGUCAGGAGGAUACAACUCACUCAAUAAUCCCUGACAAGUUGGGAUGGAAUCGAGCGACUCAUGGAAUCAAUCCCAGCCUCAAUCUUCAAAUGAUUUUUCUUAUGGACAACCUCAACCAAUCUCGGAUCCAUAUGGGUGGCAUAUUAACAAUUACAUGCAAAACUAUUUUGGGGAUUUAUCAUUUGAUAACUACUCUUCACAAUACACUCAUUCUACACAUAGAGAUGAUGACGAUAGUGACAAAUUAGAACCUCAUAGGAACUCUAUGUGGUACUAAAGUGUAAAAUAUUGUACUAAUUCAUUAUAUAUAAAUGAUUAUGGUGUGUUUAGACUUCUUUCAUUAAUUACUACAUAUUUUCUACACUCAUAAUGUUUGUCAGAUCGCUAUAUAAUCAACUUGAUAAUGUUAAAUCCAUCAUGCAAUGCAUUUCCUUCCAAUUUUUUGUGAUAAACUAAUAGAUAAUUGACUAAAUAAACAUCCUACAAAGUUUCAAUAAAAAUUUCCAAGUUUUUUUUACAAUUUCCAUGGUUUCCAUGUAAUUUUUAUCGAUAUCGAUAUUUUACCGAUAUUUCCAUCGAUAUUUCCGUGUUUUCGGACUACCGAUAUUUCCGAUAUCACCGAUAUUUUCUUCCUUGAUCCCAACAACAUAAUUGUUACCAUAUUGUUAUAAUGUUUCAUGGAAAAACAAUGAUAAAGGAAUGACAACUAAGUGCUAGCUAUAUGCACCUAAGAACUUAUGAUUCCAUAUACAAGAUACAAUGAAUCAAAGGCUCACAAACAAACAUGUAAAUCUUAGGUUUGAUUGACUUCGCUCCAAACUCCACAUGUUUGUUAAUUUUACCAUCUUUUCAAUGCGCCGCAUAUAUACCUUCACAAAUUUCUCAUAUAUAUUAGGGGUUAGGGUUCAUUAACCUUCGUAGGAAAAGGAAAUAAUUAAGCCACUUAAUUAUUUUGUCAAAGAAACAAGAACUAGCCAGUCCGCUUUAGUUCAUAAAACUUUUCAUUAUAUGUAGCGUCCUGAUGAGGACUAGAUUUAUAUAAAAAUCUCUUUAAAAAAAUGUUCUAAAAACAAUCAAUCCCCUCAAACAAAGAGUGAAUGAUCUUUUGUAAUCGAAAUUUUGAUUAAUAGUCGAUCAGCUUUAAUCACAAGAUCGAAGUUUUGAAGGCCAUAACGUUUCCACAUCAAAUGAAUAUAAAUUUCCAGGACAUUACAUUUAAAAGAUCAGUAAGUUUAUGGGAGGUUUAUACUAACAUAAUAAUUUUGCAAUAAAACGUGUGCUAAUUUGAGUGCAAUCGAAACGCAUACACAGACUCAUGUUCUAUUCAAAUCAUCACUGUUAUGUGAUCAUUUGGAAACAAAAUAAAACCCACAGAACACUGAAUACAAUCAAAAUACAAGAAAUAAACAUAACCUUUCAUAACGAUAUUCUAACUACAAAUGAUCUGUGGAUGGAAAUACAAAUAAAAGCACUCAAACAAACUAGCAACUAAUCGAACUUAAACCAAACACUGUGUCUAUGUUCUACACAAAUAAAAUUUAACAACAACGACAAACAAACAACAACAAAUUUAAAGCUUAAGAGAUAAAUCGAGUCCAGAAGCAUCUGUAACGGGUUCCAGAGGCUCAUGGCGGAGAACAUCAUCAGCAAUGAUUGGCCUGUUGAUUCCGAAGUUUGAACCACCAAAGUUGCGAGAAGAACCAAUUUCCUGAUCAAACCUUGAAGCACUGCUGGUUCCUGGAAUCCCUAACGUUCCACUGGGAGUAGUAUUAGCAUGAACGCCAUGAAGGUUGAGCCUAUCAAUGGAGGAUUGAAAGUUAUUAAUGAGGCCUCCUGGCCUUGAUGAUGACCAACCCCCAGCACCAAUACCAUGGCCAAAGCGCCCGAACCCGGACGUCGAGGCAGACCAUGGAUAAGAAGGCUUGUGAAUCAUGGAGUCCAUCCUAACCCCAAGAGAUCUACCAUAAGAUCCAUAGAGAGGGUGUUGAGUGAUACUUAAAUAUGGACUAUAAUAACGAUAGGAAUGUCCGAAUAGAUUGUCCAUUCCUAUUCCUCCUUGGCGCCUUUUGGCCAAGGCACGCUCUUGUUUGUGAGCGUUUUGAUGACCUCCCAAUGCUUGGGAAGUAGAGAAAUCUCUCUUGCAAAAGUUGCAUGUGAAAACCCUAGUUCGGGGUUUUCUCCCAUCACUACCACGCGGGCUCUCGCUCCUUGGCUCAUUGUGUUGAGACAAUAACCCUAAUCCCCCUGGGUUCAAUGAUGAACCCUGAUUCAGAGGGUUGAACAGAACGAGUUCGUUCGAAGACCCUGACGCAUGACCAGGGUCGUUGUUGGAAAGCUUCAGAUCAAGCAAGGCACGUGAACUUGGUGUUAGUGAUGAGGAUGAUCCGGCUGCCGGGGGUGGCUUUUUGAGUUUGGGUUGGGGUUGUUCAUCAUCAGAAUCAUCGAUGAUGAUUUUUUCUUUCAUUUUCAUCUUCAUUUUUUGGUCAGGAAGGUCAGGAGGAGGGGGAGGAGGAGGGCUAUCUUUUUUUGGUGGUGGAGUGCCAUCUGAGGCCCCUGAGAUGUUAGAGGCUUCGGAAGGGCUUUGAUGUUCUUCAGCCAUCUCCUGAACUAAUUAGAAAAGAAACUUUGGGUUUGAUGAAAAGAUUUGAAGACAUCAACUCCUUUUUAUUAAGGGUUUGAGUUAAUGCUUAUCGCUCUUGUUUGGAAAGAAAUCCCAUAUCGUAAUUGUAAUAUGCAUUAUAAUAGCAUAGGAUUAAAGUGGUGACUAAGCUUUCGCUGAGAUUUGGCUUUUGCUGAGAUUUGGCUUCAUAGCCAAGACUUUUGCCCUCACAAUAAUUAUAUCAUUCAAACAAAAAUUGCAAGUACAAUGUAAUUCCGGCUAUUUAUGUAGAUAUACAUGUCAACCUUCUAUACUGAUAAGUUUUCAUACGGGUGGCAAUAUCGACUUUUUAAGUAGCUUUAUACUGGAUUUGAACAACCAAAACCCUACUUGGUAAUAAGUUACGACCAUGCAUUGCAAAAUAAUAAUUAAUUAAUAAUAUUAUAUAGAAAAUUGGUAAACGUUCCUGUUUAACAUAAUUGCAUGUACAUCCAUCUAGUUAAGUGUAAAAUUUUAAGUGAAAAAAUGCUAGCAUCGGUUCUCCACGUAUACUACAUUAAUCAAUAAACGGGCUCAGUUGAAAAUUGCUCACGUGGCACACAACUAAUGGUGUCGAAAAAAAAAUUAACCUCCUCUUUAAUGUACGAUUAUGAUAUACAGUUUUUUUUUUUCAUGUUGUAUUAGUUAAGCAUUGUAAUUUUUCUUGAAUCAAUAUUAUACCGUUCAUAAAAAAAACAAUAAUAAAAGUAUUUAGUAGUUUGAUCAUAACAAAUGUAUUAUAUCAUCAAAUGGUCACAAAUAAAUCCCUCUUCCUCUAGUUUUGGGCUUGAAAGAAAUAAACUUGAUCGAUUACAAUGAAACAUUUAAAAUCUCUUAGUUAAAAAAUAUUAAAAGAUAAAUAAUUUAUUAAACAAGGAUAAAAAAAAUUAAAUAAAUAAAUAACAGAGACAAGUUAAAAAAUUGUUCAACAGCAGCAGUAAAAAAUAUAUUGCAUUGAACUAUUAAUUUACCCCUUCAUUAUAAUUACCAUGUUACAUUUCCAAUCAAGAGUUCAAACUUUGAAGGUUGUUUUUCCUUCUACCUAGUUUGGCUUUAGCACAAAUCAUGCAACUUAUUACUGGGAAAAAAAAUUAAACAGAAAAUCCAGCUUUGAUUACAUUAGAUAUGACAAGGUAUUAAUUUUGAAGGUUGUGAGUUGUAUGAAGAUAAGUUCAAGAAUUUAACCAAACACUUGCAGGUAAUUUCCAUAUCCAUAGGUUAAUGCAUGCACAGUGAAAACUAGUUGUCACUAACGUUCGUAUCCCAAAAAGAUAGUAUGUAUAUUUCCUAAAACGUAUCAAUAGUAUUCAUUGUAAACAUGGAAUUAAGAUCUAUGUACAUCAACUUAUUUGCCUUCCAAUUCCGAAGGAUAAACUGUGUCCUUUAUUGGUUUAUGAAAUUUUGAAAUAUCACGACUGUUCGAAUGUUUGUUUUAUAAAUUCUAUAUUUUCUUUAAGAAAGGGUUUAAAUUGUAAUAAAUAUUAGGCUGCUAAGAAAAUGGAAGAAUAUGAAAUAGAAUUUAACUUUUGUGAUCUGUGUGCCAUAAGAGGUGUUCCAUACAACCAUGGAUUCAAAAAGUUGGGUUUAAUUUAGACCAUUUUCGUUAGAACAAGUAAUUAAUCAAGACUGUCCAAUCAAAUGGAUGCCAUGUUUGCCAACCUUCUAUUCUGAGUGUUAUAUGGGUGGCAAUCAGUGCAUCGAAUUUUUAAGUAGCUUGUACUGGAUUUGAACCUGGAAACUGAACUUGGUAAUAAGUAAUUACUGCGUGCAUGGAAACCAAGAAUGUUAUGUACAUUCCUCUUCAAGUCAUUUUGAGCGUGUAAAUCGCACUCCACUCAUAAUAUCAAAAGUUAAAUGUUAUGAAGUCAUAUUUGACGUCAAAUGUGGUGAUGCAAGUUAUUUCAUCUCCAAUGUAUACGGAGUCAAAUUUGACCCUUAAUUUACCAAACACUAUAACACAGCUUCUUUUUGCUAAAAGCACUUUCAUAAUUAUAGUUUACUAAAUAUUUUACUUCUUUAUUUCACAGUUAAUUAUUCUCACAACACAACAUAAGCAUUUUUUCAAGCACGGUAAUAUCAAAGUAGCCCGAACAAUAAAAUUAACGAUUUUGAGAAAAGAAAAAAAAACAAUAAAAUUAACGGAAAUGGACAGCUUGAACGACAUUAAUGUCCGACAGUAAAAUGUAUCAAUCUUCAACUUUAAAACCAAAAGAAUGAUACACGUCAAUUUCACCCUUUGUGAUAAAGUAUUUUUGUUUGGUCUAAUGUUGCUUGUCUCGGUGUGGGCUUCCUUGUACUGUUUUGGCAUCUUUGCCGUGAAGUGUUAUUCUCAGUUUCUGAAAAAAAAUCUAUAUGAAUUGAAAUGUUUGAACUUGUUAGCCCAUACGUAGUUUAGUGAUACCACAUUUCAAGUACACCUCUACUUGUAAGAAGAUUUAAGCUACAUAUAAGUACAUUGAGUCGUCGAUUGGAAAAUAUAAGAUAGUCUCAUUCUUACAUCCAUUUUUACCUCCCACACACUCUUGUUAAUUUUACGUGAUUGAUACUCAAUCCAUCGUAUCCUGCGGCCGAAAAUUGCGAGAUGUGUAAGAAGUCAAAAUGGGUGUGUGUUUAGCACUACCCAAAAUAUAUUUGCAAAAUGCUUAUCACCAUCGCUUACUCCCCAUCGUACAUAUACAUACCAUAUUGCAAUUAGAGAGAGCACAAGGAUUACCAAACCAAUUACUUGGCAUAUUAUAUUGUCACGUUUCCAAAACGUCAAGAACAGAUCGUAGGGGAGACCCCCAAGAGCAUUCACAAAUGUUGAGCUCUCCAAUCCACUGCAAAAUUCUCAUCCGUAUCAAUAUCACUCGAUGACUCACCGUGGCUAGACUCCUUUUUUACAACCUCUGAAAGUCUCCUACGCUUCGCAGCAAUGGCAGCCUUCAGUGCCAUUUUUUUCUUCUUCAACAAUUCCACUUUUUCCCUAUAUGCCCUGAAAAACAAAAGGAGAACGAAGGUAAAAACUAACAGCAAAGAAAAUUGAGUUGCAAAAAACAAAUGAAUGUUUAGAACGACAGCACUUUAUUGCUGCAUUCACCUUUGCUCCACUGAUUCAGCCUCUUCUAUCGUCUCACCAGCAUCAAUCUGCAGCACAAUUAAAACAACCAAAGAAUUAUGAGUAUGCACAAGUCGACAUCCACGUAAUGUAGUAAAAAAAAACUAAGUGAACAAUGCAAGGACAUGAAAACCCUCACCUCCUCUUCUUCCAGACGAUUAUCGACCUCCUUCAAGUCCUCUUGUAUCAACUACUCAAAUUCUCUGUACUCAUCUCUGCAAUACAGUAAAUACAAACUCAAGGUCACAAUGUUUUCAUAAACCUAAGAGACUCGAUAUAUUAUGUACAAAAUGCCAAAACUAUAAAUCUCAAAUAACAAACUUCCCACACAACUCUUAAAUUUAGUUUUGGGAAAUUAUCAUAGUAAAUGGUUGAAACUUGUUAUAAAAAAGCAUGUUAUGCAUCAAGAACAGACAUCAAAUUAUGAUAUCACCAAUGAAGGGAGCCAUACAAGAUUCCCAAGAUAUGAAUACAGAACAUUCCUCCCCCCCCCCCCCAACGCCCUCCUCUCUCUCUCUCUCUCUCUCUCUCUCUCUCUCCAUAUUAUACAUCAAGAACACACAUCCAAAUUAUGAAACAUUAAACCCUUCCAGAGGUCAUUUUAUCAUGAACAAUAUAUUACCAGAAUUUGUGAACUUCCAAGUCUAUCUAGAAUGGCAUUUGAACAGUUGCAAGGACUUCAUACUAGACUAAAGAAAAUGAAAACAAGGAAGAGAACUUUCAAGAAAUAGCACCUUUAAAAUAUAGGACUUAAUGAAAAAUGUUCACUUACUUAACAUCUUGCUUACCAGGCUUUAUUCCUCGUGCAGAUAAAUCAGCUUCCUUGUUGUCAAAGAAGCCUUCAGGAAGAGCUCCCUUUAUUUGCUUGGCCUCUGAACUGGCAAUCUGUGAUGAUGUCUGUGUAAGGUCCCUGGCAGGCUCAAUAUUUCUUGUCUGCACUGUUUCCCUUCCUAAGAUGAUAUUGUUAAGUCAGAAAGAAAGAAUAAUAGAUAUCAUUAAAAGAAAACGAUCGACAGUUCAAAACUAAUCCCAAAAUAAUGCAAAUAUGAAUCCUCAAAGAUUUUCUGUUCUGGUAUUGUGCUUAUGACCCAAAUUACAUUUUAGGCUUCAGUUAACUAUCGUUUUGACAUACACUAUAUUAUCGUAAAAAUAAUAAAAAUAAAUAAAUCUCUGUUCAAACUGAUAUUGUCCUUUGGCAAUCACACAAAGCAAUGAGAAGGUGCUAACAGUCAUAUAGAAAAACAUAUAGGUUUCGUAUUCUCACCUGUAUUUUGCUUUUUUGCAUCAUGGUUAUCAAAAAAAUCAGGAGGCAGCUCAGAUGACGACUGCUUUCUAGGCAAUUCUGUAGAGCGUUCAGGUCCUGGUAUAUGCAACUCCACAGAAUGUUCAGGCUUAGAUUUUGGCAAUUCCGGACCGGCUUCAGCUUUUGUAUUGUUGACUUGGUUUAGUCCAGCAGAUGUAGCUUUGAAAUUACUUAGUGCCUAUUGCAAUAUAACCAUUCUGUUAGUAAUACUCAUUCAGAUACAUAUAUUAAAGAAAAAGAAUAAGGAACCAAUCUAAGAUUAAAUGUAAGUUGAACGGUAAUGUCACCUACUUCCCAGGCCCAUCACAGUUUCAAGCCUAGAAAGUGUAAAGAAGGAAAUGCUUUAUCUUUCGGCCAAAUAUGGAUUAAAUGCAAGUUGACGAAUGGGACAUCCAAUCCAUAUUAGUAUGCGAUGUAGGAACCAAACAACAUCAGUUAUUGCCUGCAAUUAGUAAAUGGGAUAGGCCCUAAGCUUCUGAUGGAAAAGUUAGACAAAAUAAUUAAAAUAAAUAACAAAACCACAUUUGAGAAGCUAAAAUAGUCAGGUUGAAUUCAGCAGUAUUUUAAUGUUUCAAGAUCACAAUACAUGAUUUGAUUGAGAUCAAAUGAGUUAAUUAGUUAUAUUUCAAGAAGCCGGUAAAAUGCUGCAGUAACCCUUUCAUGUUAUUUCAAAAAAUUGCAUCCUUCGUAUCAACUUCAAAUUUUCUACGAUACAAGAUGUUUGUUAAGGUCUCUUAGUUUCUUAAUUUUAUAAAUAGGGAAGUACUAUAUGAACAAUUAUCACCUCACGAUGUUUACGAGAUGCUUGAUGCGCAUCCCAUUGGUAUUCAGAUUUCAGAGUAAUGUCACAAACCCUGCACUCAGGCUAGUCAGAUUCAUUGUACCUGCAUGUAUCACAAAAAAGGACAGAAAGAAGCAGUCAGAAACUCUGGCUUAGCAAGUUAUAUAUGCCAACACGAGAACGGAACCAGUAAUAAGCAAAAGGUUCAAAUAAAAGGUACAGCAACGAUGACAUACAUAACAAAAUGGUGGAAAUAAACAAUGUCAACAUAAAUCUCUUUGGUUCAAGAUGCAUUCUGAGAAAAUAUAAGUUAGACAGUAUUUUCUCAGCUAAAUUCUAUUCCUAACUAAACCAGUUCCCAUGAGUUUCCUUUCAAAUCAUAAGUUUCGUACAAAGAAGAAACGGACUGCCAAACCAAAUUCGUACUUUGUACUUCAUAAACUAAAAGCUUUUGACACGAUCAAAUUCCGAGAACACAAUUUUUAACCACACACAUCAAUUGAGCAUUCAAGAAUAUGGCGAUCAAAUUCCUACUUUCUACAGACUGCAAUUGAAACACAAAAUUUACGAAAAGCGUUCUUUAAUAAUGAUAACUACAUUACACUGAAACUCCAUAACCUCUAGUUUUAAAUUCUUCAGGAAAAAUCUAUACCCCAAUGACAAUAUAUACAUAUACAUAUAUACACACUGAGGAAAAAAAAAAAUUGAAGAGAGAAGGCGUGGGUACUGACCGUACGAGAAGAGAUGCGCUUGUCGUUCUUCUGGGCAUUCAAUUUCGCACGAAACAGCGCCUUGUUCCUGCCUUUAGCAUACAUCUCUUAUAUCUAUGAAUUAUAUCUCCAUCGAAGGAUGAGAGAGGAUUCGGAGGUGGCUGAGAGCUCAGUGACGGAGUUUUACGAAGGCGACGGGGAUAUGAGGGCGCGGGUGACUGAGGACUCGGUGAGGAGGGCGGUGGAGGAAGGCGGAGCGAGAGACAGAGAGAGAACGAUACAGGAGGAAGGGUUAGGACGUGCGGCGCGGAGAUAGUAAUCAGGUGUGUGAAGGACUGUUGUUUUUUCCUGCCAAACAGCCACUGUCAUUUUCCAAAAAAACAUAAAAAUAAAAAAAUCAGCCACUGCCUUCCCGCCACGUGACAAAAUCGAAUAAGCAUCAGGUACGGUUGGGACGUACGGUGUGGAUUUUAGUAAUCAGUUGUGUGAAGGAGUGUUGAAUCCGGAUCCCUACCGUGAUCUCAUCCGUUCAUUAUACAUCGUGCGGUCAAAAAUUAUUUUAAAAUUUAAAAUUAAAUAUAAAUAGUAUCUAACAAAAACUGACCGCACGAUAUAUGAUGAACGGAUUAGAGCACGGGAUCCUUAAGAAAAUGAUCCAGUGAAAAUCAUUUUCUUGUUGAAUGAACAAUGUUUUAGAGUGGCAAGUGGUUAUUUAUCACAGUAAUAAAAAUGAAUGUUACUUUUGCAUCACAAUGUAAGUUCGAACUUCUUUAAUUCUCUAAUUUAACAUUUGAUUUAAUAAAUCUAUCGGUUUGACAAAAAGAAAAACAAUGUUUUAGAUAAUCAACACUUCGUAAUAAUCUAAAAAAAAAUAUACUUUCGAAAGUGAGAUUUUUUAUAGACUCUUUUCCAAUUAUGUUUUUUAGACAAUAUUUGAUAAUGUUGGAGCAAGCCUUAAAGUUAAAUUAUGAAGUGGUAGAGCGUCGAUGGAGAGUCAUAUUUCGAGAGAGUAUUCUUACAAUUUCUCAUAAUCUAAUCAUCAGCAAUUACAUCGAAACUAAAAUGUCCUAUACAAUAGAAUAAUGGGAGAUUUAACGAAAAACCCGCGAUACUAUUCACUUUAACGAAAAAUCAUAUUUUUACACUUAAAAGUAAAACAUAUACUAUUCAUUUGAUCCUUUAUUUUAUCUUUAUUGUUAAAACUCAAAGUUUUCAAAUCUUUUCCUUUGAAUUAAACUAAAAUCAUACGUGGCACAAUCCCAGCAUUGAAGAUCAAACGGUCAAGAUUGUAUAGCCAAGUACAAUCAUGCGUGUACUUUGAAUAAUACCUAUCAUCAGAAAGUGACAUGUGGAGCGGUGCUUCAAUGUCCUAGGUCCAACACCGUGAGUCUAUCCGAUCCUUAAUAUUAUCAUCUCUCUCUGCUUAUGUUUCUAUUUCCUCCAACUCGUACGGUCGGAUAUUCCGUUGGAACCAAAAAAACCAGUUUAAUCUGUUUGUAUUUUUCUUAUUAUUAUAUAUAUUUUUAAUUUUAUUUCAGAAGAAAUAAAAAAACGUUUCGGAUCUGAGGGGGGGUGCGAUGGAUUUUACACGACAAUGAUGAAAGCAGCAAUCAUUCUUCUGCGGCUCUGAAAAUUCGAUUCUCUUUCGGUUUCCCUGUAGUUUUGCCUUUUCGAUUUAAUUAAUGCUUCAAAUCUGACGCCAUGAGGAAGAAGCUCGAUACCCGUUUUCCUGCUGUAAGUACCCUCUUACUCUCGCUCGUUCCGUUCCUUUGUCUAGGGUUUAUGUUUUUUUUCUCAGAUCGAGUUUUAAUUUGUUUGGUUGCUAGGAAAUUAGGGAAAGGAAGAGAAAUUUUGGAUUGUUGUAGGUUUGCUGUGCUAAUCGUGGGUUUAAUUAGGGGGAUUAAUGAAUUAUGUUUCGGUGCUUUGAAUUGUUUGGUUAAAGUUUCAAUUUUUUGGGGGAUUUUUGAGAUAUUUGAUCUGGGUCGGGUUUUUCUAGGCCGUAUUGUUCUUUUCUUUGAUGGGACUAUGGUUUUAGGGAGAAUUGGGUGAUGGGUUUGUUGUUUUGGGGUUAUCUGAUUUGGUCUUGGGAUUUGGUUCAUAUCGAUGAUUUCGCCUAGGGUUUGUAAAUUGGUACUUGAAUCAUUGGGGUUUUGUUUGUGGAGAUAAACUUGCUUAGUUGCUCUUGUGGUGAUGUGGUUUUGCAAAUAGGUCAAGAUUAGUUGAUGACUUGUGAGGCCCCUGAGGGCUAAAUCUGGUCUUGUUUUAUUAAAUAUUCCUUUCAAAUGAGAAGUUGGAUUUGGGUUUGGAUUAUUUUUCAAGAUUGUAAAACAACUAGAGGAUUUUAUUUCGUGGGGUGUUAUAAAACCGAAGCUUACACUUCCUCAACUACUUUGUUAUCCAUAUACUACACAUGGUUCAAGAGUAGCUCUGUAACUGUAAGGCGCUGGCCAAGGCGAUCAAGAGUUGUGAAUCUUAUGUUUGAAACUUUCUUAAAGAAAAAAAAAGGAAGGAAUGGAAGAAACAUUUUUUUUCUUAUGCAGAUUUAGCUAUGCAUUGGUAACUUCAUGAUUGAAAAUUUGAAUGAGUGACAUACAGUUUGGUACUUUAUGAAGUGCUGCUGCAUGUCGUUUCAGUAUUUAAUUGUUCUCUUAUGUGGAGACCAAGAUGGGAUUAACCUCUCCAUAUAAUAUUAAUCGUGUAUCUGCAUGUGUAAAUUGUGUGUGAAGACUGAAAUAUGAAAGAACAGAUUCCUCUUUUAUACUUUUUGUAUAGCACCUUUGUUUACACUUCAGAGAAAGAGAUUGUGUCAAGAAUCAUGGUUUAUGCUGUUGUUUGCCAUCGUUGUUUACCUUUCCGUGACUUUUCUUUAGCUUAAUACCGGCAAAAGGGGGGAAGAGAGAGAGAGAGAGAGAGAGAGAGAGAUUAACAUUUUGUUGGUUAUUAGUCCUUCAUGUAGCAAAUAUCAUUUAAAUUACCCCGAGUUUCUUUGAUGUUUCGUGUGCCAAGUGUGGGAUUAUGUUAUAUAGGAUUUCUUUGAUAGCACUUGCCAUUUACCCUUAGAGUGUCCACGUAGGGGAUGCAAUAAAUUUUGGAGAACCCCAUAUCUUUGAGUGAAGUAUGUUGAUGAACCUUUUUUUUUUCUUUAGAAGUAGUAAUUAAGUAACUCCGCCUAUGUAAGUUUAUCUUACAUGGCCGGUCCCAAGCCCGGGUAAAGGAGGAGGGGGAGGGCGUCAGGUAGUCGACAGCCGGCACUCCACAGUUACGUCGAAUCCUUAUAAGAAGUAGUAAUUAAGUUAUUUGCCUUGUGCUUCCUAUUUGAAGAAUGAUGAAUGAUGUUUAGUUUAUUAACACUAGUUUAGCUCUGAAGUUAUACAUCUAUCUGACCCCCAUUCUGAAACACAAUUUUAAUCUGGCAGGCCCGGAUUAAAAAGAUUAUGCAAGCUGAUGAAGAUGUUGGGAAGAUAGCAUUAGCAGUGCCUGUUUUAGUGUGUGAGUACUUCUAACUUCUGGAAUAGUAAAAUAGCAUCCCACCAGGUUAUUUGUUUUGCUUUUUGGGUUGCUUAUGCUACUCAUCUUGCAUAUUAUGCAGCUAAAGCGUUGGAGCUAUUCUUGCAAGACCUUUGUGACCGUACCUAUGAGAUAACCCUCCAAAGAGGAGCCAAAACCAUGAAUGCAGUGCAUCUGUAAGUCAAAGAUUGAACGAUGUUUAUCCGUUUACUUAUUUAGUUUUAAGGGACUAAUACAAAAUAAAUUUAUAGUAAAGUACUACAACAGUAGUGAAAUGAUUACUCCAAUUGUACAGUAAAAACCUGAACCAGAAACUGCAGUUUCAAUUUGCACAAUUAGAGAGAAAUGCUCUAUUUUUAAAGUCUUUAGAACCUUAUUCCCACAAUGAAUUUUAGAAGUGCACUCUCUAUUCCACAAUUAACAACCUCCUUCUCAGCUUCAAAAAUCCUAAAGAUAGGUUAAAAAAAUUCUCAAUGAGCAGACAAAAACGAAAGAGCGAGAAUCACCCAAUUUAACCUUUUGCAGUGCAGCAGAAUGAUAGAGGAAUAUUAGAACAAGGUUAUGUGCAAAAUUUAGGUUUCCUGCUUUGAAUAUCAGAACAAGUAUUAAUUUUUAGACAUAUCAAAGUAAUAAUGUGUACUUUGCAAGGUAGUCUAUCUUUCCAAAUCAUUUUGGAUGGUCAUCAGUCAACCCAUUAGAACAGAGUUUACAUGGGAAUAUUCUGUAAUUCUAGAAGAGUCAAUUUACCCAUCUUUUAUGGUAUUUUCAAUGAAAUAUAGAAAAGAAGAGAGCAUCAAUCUCAACAUCACUUAAAUUUCUUCAGAUCCAGCCAAAUAAUUAGCAAUUGUAUAUUUUGGACGGAUGACAACCUCAGAAGACAUGGAUAUAAAUGAAAUUAUGAGAGAAUGAAUUGGAUUCCUUUAGCAUCGAACCUUUAAAUUAGAAUUCUCCUACCCAUUAGCAUCGACACAGUACGUUGGAUAGUAACAUGCUAUAAUUCUACGAUGAUCAAGUAAGCCGUAGUUCCUAGAUACAAUUUUUUAUUUUUUCAGGAUAAGUACAACAUUAUUAGAGAAAUCCACAUCAACAGUAACAUGGAGUUGGUAUACUGAACUUUAUUGCAGAGCUCAUGCCGAAGAAUGAUCUAAUUGCCUAAGGAGAGAUAUGGUUAUAUUUUCUAGUACCUGAUUAAAUAUGUUUAAGCUUAUGCCGUUCAAAUUUUCUGGCACUUGAAGAAUCUUUCUGAAGAAAGAAAGAUUCUUUCUUUCUUAUAGCCGACCCCACUUAGUGGGAAAAGGCUUUGUUGUUGUUGUUGUUGUUGUUGUUGAAGAAUCUUUCUGAAACUAAAUUAAGAUUAUCUAGUUGUAAUAUUCACUCAAAUUUGUUUUACUGCAUUAUCUUUUAAAGAAAAUUUUGCACCAGAGUUGAAUAUAAAGUGCCCUGUGUCUCCCAGUUACAUGAGCCAAAUCUUAUUUCUCUAUCCUGUUUGCAGAAAGCACUGUGUACAGAGCUAUAAUGUGUUUGAUUUUCUGAGGGACAUCGUCAGCAGAGUUCCUGACUAUACUCAUGGUCAUUCUGAUGCUGCUGCCGAUGACCGAGCCCUUUCAAAAAGAAGGUAUAUUAGAUGAUCUAUUCUUGUUAUUUCGCAAUAUCCUUAAUCCAUGAGAUUGUCAUUUGAAUCUACUUACUGAUAUAUUUUUCUGCAGAAAACCACCAGGUGAUGAAGGCAUUGACAGUGAUGAAGAAUUGAAGAGGAGCAAGAUGGUAACUUUAAUGGAACCCUACAAUUAAUCAUUAUCUUUUGUUCUUAACAUAAAACCAAUUUCCUUUUGCAAAAAGAAAAAACAUAAAACCAACUUCCACACACAUUGGGUGAUUACCUUCUCUUUGAAAAUGGCUUGUUUUUCUUCUUUUAGAUUCCACCAUCUAGUCCUUGGGCACUUCCAAGUCUUGUUCUUUUGUCUUACUCUUUUGAUAUGUACAUCCAUCACCAACAAGCGAUGUUGAUUAGCCACGCUCUCUCCUGGUAUAACUUUGCAAUCCUUACAAGUUAUACGAUCCCCUUUCCUCAUUAGAAGAAAAUCUAUUUGUGUUUUUGACAACCCACUCUUGUAGGUGAUCACAUGUUCUUCUCUCUUCUUAAAAAAGGUGUUGGCUAAGAAGAGAUCAUAUGCCAUUGCAAAAUCCAAGAUAGCUUCCCCAUCCUCGUUUCUCUCCCCAAAACCAUGGCCACCAUGAAAACCUCCAUAGUUGCCUGUCUCCCUGCCCACGUGUCCAUUUAAAUCUCCUCCUAUAAAUAACUUCUCCAUCUGAGCAAUUCCUUGCACCAAGUCUCCAAGAUCUUCCCAAAAUUUCUCCUUCGAACUCGUAUCCAACCCUACUUGAGGUGCGUACGCACUAAUCACAUUGAUAAGUUCUUGUCCUAUUACAAUCUUGAUUGCCAUGAUUCUAUCUCCUACCCUCUUGACAUCUACAACAUCUUGUACCAAGGUCUUAUCCACGAUGAUGCCAACACCGUUUCUCGUUCUAUUUGUGCCCGAAUACCAAAGUUUAAACCCUGAGUUUUCUAGAUCCUUUGCCUUACUACCAACCCACUUAGUUUCUUGUAGGCACAUAAUAUUUAUCCUUCUCCUCACCAUAACUUCCACACUACUUCCAUAGAUUUUCCCGUUAAGGUUCCUAUAUUCCACGUUCCUAAACGCAUUUUGCUCUCUCUUGAACUCUACCCUUCUGUCCUAGCUUAUUCACCCUCCCCCGUCUAAUAGGAUCAAAGUACUUCUUUUGUGUGUCCCGGGUAAAGUUGAUAGGAGCAUAUGCUCCCAAACAACUUUGAGUGGAGUCGUUCGAAAAGAAGUUUCUAUGGCCCCCUUGCUCAUUUAACACUGCAUCCGGGUGCCGAUGGAGAUACAGCGACCCUUGCUCACUUAUCACUGUGCUCGGGCCACACAGCGCGCCACUUACGGGUGACGCCCUAGCUUUAGCGCGAUUUUGUUCUGGAUUCAUUUUCAUAAGGAUUCGACGUGAUCAUGGAGUGCCGGCUGUCGACUACCUGACGCCCUCCCCCUCCUCCUUUAUCCGGGCUUGGGACCGGCCAUGUAAGACAUAGGCGGAGUUAGAUUAAAGAGUUCCUUGGUGUAUGCUUUUCGCAGACGAUAUAGUGUUGAUAGAUGAAACUCAGGAAGGGGUAAAUGCAAAGCUUAAUCUUUGGAGAGAAGUGUUGGAAUUUAAAGGUCUUCGCCUAAGCCGAUCAAAGACAGAAUAUAUGGAGUGCAAGUUCAGUGCAAAUGGAGGCCAAAACGAGUUAGGGGUGAGGAUCGGAGAUCAAGAAAUACCAAAGAGCGACCGUUUUCGUUACCUAGGAUCUAUCUUGCAAAAGAACGGAGAAUUAGAUGGAGAUCUCAACCAUAGAAUACAAGCUGGAUAGAUGAAGUGGAAGAGUGCAUCCGGCGUGUUGUGUGACCGUCGUAUGCCACUGAAGCUCAAGGGAAAAUUUUAUAGGACGGCAAUAAGGCCGGCGAUGCUGUAUGGCACAGAAUGUUGGGCGGUGAAACAUCAACACGUACACAAAAUGGGUGUAGCGGAGAUGAGGAUGCUUCGUUGGAUGUGUGGGCACACGAGAGAAAGGAUAAGAUUAGGAAUGAGGAUAUCCGGGGUAAAGUAGGAGUAGCCGAAAUUGAAGGAAAGAUGAGAGAAAAUCGGUUACGGUGGUUUGGACAUGUGCAAAGAAGGCCUACUGACGCUCCGAUUAGAAGAUGCGACUAUGGGACAGAGGUUCAGGGCCGAAGGGGGUAGAGGAAGACCUAGGAAAACUUUGGAAGAGACUCUAAGAAAAGACUUAGAGUACUUGGAUCUAACGAAGGACAUGACACAGGAUCGAGCACAAUGGCGUUCUAAGAUUCAUGUAGCCGAUCCCACUCAGUGACUUGGAUUUUCCAAGUCUCCAACCGAGAAGUUUUCCUCACUCGGGAAAUUAAGGGAACACUACCCCAACCUACAUGCUCCACUCAGAAAGUUUCAAACAUACAAGCUUCAACAAAAGAAAAUUCAAAGAACUUAGCGAAGAAGGCUUUGGUGUAUUUAACACAAUACGUUGAAAUGAAGGAAAGCUUAUUUAUUGAUAUCCCCGAUAAGCUACAAAUAUGUACAUAUACAUGAGUCAAAAUAAACACACAAGAGGGAGCCUUCACAAAGGUUGCUUAGGAGAAGUCUCAGCAGUCGGUAGAGCCCCAGAAAGAGAAGGCACCGGAGGGGGAUCAUUUGGAGCCUCAGUACUGGACAGAACCCUAGAAGGAGGAGGCAUCAGAGGUUGAUCAUUUGGAGCUUCAUUACGCGGUACAGUCCCAGAAGACGAAGGCAAUAAAUGCCUUUGGAACAAACCCACAAAUCUCUGAUGAUCAAGUAAAACCUGACCAUCAGUUUCCUUCAUCUGGUCAAGCUUCCUCUUCAUGUUUGUAGCAUAGUCAUGUGCGAGCCGGUGCAACUGUUUAUUCUCAUGCUUGAGCCCUCUAAUCUCCUGUUUGAGACUCAUCACUUCAGCCGCCAAUGAUUCAACUUGGCGGGUUCGAGCAAAUAGGCGUUGGGCCAUAUUAGAUACAGAACCUGCACACUGAACACUGAGAGCCAGCGAAUCCUUAACAGCUAACUCAUCAGACCGUUUGGAAAGUAGUCUGUUAUCUUUGGGAGUGAGAAGGUUCCUGGCCACCACCGCAGCGGUCAUCAUAUCAUUCUUCAUCACGGAAUCCCCAACGGUAAGAGGACCAGUAGGGGAGACGAAGGAUGGGCGCCAUAUGUUGUCUGGAGAAGGCGGGGCUGCCUCUUCAACAAGGUUCAAGUCAAAACGACGGUCGGAGGGGCCAGACAUUUUCAAAGGUGUUGAAGAGAGAAGAGGUCGGACAAAUCAAGAUCCUAGAAGUGCAAGAAUGAAGCUUCUACUGGUGGAGAUUCAAGUGUGCUUUGGAACUUAAUGCCAGCCCCUAUAAAAAUCUGCACUCGACGGAGCUUCAGAAAUCGAAGAGGCGCCUGCUCAGAAAUCGAAGAGGCGUUUGCUUUCUCAAAAGCUGGGCUGCUUAGAGAUAACGAGGGUUGAUCUCAGAAAUCGAAAAGGCGUUUGCUUUCUCAAAAGUUGGGCUGCUCAAAGACCACGAAGGUCGAUCUCAGAAAUCGAAGAGGCGCUCGCUUUCUCAAAAGCUAGGCUCCCCAGAGACCACGAGGGCCGAUCUCAGAAAUCGAAGAGGCACCUACUUUUCCAGCCUUGUCAGCACCUGUCACACGCACACUCAGCUUUGUGGAAAUUAUGGGCAUUCUGUCAAAGACUUCUGGGGAGGUAGAAAACACAUGAAUCUUACUGUUCAAUCACCCACUUCCCACACGCAACAAUAGCUCAUGGGUACCAUAGAUAACUUUGCCAAAGUUCUCUGCCAAAGUUGAGCACGUGAAGCUUGCAGCUCCCACUACAUCGCUCUGACCAAGAAGGGUAAAAGAAUAGCAAAGAAACAGCACUAACAAAGUUUAGACCCAUAAAUUUUGAAGGUCUAGCUACCAUAUUAUUACCCACAAGGGUAAAGGAACAGUACCACUGCUGGAUAAUUGGAAAGUCCCUGUGUGUCAACCUCUGUGCUUCGUGGCAAGGUAGACUAGCAAACAUGCCCAACCUUUACUCACAUUCGAGAAAAACACUCCCAAUAAGAUUGCUUGCUCCAAAAUCGAAGAGGCACCGUCCUUCGAAUCUCGAGAGCCAGACUCCCAACAUGACUACUUUCUUAAAAAUCGAAGAGAGGGUAAAGGAACAGUACCAUUGCUGGAUAAUUGGAAAGUCCCUGUGUGUCAACCUCUGUGCUUCGUGGCAAGGUAGACUAGCAAACAUGCCCAACCUUUACUCACAUUCGAGAAAACACUCCCAACAAGAUUGCUUGCUCCAAAAUCGAAGAGGCAUCGCCCUCCGAAUCUCGAGAGCUAGACUCCCAACAUGAUUACUUUCUCAAAAAUCGAAGAGACACUGCUCCCCGAAUCUCGAGAGCCAGACCCCCAGCAUGAUUGCUUUCUAAAAAAUCGAUGAGGCAUCGUUCUCCGAAUCAAUCGAAGAGGCGCUCGCUUUCUCAAAAGCUGGGCUGCUCAGAGACCACGAGGGCCGAUCUCAGAAACCAAAGAGGUACCUACUUUUCCAGCCUUGUCAGCACCUAUCACACGCACACUCAGCUUUGCAGAAAUUAUGGGCAUUCUGUCGAAGACUUCUGGUGAAGUAGAAAGCACAUGAAUCUUACUGUUCAAUCACCCACUUCCCACACGCAACAAUAGCUCAUGGGUACCACAGAUAACUUUGCCAAAGUUCUCUGCCAAAGUUGAGCACGUGAAGCUUGCAGCUUCCACUACAUCGCUCUGACCAAGAAAGGUAAAAGAAUAGCAAAGAAACAGCACUAACAAAGUUUAGACAUAUAAAUUUUGAAGGUCUAGCUACCAUAUUAUUACCCACAAGGGUAAAGGAACAGUACCACUGCUGGAUAAUUGGAAAGUCCCUGUGUGUCAACCUCUGUGCUUCGUGGCAAGGUAGACUAGCAAACAUGCCCAACCUUUACUCACAUUCGAGAAAACACUCCCAACAAGAUUGCUUGCUCCAAAAUCGAAGAGGCACCGUCCUCCGAAUCUCGAGAGCCAGACUCCCAACAUGACUACUUUCUCAAAAUCGAAGAGAGGGUAAAGGAACAGUACCAUUGCUGGAUAAUUGGAAAGUCCCUGUGUGUCAACCUUUGUGCUUCGUGGCAAGGUAGACUAGUAAACAUGCCCAACCUUUACUCACAUUCGAGACAACACUCCCAACAAGAUUGCUUGCUCCAAAAUCGAAGAGGCACCACCCUCCGAAUCUCGAGAGCCAGACUCCCAACAUGAUUACUUCCUCAAAAAUCGAAGAGACACUGCUCUCCGAAUCUCGAGAGUCAGACCCCCAUCAUGAUUGCUUUCUCAAAAAUCGAAGAGGCAUCGUUCUCCGAAUCUCGAGAGCCAGAUACGACAGACCACUUUUUCAAAGUGCUCUGACAGAGUUAAAACAGGUGAAACUGGCAGCUCCCACUACCGUGCUAUGACCAAGCAGGGUAAAGGAAUAGCAUUACUACUUGUUGUUAGGGAGACUCCUAUAUAUGUCGACCUCCAUCCCCAACGGACAGGCAGACCUGCAAAAAUGCUCAACCCUUCAUCAUAUCUGAGAGGGCACUCCCAACGAAGUCUUUCGAAAUAUUCAGCUUUCUUUCCCCCCGAUAAUACCUCUGCAAACAAGCUAUACUAGAGCAAGAAUAUCUCAUAUCAUCAGGGUUAAAAGCAAGAGUAUCCCAUAUCAUGCUUUUUCUCUGUCUUUUCUUUUGGCCUUGUUUUUACCUGCAAGACAAGGAGAAAGAGAGCAAUCAGUCAGCACUUGGAAUCAAGCUUCCAGCCAGGAACUGACUGCCUGGAACCCCUUACCUGAUUACUUACCUGGCAUUGCUCUCGAGUACUCAUCCUCAACAUCUUAUGUUUCUAGGGAAGAUUCCGCAUCUGCUUGAGGAACAGAUAGGGCAAGUGCGAAGGAUACAAGGAAGCAUGUGGAGACAAGCGUAACAGCACACGUGCCGAUACAUCCAUUACUCUGUCAAAAGCAAAAGUAUCCCAUAUCAGCAGGGUGGAACGUACUCUAGAUUUGAUGGACUUGUUUUGACCCUCAAAUUCUUCAGUCGGCCUUAUACUCUGGAGGAAACCAGAAAACCCUCCAGCUCAGUUCAAGAAUAAGCCUGUUGAAAGUUACUUCUUCAAAAGCAAAAGUAUCUCAUAUCAUCUCUUCUCAUUUUUCUUCUCUUUAUCCUUCAUGCAUGCUGCUGCAAGAUGGGGAGAAGGUGAACAAUCAGUCGGAGCUCUGAUUGCUUACCUUGUCUGUCACCUCUUUCAGCAGACCCCCUAGCUCGGCGACUUGGGGGACUCCUACUACAUGGUUUGUAUCGCGCUUGACCAAGCCUGAAACUACAAGUAAGGUUCAAGUGAAAUUGAUACAUUACCUUGUGCAUCUCCACCAGUUAAAGAUACCACCCCUGGAUGGAGGAAGAGUACUUCCAGAGAAGAUGCCAUAUCUACCUAUGAGACAGAUAAGGCAAGUUAAGACGACACCACACUUCGAUACUUAGAAGUUUCGUGAUUACGAGAUCAUUCUCCCACAAUAUUUCCUAAUGUCAUUUGUACUAAAUCAUUCACUUGUACUCACUAAAGGAGAGCUUGAACCUAUGUACUUCUGUAAACCCUUCACAAUUAAUGAGAACUCUUCUAUUCCGUGGACGUAGCCAAUCUGGGUGAACCACGUACAUCUUGUGUUUGCUUUCCUAUUUCUAUCCAUUUAUAUACUUAUCCACACUAAUGACCGGAGACAUCUAGCGAAGAUCACAAAAAAACGACCGUUUUCGCUACCUAGGAUCUAUCUUGCAAGAGAACGGAGAAUUAGAUGGAGAUUUCAACCAUAGAAUACGAGCUGGAUGGAAAGAGUGCAUCCGGCGUGUUGUGUGACCGUCGUAGGCCACUGAAGCUCAAGGGAAAAUUUUAUAGGACGGCAAUAAGGCCAGCGAUGUUGUAUGGCAUAAAAUGUUGGGUGGUGAAGCAUCAACACGUACACAAAAUGGGUGUAGCGGAGAUGAGGAUGCUUCGUGGGAUGUGUGGGCACACGAGAAAGGAUAAGAUUGGGAAUGAGGAUAUCCGAGGUAAAGUAGGAGUAGCCGAAAUUGUAGGUAAGAUGAGAGAAAAUCGGCUCCGGUGAUUUGGACAUGUGCAAAGAAGGCCGACUGACGCUCCGGUUCGAAGAUGUGACUACGGGACAGAGGUUCAGGGCCGAAGGGGUAGAGGAAGACCUAGGAAAACUUUGGAAGAGACUCUAAGAAAAGACUUAGAGUACUUGGAUCUAACGGAGGACAUGACACAAAACCGAGCGCAAUGGCGUUCUAGGAUUCAUAUAGCCGACCCCACUUAGUGGGAAAAGGCUUUGUUGUUGUUGUUGUUGUUGUUGAACUCUUUAAUCUAAGUGAUGUCUCUUUUGGUUUCUUUAGGAUGUCCAGGUUGAAGACAUAAAUAUUUUGUGAAUUUAUAUAUACAAGUUUGAAUAGAGGAUCCGAGUUGGUUUUGUUUGUGCUUGGGCUGAAUUAGCUGUUAACUAAAUGCAAUAUGCAGAGUUUCACUGUUGUCAAAAACUUUAUUUUACUUUUUCUCUGCAGCUUGAGAUAAAAAAUAGCAGCAGCAGCGGCAGAGGAAGAGGCCGAGGACGGGGUCGAGGCCGUGGACGUGGUCGGACCACUGAAAGAGACACUUCGCACCAUGAGACUGAAUCUGAUCCGUGCACAUCUCUUCGGCAGAUCACUGAACCUAAUCCAAACCCUGGAAUGGUGGUGGAUGAUGUUUCCGAGUCAAAGGAUAUAUUGAAAGAAAAUGCCAUUGCACCUGAUGAAUCCGAUCCAGCAGUUAGAAACUUUGAUCUGAAUGCCGAAGUUAAUGAUGCUGAGGACAUAAAAGCUGCCGCAACAGCAGCCCAAGCCGCCGCAACAGCAGCCCAAGCUUCCGCAACAGUAGCCCAAGCUGCGGCAACUGCAUCCCAAGCUGCCCCAACAGCAUCCCAAGCUGCCCCAACGGCAUCCCAAGCUGCCCCAACGGCAGCUCAAGCCUCAUCAGCUGGACCUAUCUCCGAGCCUAAACAUGAAGAAUAUCCUGGGUGGUCUCUCUCUGAUGUGGAUGGAAUGGCCAUUGAUCCUGUUCAACUUGCAAAUCUCAGCAGAAGGCUAGACGAGGAUGAGGAAGAUUAUGACGAAGAGGGCUAAAUUCCACUCGAUGGCUUAUUGUCCCAAAGAAGGGUAGCGGGAUCAAGAUCAGUGGAAAGCUCUUGAAGGAAAACUAAAUAAAAGUAUACAAAAGCUGGAAUAGCGACCUAAAUGGAGAUGAAAUGGCCCGUGCACUUUGUCCCAACGAAGAGUCCGAAUUUCUCUUCCUGUCCAAUGUUAGCAUCGUAGCAUUUCCUAACAUCCAUUUCCAGAGGUAGCAUUUCCGUGACGAUGGCAGAGAGGAUAGCCUCUGCAAAUUGACUCUUAGCAGUGUAUGAAGAAUAUGGCACCCUUGAAUAGCGGUGGAUUGCCCUAUGAGUGGUUUGCCUUUUUAAUUUACUGUGUUUGUUAUAGAUUUUCAGUACAAGUAGUAGCUUGCUCGUCGUUAUCGCGUGGAAGGUAAUAGUUCUGUUAGCCCUUUCAAUUAAUCUUCUGACCAGUGAAUUGGAUUUUCUUUUCCUUUCCUUCUCUUGCUCUUUUAAGAAGUUCCGCAACGAGAUGCAUACGCGUUGCUAAUAGUUUGCAUAAUUUCAAUGGUGGUGAAGAUUCGGCAGCGAUGUGUUUCUGCCGUGCCGAUAACAUAACGUGUCUGUUUCUUCCAUGGUUCAUCCUAAGGAAACCCUGGUGCCUCAAAUAUUAUUUGUAUAUAUUAUUUGCAAAUCUAAAUGUUUCCUGAAAGGUUUCUGGAUGGAAUGGUUUGGAAGUAUGGAGUUUGGAUUUUGAAAGCUAGCCAUACAAAUAUUAGAUAUAUUUGUGCUGCAUUCGAAACUGGUAUUGAAAUUUCUUGCUUGGAGUCGAAGUUGAAAACAUUUAGGAGACGCUACGCGUACCUGCACCCGCCAAAGGUUAAUGGGUAGGGUUUGUGUGAGUGAAAUGACGAGAACCUCUCGAUCGAUUGAGAGGUUAGAACUAAAUGAUGCAUGCCUAUACGAGAGGUUUUUUAACCAAUUCAGAAAGUCACUUGAUCACUUGAUCCUGUAUAUAUGAGGAAGAUUGUGCAUGAUACUGACGGUAGGUGUUGAGCCAAGUGCUUAAUGAAGAUAGCAUACCACCUAUUCGAAUUUUUAUUUUAACAAGCAAUAGUAUCUACAUUAAGCGGAUGAAGGAGUAGAUUAAGUCUUACAUUGGGUUACUCGUAGUAAUAUGGUUCAACUUCGUCUUUGACGAGAAUUAAAUCUAAAACCUCUCACAAUUUCUAAUAAUAAAAAUAAAAAAAAUAAAAAAAUCCUAAGACUUUUCACUUACAAGUGAAGUAAAAUACCGCUGGACCGUAAUACUAGCACCGCCAAUUGAAAUUAAUGAACAGAAAAAGGAUGGAAAAGAAAGAAGAAGAAAAUAGGGAUGGGCAAUAGACUUAUAAUACCUUAUAAUAUAGAUACAAAUUGGAAAACCGAGUACAUCACUAGUGACCAGGUUUUGUUAUUGAUUACGACACAAAAGAAACACUGAACAGCAACCAACCAUGUAUAUACACCACAAUUUGCCAUGACACAAAUUCAAGGUAACUUCAUUAUUCUUAAUUCUUACGUACUUCGACUUUAAACUUCUCUUCCUUGCCUCCCUUGUUGCACCUUUAGAAGCAUGUUGAACUUUGCUUUCUCGUCUGUCCCCUGCUUUCACAAUGUGAACACGUUAAAAUAAGCAAAAGUUCGAAUCAACCGAUCUUGCAAAUGUUUAACCAUAUAUAUCACAGCAUUUGAGCGAAUCUAACAUGUUGAAUGUACAAAACUCAAUUAUCUGAAAGAAAAAAAGAAGCUGUAAUAAACAAAACAAACUUCAUUGAAUUACCAGGAAGCUCGUGAGCAUGACAAAGAUUUAAAUGCAAAUUUGGGAACAAAAAUACAAAUUUUAAUCAUCUGAACCAUUCAAACACUAGGGUUCCAUUUGGUUGUAACGUUUUGAAAUGAGACUUCGAUCGUCUAUAAGGCUACAAAUAUGGCAUCUCAACCCCUAAGUUUUUAACAGUUUCGUUACUUUACUGACCUUUCUUUUCAACAAGAAGAUAAACAGUCUCCUUCUUGACCUUCCCAACUAUGAAAUAAGAAGAAUACAUGAAAUGCCCACUACCAUGAGGAAACUAAAAUUAAUUUGGAAAUGUAAUAGCUAGGAACUACUCAAGAGUCAAGAAAAAGGAGUAUAUUCGAGGUUGCACCCAAAGAAGAAAAGGAUCCCAAGGAACUAAAAGCUCCUCCUAGACACUUACAAUAUGAGUUCACAAACGUCACCUGGUUGAGAGCACUAAACAAGAUGAGAUGAUGUGACUGCAUCAACCAGACUGAAUGAUAUUCUUAGAAAGCUUGGACUUGACAGUUUUUUAGACAAAUAUCAUUUGCAAAGAUGAAGAGAAAAUGACGGUAAGGCUAAUAAAACAACCAAACAAAAUUCAUGGCCUAAGAUGCAUACUUUUAAUGUCUGGAUUCCCUUUCAGUGGAUAUACACGGUUAAGAUAAGAAAGCAAGGUCCGAGUCUUCAAAUUGUGGGAUUCGAAUUGGAUUUUUUGGCCUACAUUGCUUAUAAUUGAGUCAUAGAAAUGUUAAACUCUUUCUUAAACAGUCAAAUUUACAUGCGUAAGCAAACGAAAUUAAGCUUUGUUCAUGUUAAUUGCUUCCACAGACACUUAGGUCUUUCCGUGAACACCCCGUUAAAUCUCUCAAAUAGAGUUAUCAUUCCAGUAAUGUUCCAAAAUAUCACUCAUAAUAAAGUUGAAUAAAGAACCUGACAUUAUCAGCAUAAAUCCAAAUCUAAUAUAUAUGCUUCUAUCCAUAUCGACCCCAAAAAGUAAAAGACAGAUCAAAACAACCAAAACCUACCCCAAAUCAAAUACACAAUUCUCCAAAACUAAGUAAACAGUACACUUGUAAUUAUUUAGCUUAAAAUAAUGGAAGGGCAGAAACCUUGGAGACGAACAAACUAGGAGUCAGAAACAAGCUUGAACUCCUGCACUUGCUUGAAGUGCUCCCAUGGCUUUACCCACACCUUGGCUUCAUAAACCUUCUUCUUUCCGCCAUCUGUGACCUCGAUUUUCAGAUAAUGCAUAGUGCCCGAAACCACUUGUACCUUAUCAUCCAAUACCCUUACAAACUCAAGCAGAGUAUUCUGCACAAUAUUCAAUUGAUCAAUCAAUUUAUAAAUUAGGACUCUUUUCUAGGAAGCACUUCUGCUCAUAAGCACUUGUAUAAAAAGUUCUUUCAUUAGAAAGUCAUAAACUUCUUUAAAAAUCCAAGCACUUCAUGAAGAAACUGCUUCUAUGACUCGGUAGUUAUCCAAUUAAUCAAUCAAUUUCUUAGUUAUGGAUCUUUUCUAGGAAUCACUUUUGCUCAUAAGCACUUAUGUCAAAAGUUCUUUCAUUACAAAACCAUUGAAAUUUUCAUAAAAAAAUCCAGGAUAGUGCCACACCCAUGUUUGCCUCCCACGUCCCCUUAUUAAUUUUCGAGCAUUAAUCUUCUUCAAUUCAUUCUAUCCAACAGAAAAAAAUUAAGAGGGGGUGUCUGUGAAGUAAAAAAGGGGUGCGGUAGCACUACCCAAAAUCCAAACGACUCCCCCUUCCUGAAAAAGCACUUGGAAGCACUUCAUAAAGAAGCAUCCGGCAAGUGCUUCUCUAGAAAGUGCUUCUACGACAUCGCAAACAGGACCGAUCAAUCAAAAACCAUCCACAAUUUAAAUCAGAAACAAAAAGGGUACGGAAAUGGAAGGUACCUCCUUCUUGUUGUGUUCAUCGACGGCGUAGCGAGCAAGGCUUUCGGUCUCGACGCUGUUGGCGGAACCUUGGUUAUCGCGGAUUGUACCAACGGCGGCCAUGUUUGAUUCUGCGGCGAGCUCUGUAUGUACUUCGGAAUUGGAUUUGAUUUUUGUAUGCAGAAGAAGAAGAGUUUUGUGGCUAUUAAUACACACCCUCUCAAGGACGAAGACUCCGCCGACGCGCUUGACAAGGAAAAUUCGCCCUGUCGAUCCUCUGGUAUCGUGACACGUGGCGAAUCUUUUUGUUAUCCGUUUCUUCCUCUGUAAGGUUUUGUUUUCUUUUUGUUAGUUUAUUGUUUUUUUGUUACGAGAAAGGCUUAAUCUAUAAGUUUUGAAGACGACUUUUUUGUAUGUAGUUUAUGUCUUGUUAAUGUGCAUCACUGUAUUACCGUAUUAGUGACUGUUAAAAUUAGAAUUCCAAUUCUCGAAAAGUAAUCUUGUAUUUACAUUGAGAAAUUAAACAUUAUUUUCUCAUGCGGUUGUGCUACAAAUAAAAAUGAGUGGUGUUAUGACCAUCCCAUUAUCUUAUCUCAUCACCCACAUUAUAUUCACACCCUCUUUAAAAAACGUAAAAACACAUAAACUCUUUCCUCACCCACCAUUAUUCCUAAAAUAACCCUACAUCUUUAUUCUUCAAAUUUUUCUUGCUUUAAAAAAGUACAAUUAUCAUUAAACAAAAUUCUGCAACUACAAAAAUCCCCAUAAUAGUCGCACUAACCCUCUAAACCCUAGCCAUGCCGCCACCACCACCCUUGAAAACCCUAUCCUAAAUGUACCAGCACCGUCAAAACUACACCGCACCAAUAACCAACGCCCCGCCUCAGUCACCAACCAUCGCAGCAGCACCACGUCCCCAAACCGCUCUGGUAGUCAGCAGCACCAUGAGUCCCUUAAACCCUGAACCAGUCUAUUCUCGAGCCUCUCCAUUCUUGAUUGGUGUUUGCCAGCUAGAGCAAGUAACAUCCAUAUGAGAUGUAUGUGAAUACCUCUAUUCGACAAGAUUUCGAAUAACUUGGACGAAAAUGAUUAAAUCUGUAAACCCUAAUAAAGGAUUAUCCAGGGAAAUGGGACCUUGAAUCCGAUUGGAUUUUUUAUUGGGUUGAUUGUUGUAGAGGCAGUGGAGAUUACUGAGAGAGCCCGGCAACACCGCCGUGAGGGAAUAAGGCUAAGGGGAUUAUAGGGGUCAUAAUUGGGGAGGGCUUUUUAGUGUUUUUCCUUCUUUUUUUUCUCAUUUUUUUUUAUUUAGGUUUUAAACUUUCAAGUAUAUAACUAAUAAUUAGGUGCCAAGACAUGAUUGGUUGGUCUUUAGACCUUUGAAGGUCAUUUUACACAAGGGUAAAUUUGGCAAUAAAAUUAUGAGUUCAAGGUGAGUAGGGAAAUAAGACAAAGGGGUGGGCUUAACAGUACUCAAUAAUUAGGCUUGUCAGGUGAGUGGGAGGAUCGAGCUCAAGACACUUCCCCUGAGGUUAGGAGUUAGGACGUCUCUCCGAGGAAAAAGAUCCUUGCUGGAUCCUUUUUUUGAAGAUCUUUGGGAUCCCGUAGUGUUCACUUUAACAAAAAAUCACAUUUUUACACUAAAAAGUCAAUCUUGGUACUAUUUACUUUACCCUUUAUUUUGUCAUUAUCAUUAAAACUCAAAGUUUUCAAGCUCUUUUCAUCAAUUUUCCUAAUUUUAAAAUGAUUUUUUACCGCACGAUGUGCGAUGAACAAUCACGAUCAUGGAAUUCCUAAAAUCCAUAUGAAAAGGAUCAUACAUUUCAUUUCUCGUCUCGCAUAGAUUGUAUUUUACUAGUUUUCCGAAAAUAUUUUGGAAGUGUAAUUUUCUUAUAGUUCAAUUAGUGGUGUAAUUUGUAGAGAAGUCAACGAUAUCAUUCCCAAUAUCUUGGCUUAGUUUAGGAAACAAUUUUGUAAUUGAUUUGUAUAAGUUUAUUUUCCUAUUGUAUACCUAGAAAGUAGGGUAGUUUACUUCUUAGUCAAGUAUUGUUCUUUGUAUAAAUCUCUUUGUAUCAAUAGAAGAUAACACACUUCCGCAAAAUAUAUUCUUGCUCUAUUUUACAUGGUAUCAAGAGCUAGGUCGAAACCCUAGUUCUUGCCGCUGCCCUUUUUUUGCUAUUUUUCAAUAGCUUUUUUUCCGUCAACCAUCAUGGCCACUGACAAACUUUCCAAAAGUGAAGCGGCUGAUGUCAAGACUGAUGUUUCAAACCCUUUGUUGAUGGUACUGUCACACAGCCUUUCGAGAAAACCAAACCUGCCAACCAUACUACAUGGUAGAGAUGCAAUGAUAUGAUCGUUGCGUGGAUCAUCAACUCCAUUGAUUUAGAGAUUUCUGAUAGUAUUCUUUACAUGACUGAUGCUCAUGCAAUUUGGGAGGAAUUGUGAGAGCAUUAUUCACAAAGAAAUGCUCCUCGGAUUUUCGAGUUACAACGGGACAUUGCUUCUCUUACUCAAGACCAACUCUCAAUUGUUGCGUACUACACAAAGCUAAAGAAAUUGUGGGAUGAACUGGCAUCAUACAGUAACUCUACUUCCUGCACGUAUGGAGCGCAGAAUGAAAGAAAUAAAUUAAUGCAGUUUCUUAUGGGCCUCAACGAGUCCUAUAGUGCCAAUCGAGGGAAAAUCUUGCUGAUGAAUCCUUUACCAACUGUUCGUCAGGCCUAUGCUUCAAUUUCCCAGGAAGAGAAACAAAGAUCUCUUACUGCCUUACGUGGAGUCACCGAGACAGUAGCUAUGGUUGUCCAUUCAUGAUCAUCUGGAUCCUCCAGUUGCAAGCCCUUGCACUAUACUCAUUGUGAUCAUGACUAUCACACCAUUGAUACUUGUUAUCAGCUUCACGGGUAUCCACCAGGGCAUCGUCUUCACAAAGUCAAGCCUCAAAAAGGGAGCAAGCCUUCUAAAAAGGAAGGCAGUUCUUUUUCGUCUGCAAAUCAAGUUUCAGAAGGUGCCACUUUAGAAGAGAUGAAGUCAGUAAUGUCUGGGUUAUCUGACACCCAAUUCCAGCAAAUUCUUCACAUCAUGAAUAAUAAUAAAGGAGGUAACGUCUCUGUUCUUCCAAAAGCUAAUGUCGCUGCCAUGAAAACAAGUUUGUCGAAAUCUCUUUUGCCUUUACGUAGAUGGAUAAUCGACAGUGGUGCAACAGACCAUAUAACCUCCUCACCAUCUUUGCUUACUGAUGGUGUCAAAAACACCACUUUGUCACCAGUUUUAUUACCAAGUGGAGAGCAAGCUUGCAUAGUCUCCACUGGGAAUGUUCCUUUGAGUUCUACUUUUUUGUUGCGAGAUGUGUUGUGUGUGCCAACUUUUAAAGUAGAUUUGAUGUUUGUGAGUCGAAUUACAAGUGGAUUGCAUUGUUCUAUAACUUUUUCCCUUCGUGGUGUAUUAUGCAAGACUUGGCGACGAAGAAGGUGAUUGGUUUGGGUAAGCAAUGAGGCAGACUCUACUAUUUGGCAGCAUUGAUUUCCACCGCCUCUGGGAGCUCACACCGAGUCUGCAACCUUGUUCUCUCACCUACAGAGUUGUGGCAUCGACGUUUGGGGUCAUUUAUCACCUUUUAAGCUAGAUUUCAUGUCGAAACACCUAUUGCAUUUUCCUUUUCAAUCCAAUAAUGAUUGUGAUGUUUGCCCUUAGCCAAGCAAGGUCAUUUACCUUUUAAUAUCAAUUCCAUUACAACUACAAAACCUUUUGCUUUAAUCCAUUGUGAUAUUUGGGAUCCCUAUAAAAUUGCCUCAUUUUCUGUAGCAAAAUAUUUCUUAACUAUAGUAGAUGAUUACUUUCAUUUCACAAGAUUUUCCUUAUGCAACACAAAUCAGAAACACAACACGUCCUCAAGGAUUUUUUCUCUUUUGUUCAAACUCAGUUUAAUACAUCCAUUUGCCAAACAAGAGUAGACAGACAAUGGUGGAGAAUUUUUUUUCCCUUCGUGGUUUCUUCUAAGAUCAUGGGGUCAUUUAUCAAUGUUUUUGUGUCUAUACACCCCAACAAAAUGGGGUAGUCGAGCGCAAACAUCGUCACAUACUUGAAAUUGCUCAUGCUUUAUGUUUCCAAGCUAACCUUCCUUUUUCCUUUUGGGGUGAAUGUGUACUUACGGCUGUUCAUAUCAUUAAUCGUCUUCCUACCUUAAUCAUUUCUCAUCGUACGCCCUUUGAACACUUGUACUCCAAUCCAAACCACCUUCGUUUUCCCACCUUAGAGUAUUCGACUGUCUUGCUUAUGCAACCAACACCCAUCUUUCCCACAAAUUUGCCCCCCGAGCUCACAAAUAUGCCUUCCUUGGGUAUCCCGUUGGUCAAAAGGCAUACAAACUUUACAACCUUACCACUCAUACAUUUUUUACUAACUGAGAUGUUUUUCAUGAACAUAUUUUCCAUUACCAUUCUUCUCCAUCCUCUACUUCACCCACCACUACACCACUGCCUACAUCCUCUACUUCACCUACCUCCACACCACUGCUUACCCCUACACCCUUUUUACCUGAGACUCCCGAUGUUACCUUAUCGUGCCCUAGGGACUCUUCUUCUUCACCACCCGAGUCUUCUGCAAAUUUUCACCUCCCUCCUGAUGCAGCUCAUUUCGAGUCCCUUUCUACCUCAUCUGUGCCUCUUGCACCUUCUAAACUGAUGCUUCGCCGCUCUAGCCAUCACUCCUCACCGCCUCCAAGGUUACGAGACUAUGAAUGCCCUACUCUUAAGCUUACCCAACCAGAUCCUCCAUUGUCUUCGUCGUUUGGUUCUAAUAUAGGUACACGUUAUCCACUUGCUAAUUAUCUCACUUAUCAUCGCUUCUCACCUGCACAACAAUCUUUUCUUACAACUAUCACUCAACAGGUUGAACCCCAGACUUAUACUGAGGCUGGUGCUUCUCCCCAUUAGUAAGCUGCCAUGGCUUAUAAAUUACAGGCUUUGGAAGCUAAUCAUACGUGGAUUCUUACCCCCUUUCCUGUUGGCAAAUCUCCCAUUGGUUGUCGUUGGGUCUACAAAAUCAAGCUCCGUUCACAUGGCUCCAUUAAGCGUUAUAAAGCUCAUUUGGUUGCCAAGGGUUACACACAGCUUGAAGGUAUUGACUUUCAUGAUACUUUCUCUCCCACUGCUAAAAUGAUUAUUGUUCGCUGCCUCUUAGCUCUUGCUGCUUCUUGUCACUGGUCUCUCCAUCAACUUGACAUCAACAACGCAUUUCUUCAUGGUGACCUUCAUGAAGAAAUAUAUAUGCUUCCUCCUUUAAGUCUCCGGCGACAGGGGGAGAAUUUAGUAUGUCGCCUUAACAAAUCUUUAUAUGGACUGAAGGAAACAUCUCAUCAAUAGUUUGCCAAGUUUUCCAAAGCUAUUCAAUGUGCUAGUUAUGUCCAAUCAAAGGCAAAUUAUUCUUUGUUCACAAGGCAACGAGGCAAGUAUUUUACAGCACUCUUAAUUUAUGUUGAUGAUAUUUUGAUCACUGGGAAUGAUCAUAAUGCCAUUAGCAUUCUCAAAACAUUCCUUAAUAGUCGUUUCAAAAUCAAGGACCUUGGUGACUUGAAAUACUUUCUAGGCAUCGAAGUGUCACGAUCAAAGAAUGAAAUUUUCAUUUCUCAACGUAAGUAUGCUUUAGAGAUUCUGAGGGAUGGUGGUAUCUUGGGAGCUCGUCCAAUUGAGUUUCCCAUGGAGCAUAAUCUUAAACUUUCAAACAAUGGUGAGUUACUUAAAGAUCCGGCACAGUAUAGAAGGUUGGUGGAUCGAUUGAUCUAUUUAACGAUUACUAGGCCGGACAUAACAUAUUCAGUGCAUGUGUUAAGUAGAUUUAUGCAUGAACCUCGCCGUCCACACAUGGAAGUAGCUCUCUGAGUUUUGAAAUACAUAAAGAGUACUCAUGGACAAGGUUUAUUUUUCUCUUCUAAAAAUAACUUGACCUUGAGUGCAUAUUGUGAUUCAGAUUGGGCAGGAUGCCCUACGACACGAAGAUCAACCACAAGGUAUUGUGUUUUUUUGGGUUCUUCAUUGAUUUCUUGGAGAUCAAGACACAAAAAACCGUGUCUUUGUCAUCAGCUGAGGCCGAAUAUAGAGCCAUGACUGGAACUUGUUGUGAACUAUUGUGGCUCUGAUAUCUUCUAAAGGACUUGGGUUUGUUGCAUCCAAAACCGGCCUUAUUACAUUGUGACAACAAAGCAUCUCUUUAUAUUGCUGCCAAUCCAGUUUUCCAUGAGCGGACUAGACAUAUAGAGAUGGAUUGCCACUUUAUUCGAGAUAAAAUACAAGAUGGUUUAGUUGUCACACGAUUUGUUCCCUCUUCACACCAACUUGCAGAUGUAUUCACGAAAGCAUUGGGGAAGGAAUCUUUCUCGUCCAUUAUACAUAAGUUGGGAGUUCUAGACAUCCACUCUCCAACUUGAGGGGGAGUGUAGAGAAGUCAACGAUAUCAUUCCCGAUAUCUUGGCUUAGUUUAGGAAACAAUUUUGUAAUUGAUUUGUAUAAGUUUAUUUUCCUAUUGUAUACCUAGAAAGUAAGGUAGUUUACUUCUUAGUCAAAUAUUCUUCUCUUUGUAUCAAUAGAAGAAAACACACAUCCGCAAAAUAUAUUCUUGCUCUAUUUUACAUAAUUUGGCUUGUAGUUCAUACAUUUCAUUUCGAGAAUUGUAUUUUGUUUCAACAAUGGAAUGAUCAAAACCAGUUUUACUUCUUUUUGCAUUCUUUAUUUACAUUUUACGCAAUCUGUAAUUUUAAGGCCUCGAUCUUCAAGGCAUAAGAAGAACGUAAUUGAGCCAACGUCUCAUUGAGUGCUUUAUCGUUUGGUUCACACAUUGAACCUAGGUCAACACUACUACAAUAUUAGCUUUAGGUGGCGGAUAUUAGAAAAAUCAUGUCGGAUAAAUUAUAUCUGACACAUCAUUUAAUUAGUGGCGGAUAUUAGAAAAAUAUUGUCGGUUAUAUCCGACAUAAAGUCCUGACGGAUAUAAAAAAAUACUAUCGGUUAUAACCGACAGUAUUUUUGAAUCUUUUUUUUUAAAUAUUUUUGACAGAUUCUGGCAGUUUUUUAAGUUAAUGGUGGCGGUUAUAACUGACAAAAAUUGACUAUUUUAUUAUUUUACUUUCUGGUGGUUAUUAUUUUGUAUUCUGGCGGUUAUAACCGACAUAAAUGAAAAUUUUAUUAUUUUAAAAUGUUAUAUUGAUUAAAAAUAAAUAAAUAAACACAUAUUUUUUUUUUAAAAAAAAAAUCACUCAUGACAAAGUCUAAUGAACUCAUAUCCCACGAGCCAUAAAUUUUCUGAGGGAAUAAUAACAACAUAUUACAAUAUGAAGCUCUAUCAAUUUUGUAAUAAGGAUUAUGCUCCCGCACAGGCAAGCAACAAAAUACAAAGAAAUUCAAACAAUUUUUUUCAAUGCGUCACAAAACACAUUGUCUGGCACAUAAACACACAUGAAGAUCUGGUGUAUUCUAUCAUAUAUGAUUUUAUUAUUUUAAAAUGUUGUAUUGAUUAAAAAUAAAUAAAUAAACACAUGUUUUAAAUGUUUUUUUUUUCACUCAUGACCCUGUCAGAUAUAACCAUAAAAAACUUUUGUUCUGUUACCUAAUCUCUAAAUGUUUGUUUUUUGUGAUUAUUUACGUAUGCAAUCUCGGAGUAUAUACAAACAAGUUUGACGGUUGGAUCAUUGAAAAACAUUUCAUAGAAUGAGUAUCGCAUCAAAACGGUAGAUUAAACAAACACUUAAAGUUAAUGUUAUACUUCCCCAUCAAGUAUAAAAUAGAUUUUGUGGUAUCCAAUAGUGUAAAUAUUUUAAAUUGAAGAUCGAAUUAUUUCAAUGCAUUCUUAUAGGGUCGAGGAGUGUAGCUAUAAAAAUCAUCAAAAUCGGAGCUAAAAUAACCUUUAAAUUGUGAUUUUUUGUUUAUAACCAUUGAAAUUUUUUGUUUGGUUACCUAAUAUCUGAAUGUUUGUUUUUUGUGAUUUUUUACGUAUGCGAUCUCAGAGUGUAUACAAACAAGUCUGACGGUUGGAUCAUUGAAAAACGUUUCGUAGAAUGCGUAUCACAUCAAAACAGUAGAUUAAACACACACUUGGAGUUAAUGUUAUACUUCCCCAUCAAGUAUAAAAUAAGAAUUUGUGGUAUCCACCAGUGUAAAUAUUUUAAAUUGCAGAUCAAAUUUAUUCAUUAAAUUCUUAUAGGGUCGAGGAGUGUAGCUGUAAAAAAUCAUUCAAAUCGGAGGUAAAAUAACCGUUAAAUUAUGAUUUUUUGUUUAUAACCGUCGAAAACUUUUGUUUCCGUUACAUAAUCUAUGAAUGUUUUUUUUUUAUGAUUUUUUACGUAUGCAAUCUCGGAGUGUUUACAAAUAAAUUUGAUGGUUUGAUCGUUGAAAAAAGUUUCGUAGAAUGCAUAUUGCGUCAAAACGGUAGAUUAAACAAACACUUAUAAUUAAUAUUAUACUUCUAUUAAGUAUAAAAUAAGAUUUUGUGGUAUCCACGAGUGUAAAUAUUUUAAAUUGAAGAUCGAAUUCUUUCAAUGUAUUCUUAUAGGGUCGAGGAGUGUAGUUGUAAAAAAUGAUCAAAAUCGAAGCUAAAAUAACCGUUAAAUUGUGAUUUUUCGUUUAUAACCGUCGAAAACUUUUGUUCCGUUACCUAAUCUCUGAAUGUGUUUUUUUUUUACGAUUUUUUAUGUAUGCAAUCUUGUAGUAUCUACAAACACGUUUGACGGUUAGAUCAUUGAAACUAGUUUCGUAGAAUGCAUAUCUCCGUUAAAUUUGCCUAAAUUUUGAAGUGGAAAAUGUAAUUUGUGCUAAUUUUUUAUUUAUGUUUUUCAAGUAUUGAUUAGACCAUAAUUAGUUUGUGUGAUGACAUUUUCAUUGUACAGUUAUCUUUUUGUUUCUUUAUUGCAUAUUUUACAUGGGUUAUUAUCUAUUAAACCAAACAAUUAUUUAUUUAAUUUUAAAAAACGUAUUCUAUUUAAAUACAUAGUAUUUAUUUAUUUAUUAAGCCAAACAAUUAUUAUUUUAUUUUUUUAAAUCGUAACAAAAUUUGGGGGGGGGGGAAUUUAAAAUUUUGGGAGGGAAUUUGGGGGGAUUUUUACCGCCAUUUUUUUUAUGUCGAUUUUUAUUUUUAAAAAAUGUUUAUGUCGGUUUUAACCGAUAGUAAUGAAAAUUUUCCACAUUAAAACCCCUCCAUCUCUUCCUUGCACUGGCUUUCUCUCUUCCCCCUUCCUUCCCCCUUUUCUCCUCUCCGCAUUUCCUUCUUCUUUUUAUAUUUUUUGUUGAGCAUUCUCCCUUCUCCUUUUAAUUUACGAAUAAGAGAAAAACCAGAGCAAUGUUGGAAGACGAAGAGGGAAAAAACCCAAAUCUUAUCUCAUCAAUCAGGUACAUGCAAUUUUUUUUUUCUUCAGAAUUUUGGUUUUGGGUAUUUGAAGAAAUGGGAAAGAUGGGAUUUUUGGAAUGUGUGGUGACGGAGAGCAGCUGAAACGUGGCCAACGGCAAGAUAUGGAGGUCGUUUUGGAGAAGAAAGACGAUGUUGAUUGGGCUUACAAAGGCGAAGGGGCUGCUAAUGUUGUUCUCGCUUACACCUGAUCCUUCCUCUCUUUUGUAUGUUUCACUCUACCCUGAGCUUCAAUCUUGCAUUUUAAUUUGGCCUAAUCGGAUAAAUGCUCCCCGUGGUCAUAAGGUAUUCGGAUGAUAGCCCCUGUGGUAAAAAAAUUCGGAUUUAAACCCCUGUGGUCUAAGUCUGUUAGGAUUUAUGCCCAUCUGUUAAAUAAUGGUCACGUGGCUGCCACGUGGCUGCCAAAUGUCUGCCACGUGGCAAAAUAAUAAUUUUUUAUUUUUUUUUUAAAAAAAACCUGAAUUUUUACAAAAAAAAAAAAAAAAAAAAAAAAAAAAACCCAGAACCUCCCCCCCGCCCUCUGCCCAUUCCCCCCUGCCGUCCUUCUCCUUCUUCCUUCUUCUUCUUCCCGCCGGUCUCCCCGCGCGACUCCUCCCUCUCCCUCUUCCUUCUUCUUCUUCUUCUUCUUCUUCUUCUUCUUCUUCCCGCCGGUCUCCCCGCGCGACUCCUCCCUCUUCCUCUUCCUUCUUCUUCUUCUUCUUCCCGCCGGAGCCCUCUCCCCGCGCCCUCCUCCCUCUCCCUCUUCCUUCUUCUUCUUCUUGCAGAUCUGCGUUUUUUUUUUUUUUUUUUGUAAAAAUUCAGGUUUUUUAAAAAAAAUUAAAAAUUAAUAUUUUUGCCACGUGGCAGACAUUUGGCAAACACGUGGCAUAUAUGUGUCAGCCACGUCAGCAUUAUUUAACAGAUGGGCAUUAAUCCUAACAGACUUAGACCACAGGGGUUUAAAUCCUAACAGACUUAGACCACAGGGGUUUAAAUCCGAAUUUUUUUACCACAGGGACUAUCAUCCGAAUACCUUAUGACCACGGGGACCAUUUAUCCAAUUAGGCCUUUUAAUUUUUAAUUUUAAGGAAAAAGUUGAAAAUUUGUAGUAGUUUGUGAAGGGAGUUGGAAUUGGGUAUUGAUUGUUCUUAUUGUCAUGCUUAGGAAAUUUUGUGUCGUUUCCGUUGAUUGUGUAAAUGUUUGAUGUUUGAAUGCUGUGUGUGAUUUGGGAUCUCCAGGCUUUUCUUCAUUCUUCUAUUUAUGGAAGAUGUGGGUUUUCUCUUCUGUGUUUCUGUUUUCUCUUCCAUUCAAGCUCUUCCUAACCUUAUGGCAUGCGUUCUUCUGAGUAAUCUUGGAGAAUCCAUUACAAAAGUAGCACAGGAUGCUCUUGUUGCAGAGUAUGGCCAAGAGAAAAAUAUGACUGGCUUCUAGUCUUAAGCAUUCAUGGCAGCAGCUACUGGUGGAAUCCUUGGCAACUUAAUAGGUGGAUAUUUCUUGAUGAAAACGCUGCCCAGAACCAUGUUUCUUUUAUUUGCAAUUUUAAUCUCUGCUCAACUUGUUUGGAUCAAAACUUGAACUUUGGGCUCAAGAAAAGAGCUGGCCCAAAAGGAGGCCCGAAGGGAAAGACAACCGAAGCCCAGUCAAAGCCCAGAAAGCAGAAAAGGCCUUUUCUGACUUGGUGCAGCUCAUAAAGACCACUUGCUUACCUACCCAAAGGCCAAGUGGUAUAGACUGACCAGCUACACAGCCCAUAAAGUACUUUAUGAUGGCAGUACAUGUAAAAUAGCUGAUGAGUCAUCACCCUUCAAACCGCAUUCGGGCAAGGUUGCUGCUACAGGAGACCAAGCCGAGUUGUCUAUAUAAGAAGAAAGAGAAACCAGGAAUAAGGACACUCAAUCAAACAAACAAAUGCAAGCACAAACUCUGCUCAAAGCCAGAUUUGCCUUCAAAACGAAGCUGUAGUCAGCCCAAGCAUUCAUCCCUCUCGGGACAAGCCUUCAUCCCUCGCGGGAUAAACCUUCGCUCAAACCCUUGUAAUAGCUCUGCUACCUUGUUCAACCUUGCUGUAUUAUCGAUUCAUCUUUUGUAAAUCUCUCCCUCUCCCUGAAGCUUUCAUACCCUUGAUAAACCACAAAGAUAGGAACCUGCAAGACAACCAGACUUGUCCGACAAGGUUAAACCUUGCCCGACCUUCUUUGUUUUUGUCUUUUCAUUCAUUAGCCUAGCAAUAUGUUGUAUACUUCCAAUUAUAUUCAAGUUAUUUCUAGCAAGAUGACUAUUAAAAGGCUUUCUCAGUACUGGGAUCCGAUUUGAAUAUAUCUUCAGUGUUCAAACCAGAUCCAAGUUCUAAGCCCUCGGGCAUGUAAAUCUGAUUAGUUAAAAGUCCUUAGCCUUAAGGCAUAAAAAAGAACCUUAUGUGGACUUAACCCAUCCACGAUAAUCCUUGAUAAACGAGAAGUCCGAAGUUACUUGGGGCGCAAGUAAUCGACCUACCUCUUAGUCUUAUUUCAAUUACAUUAUGAUUAUCAUAGAACGCUUAAGCAUGGGAAGGAUUCUAAUAGGAAGCCUCAAGGCCUACACCUAAGGCCCCACAAAGGCACCUAUUUGGAUUCAUUCCGUUCUGCGGUCUAGAACGUUUAAGUGUAAGAACGAACUCUAAUAGGAAGCCUCAAGGCCUACACCUAAGGCCCUACAAAGGCACCUAUUUGGGUUCAUUCUACCUCUCGAACUCGGGUAAUCAGAAGUAUAAUAGUUAUAAGACUCAUGCAUGCACAAGAACAAAUAUGAUGUGUUUGAGCACAGGUUUAGUUAUUGAUAGGAAGCCUCAAGGCCUACACCUAAGGCCUCACAAAGGCACCUGUUAUAACUAACACGGUUUCUCGGGUAUAUACAUAUACAACCAAAACACGACAUCCAUUUCACAUCUGCCAUACUAAAGAUGGCAGUGGCACGCCUGAGCACUUAAAAGUUAACCUUGAUUGUGAGCCUCAAGGCCUACACCUAAGGCCCCACAAAGGCACCUCUCAAAGUUAACUUUGUCCUUCUCUUUCAGCCUUACCCGACGAGCCUUGCCCGAAGAGUCUUGCCCGACAAGACUUGCCCGACAAAGCCCUACAGUGAAGCAGAAACCCGACAGCAGCCCUCAACCGGCGCCAACCUCCCGGGGAGCUGUGUGCUCGUCGGCCAGGAAACAUCCCCGACGGAAAUUCCUGACGCGAACAUAGUUUUGGCACGCCCAGUGGGACCAUCAUUUGAUCAGAAGAUAUAUGUCAAAAUGCCAGAAGAUUUGCAAACCAUGUUACUACAAAUGUUGCAAAGAUUGGAGAAAGCUUCCACAGGCUCCAGAAAAGAAACAGACCUGGUUCCUCCCGAGGGAAAGAGACUUAAAACCAGCCCGCUAGAAGAGUUGGUGGUAAACAAACCUGUAGUUCCAUUUUCAGAAGCCCCUGUAAAUAUGAUUAAUAUGGCAUGGGUUGAGAAGGGAAAAGAAAAAAUCACAAGGGAACCAGAGGAAGAAAGAUUGGCUCAAAAACCUAUUUGAGGGGUGAUUAAAUCGCCCGAAUAUCCAAAAGCAGCCAUAAUCAAGGGGAUGGUUAUGUGUAGUAAGUGCCAAUGCGAGUGUGAGCUCGAAAUUCCCCCAGCUGGAAUCCUCAUUGAUCAUGAACUGAUCAGGAGGAAGGAAGAAGGUGAAAUGAGGAGAGCCCACGAAAAGAUCAAGCAGGCUACGAAAAAAGACACUUCCCGAAGCGUUUUUCAACGAUUAGGAGGUGAUUCCCAACCCAAAGCUUUGUCAGAAGUAUUUCGAAACCAUGAGGCUUCUGAAGAGGCAGAAGAUAUGGAGGCCAAAAUACGGAGGGGUACAUAUCAUCCUCAAUAUGGCCAGAUGGGAAGGGAAAUCAAGAGGAUGGAUGGGAUAACAAAUCCUGUCAGAAAAGAAAAACCUGCCCACCUCAGGCGAAAAUGGUACGUAGUCGGAAAGAACGAACAGCCUACCAAACAAAUGGGAGCCUCCAUGGUCAGAAGGGUUUAAAGGCAGCACAAAGCUUACAUGAAUUCCCUGAAGACCCCCGCAACAUCCGAAGCCUCCAAAAAUAAAAAAUUGGAGAAAACAUCAUCUGGGGGAAAUAGUCAGCUCUGCUGGAGAAGUAAGAGAGAGGUGGAAAAGGCCAAUAGCAAGACGGAAGGCGAGGAGAAUCACGUGCCGCAGAGCCAGCACCCUGGGAAGUAUCGGAUCUUGAGGAGAGCUCAAGAAGAUCUGGUUAUGGUACCAAACCCCGGGUGGAAGCCAGAGCCUAUUUGCGUUGGAGCUGUUUCAUCUAAAAGGAUACCACCUUCCCUGCCCUUGGUGGAUCCUUUUGGUGAAGUUCCAAAGCAAACGCUGUAUGCGGGCAUGAAUCAACAGAAGAGGGCACCAAAACCACUACUUCCAGCUGAUGCAAUGGCCUGGUUGGACGAAUUCAUGGACCAGAUUGGGGGCAAUAAAGAAGAUAUGCCCGAGCCUAGUAAUUUUCAUAUCAACAUGGCAUAUGUAUUAUCCGCCAUGUUUGGUGCCAGACCUGAUCAGCCCGCUACUAUGGAGAAUGAUUACUUGACAACUGAGCCAAUGAUGGCACAUGUCAAUGUGGAGGUAGUCGAAGGAGGAGAGUCGGGCAAGGCUGAAUCCACUGAAGCGUUCAAAGAUAGUCCUUUCAGGAUUUACACAGACGAAAUGGUGUUUAGCCGCCCGAACAGCUCGUUGGCCAAUCAUCUGAAGCCCAUAUAUGUUGCUGCUCAUUUGGAAUGUGUGCCCUUCAAAAGAAUUCUAAUUGAUUGGGGAGCAGCUGUUAAUGUGCUACCAGCCAAGCAAAUGAGGAAAAUAGGAAGAGGCACGGAGGAUCUUAUUCCCACAAACCUCACGGUCUCUAACUUCUCAGGCGCUAUCACCAAAACUCAUGGGAUAUUGCCUUUAGAAGUAGAUUUGGGAUCUAAACAGAUCAUGUUGGCAUUCUUUGUGGUGGACUGCACUUCCACUUAUGGGGCCUUACUCGGAAGAGAUUGGAUCCACCAAAGCCUGGCCAUACCCUCCACUCUUCAUCAACAAGUGGCUGUUUACCAUGAAGCGGGCACAGAAGGACCAGGCUUUUGGGAGAUGGUAGAGGCCGAAUCACGGCCAUUUCUCCCCACAGCCAAUGUUGCGGAAGCAAGUUUUUACAACCCCAACGUAGGAAUCUUGAAGUGUUCAGGAGCUGACGAGAACGGCCGCCCUACCAAGGUGACGGCCCAAAAGCUUUUGGAACAAGGAAUGCUCCUUACUAAAGAGGAGUGGGACAUACCUUGUAUCCUCCCAAAUCCCCUACACCAUCAAUGACUGAACAAAAGAAGAAAGAUCAGGUAACAGUAGUCAAAUCCCUGAUUAAAAGACUGUUGGUAUAUGGGAAGAGAAGAAACCAAGAAAGGGAGCUAUUGGACAAAGAAGAGCAGGAAUGGCAGGUGGGAACUUCAACCAGCCAGCAUGAAAGCAAGGAGGAAUCUUGCAAAGAAGAAUUGGAAAGGGCCAUUCAAAUGACCGAGUGCAUUUAUGACCUAGAUGGGCCAAAUGACUUGCCCGAGAGCCCGGAGUUAGUCGAAUUUUUGUGUGCAAAACCUGAUAAGCCACCACCAGAAGUCCAGGAUCCUCUGGAAAUUAUUGAUCUAGGAAUAGAGGAGGAUCCAAGACCAAUACAAAUUAGUGGUUUAUUGGGGGUUGAUGAUCGGGCGAAGAUUAUCUGCCUUUUGCAAGAGUUCAAAGAUUGCUUUGCUUGGCAUUAUACUGAGAUGCCAGGUUUAGAUUCAGCCUUGGUGGAACAUAGAAUGCCCAUCAAGGAGGGAUACAAACCUGUUAAGCAAGCACCACGAAGGAUGUCAAAGGAGAUAGAAGAAAAGGUCAAAGAAGAGAUUGAAAGGCUAGUAAAAGCUGGCUUUAUCAGACCAGCCAAAUAUGUAGAGUGGUUAGCCAACAUUGUACCCGUUUUAAAAGCUGUAACAAAAGCAGUACGAUGUUGUGUGGAUUACAGAAAUAUAAAUGGCGCUACACCAAAAGAUGAAUAUCCCAUUCCCAUGGCCGAUUUAUCCAUAGAUGCAGUAGCAAAACAUAAAGUCCUAUCUUUUAUGGAUGGGAAUGCCGGGUAUAAUCAAAUAAAGAUGGCUCCAGAAGAUAUACACAAAACAACUUUUAGGUGUCCCGGUCAUGUGGGGGCAUAUGAAUAUCUGGUCAUGCCAUUCGGGCUCAAGAACACUGGUGCAACUUACCAGAGGGCGAUGAAUGCCAUCUUUCACGAUCUGAUUGGCCAGAGCAUGGAGGUAUACAUUGAUGACAUAGUGGUGAAGUCCAAGACAGAAGAACAGCAUCUGGAAGAUCUUAGAAAAACAUUAGCAAGGAUGAGGAUCCACAAAUUGAAGAUGAAUCCAAAGAAGUGUGCGUUUGGAGUAAGAGCGGGCAACUUCUUGGGAUUCCUGGUGCAUCAAAGAGGUGUAGAAGUGGACAAGAACAAAUCUCGGGCAAUAAUUGAGUCACCUUCACCCACCAACAAGGUGCAACUCCAGAGUCUACUUGGCAAAAUUAACUUCUUGAGGAGAUUCAUUGCUAAUUUAGCAGGCAAGAUCCAGCCGCUGACUCCUUUACUAAGAUUGAAGGAUAAAGACAACUUCGAAUGGGGACCACCGCACCAACAGGCCUUUGACACCAUCAAGGCCUAUUUAACUUCUCCACCAGUGUUGGUGCCACCUCAAAGGGGAAAACCCUUGAAGCUGUAUAUUUCUGCCUCAGAAAAGUCAAUCGGGAGUUUGCUAGCCUAAAAUAAUGAAGGCGGGAAGGAGCAGGCAGUGUACUACCUCAGUAGAAUUCUGACCGAGGUAGAGACAAGAUAUUCCUCGGUAGAGAGAUUAUGCUUGGCUUUAUAUUUCACUGCCAGUAAAUUAAGGCAUUACAUGUUACCUUGUCACGUGCACAUCAUCGCCAAGACAGAUGUGAUAAAGUACAUGUUGUCAAAGCCAAUGCUCACAGGAAGGAUUGGGAAAUGGAUUCUAGCAUUAUCAGAAUUCAGUUUUCAGUACGUACCCCAAAGGGCAGUCAAAGGCCAAGCAAUUGCUGACUUCCUGGCCGAGCACCAAGAAUCUCAAAGUGAGGUAAUCAAUAUCCCAGGAAGCCUGGAGGUUACUAGCAUUUGGAUCCCGCCAAGAAAAGAUAUUUCGGGCAAAGAAGACUGGGUCCAACAAGAGAUAAGAAGAGUAGCUGGUCUCUGGAUUACUCCUUGGAAAUUGUAUUUCGAUGGAUCUCACACUCAGAAGGCUUCAGGAGCGGGGAUUGUAAUUGUAAACCCUCAGGGAGUUUAUCAUUAUUAUUCAUUUCUCCUAGACUACCAGGGAAAUACUAAUAAUCGGGCAGAGUAUGAGGCCUUAAUAAUUGGUGUGGAAAUCUUGAUGGAUCUGGGGGCAGUAGAGGUAGAGGUCUUUGGAGAUUCAGAGUUGGUAAUAAACCAGUUAAAUGGGGAGUUCAAGUGCAGACAUAUUACCAUGGCGGGGUAUUACUUGGCAGCUACGCAAUUAUUGAGUUUAUAGGAUUCUGAGAUAUCGGUCAAUCAUGUUCCCAGGGGAUCCAACUUAGCGGCCAACGAGAUGGCACAACUAGCCUCAGGAGUGCCAAUACAGGAGAGAAAAUAUGGGGUAGAUGUCGAGGUCCAAAUGAGAAACCUUCCUUCCAUCUUAGAAAGGGGAUUCAGUCUGAAUGUAAUGAGGCUAGAAGCCGAGAUAGAAGAUUGGAGGUCACCUAUCAUUCAUCAUUUGAAGGAUCCCUCUUCGCCUACAAGCAAUAAGGAUAGACAGCAAGCAACUAAGUAUGUCUUAUGGGCGAAGAACUUGCUAAGAAAAACUCCAGAUGGGUUACUGUUGAAAUGCUUGGGCCAAGAAGAAUCCAUGAGGGUAAUGGUCUAAGUACAUGAAGGAGUAUGUGGAGCACAUCAGGCUGGAACGAAGAUGAAAUGGUUGCUUAGGAGGUAUGGUUAUUUCUGGCCCGACAUGGAAAAAGAUUGUAAGUCUUAUGCCCAAGGUUGUGAAGAAUGUCAAAGGCACGGACCUCUCCGGCAUGUGCCCUCGGUACCUUUAAAUCCAGUGGUCAAGCCUUGGCCCUUCAGAGGAUGGGCGAUGGACUUCAUCGGGCAAAUCUAUCCAGCUUCUAGUAAAGGCCAUACCUUCAUAAUUGUAGCAACGGAUUAUUUCACUAAGUGGGUGGAAACAUCAGCAGUAAAAUCCAUAACUUCAGCCACAGUCAAGAAUUUUAUCGACACCAAGAUUCUGCACAGAUAUGGGGUGCCCGAAACUAUAGUAACGGAUUGUGGACCAUCUUUUAUUUCAAAAGAAGUUGAGGAGUUUGCAAGUAAGUACAAAAUAAAGAUGAUUCAAUCCAGUCCGUACUACCCUCAAUCAAAUGGCCAGGCAGAAGCCAGCAACAAGAUCCUGGUCAACAUUAUCAAGAGAAUGGUGAUUGAUAGUCCAGAAAAGUGGCAUGAAAAUCUGGGGAACACUUUGUGGGCAUACAGAACUUCUAAGAGGGCAGGAACAGGGACAACUCCUUAUGCUUUAACUUUCGGGCAAGAUGCAGUGCUCCCAGUGGAAAUCAAUGUAAGUUCUUUAAGAAUUCAAAAUCAAUUUGGGUUGCAUAGUGAAGAGUACAUCGAAGCCAUGUGUCAAGGAAUUGAAGACUUGGAUGUAGCCUGAAUUGAAGCUUUGAACCAAAUUCAAGAAGGAAAGCGAGCCGUUGCCCGAGCUUAUAACAAAAAGGUGAAAAUGAAGUCUUUCAAGGUAGGGGAUUUAGUAUGGAAGACAGUCCUCCCUCUAGGAGCUCAGCUCAGGGACUUUGGAAAAUGGAGCCCGACAUGGGAAGGUCCUUUCAUUAUUAGUCGCGUUUUGGAUAGAGGGGGAUACUACUUGGCGGACCUUGAGGGAAACAGGCAUAAACAUCCCAUUAAUGUUAAAUUCUUAAAGAAAUAUUGUCCUACGUUGUGGGAUGUCAGAGAUUGUUAUAUUGAAGAGGAUGCAAGGUAAAGCAAGCUUCGGGAUAUCAACGUGCAGUGUAUAUUUAUCAAUCAUUCAAGAAGAUGGAAAGACAAGAGUUGCUGAGAUAAUGUAUAUUUCAUUUCGACAAAUUGAUGAAAUUUACAAAAGAUUCAAAGCCGACGUAUUACAAUCAAUUCUCCUUCUGGAUGCAAUGGUAUCUUCAGCUGAUUUUCCGAUGUCCUCAUGGAUGGAACCCGAUCAGGUGAUCGGGUUGUGCGGCCAACAUGAGCCUGGUAGAGGAUCCUCAGACAGGACCAUCACCAUAAGUGAUAGUGAAGCCCGACUUAUCACCGCAACAAGCACGAAGACAAACCUUCGAGAGGAAACCGCCUGACCAGGGGUGUUGGAGAUAGCGGGGUGUUUGACUAAGGGUGUUGGAGAUAGCAGUCUUUUGAUGAAAGCCCUUUUUUUCUCACGAAAAGGGAGUUUUAGGAAACCCCACUCAAAGCCGGAGGAACCCAUUUCUCAAUUUCUGAACGCUCGAGGAAGAUGGAAGAGAAGACUGAAGAGGAUUUGAUGGCUUGACAGAAGAAAUUCCGAACCAGAAUUUAUAGAGCCCCCAGAGGAUAGUUCAAAGGUCGUGAGGAGAGCAAGGGGCACAGGGUUGCCUUCAUCCUGCCUAGAAAACACGAAGUUCCAAAAGAUUGAUAUACACGCAUGCGGAUAUUCAAUCAAUGAUGGCGCCUGGGAUUCCAACCUUAACAUUAAUUGAAGGGGGCACUGUUUGGAUCAAAACUUGAACUUUGGGCUCAAGAAAAGAGCUGGCCCAAAAGGAGGCCCGAAGGGAAAGACAACCGAAGCCCAGUCAAAGCCCAGAAAGCAGAAAAGGCCUUUUCUGACUUGGUGCAGCUCAUAAAGACCACUUGCUUACCUACCCAAAGGCCAAGUGGUAUAGACUGACCAGCUACACAGCCCAUAAAGUACUUUAUGAUGGCAGUACAUGUAAAAUAGCUGAUGAGUCAUCACCAUUCAAACCGCAUUCGGGCAAGGUUACUGCUAUAGGAGACCAAGCCGAGUUGUCUAUAUAAGAAGAAAGAGAAACCAGGAAUAAGGACACUCAAUCAAACAAACAAAUGCAAGCACAAACUCUGCUCAAAGCCAGAUUUGCCUUCAAAACGAAGCUGUAGUCAGCCCAAGCAUUCAUCCCUCUCGGGAUAAACCUUCACUCAAACCCUUGUAAUAGCUCUGCUACCUUGUUCAACCUUGCUGUAGUAUCGAUUCAUCUUUUGUAAAUCUCUCCCUCUCCCUGAAGCUUUCAUACCCUUGAUAAACCACAAAGAUAGGAACCUGCAAGACGACCAGACUUGUCCGACAAGGUUAAACCUUGCCCGACCUUCUUUGUUUUUGUCUUUUCAUUCAUUAGCCUAGCAAUAUGUUGUUUACUUCCAGUUAUAUUCAAGUUAUUUCUAGCAAGAUGACUAUUAAAAGGCUUUCUCAGUACUGGGAUCCGAUUUGAAUAUAUCUUCAGUGUUCAAACCAGAUCCAAGUCCUAAGCCCUCGGGCAUGUAAAUCUGAUUAGUUAAAAGUCCUUAGCCUCAAGGCAUAAAAAAGAACCUUAUGUGGACUUAACCCAUCCACGACAAUCCUUGAUAAACGAGAAGUCCGAAGUUACUUGGGGCGCAAGUAAUCGACCUACCUCUUAGUCUUAUUUCAAUUACAUUAUGAUUAUCAUAGAACGCUUAAGCAUGUGAAGGAUUCUAAUAGGAAGCCUCAAGGCCUACACCUAAGGCCCCACAAAGGCACCUAUUUGGAUUCAUUCCGUUCUGCGGUCUAGAACGUUUGAGUAUAAGAACGAACUCUAAUAUGAAGCCUCAAGGCCUACACCUAAGGCCCUACAAAGGCACCUAUUUGGGUUCAUUCUACUUCUCGAACUCGGGUAAUCAGAAGUAUAAUAGUUAUAAGACUCAUGCAUGCACAAGAACAAAUAUGAUGUGUUUGAGCACUGGUUUAGUUAUUGAUAGGAAGCCUCAAGGCCUACACCUAAGGCCCCACAAAGGCACCUGUUAUAACUAACACGGUUUCUCGGGUAUAUACAUAUACAACCAAAACUCGACAUCCAUUUCACAUCUGCCAUACUAAAGAUGGCAGUGGCACGCCUGAAUACUUAAAAGUUAACCUUGAUUGUGAGCCUCAAGGCCUACACCUAAGGCCCCACAAAGGCACCUCUCAAAGUUAACUCUGUCCUUCUCUUUCAGCCUUGCCCGACGAGCCUUGCCCGAAGAGUCUUGCCCGACGAGACUUGCCCGACAAAGCCUGACAGGGAAGCAGAAGCCCGACAGCAGCCCUCAACCGGCGCCAACCUCCCGGGGAACUGUGUGCUCGUCGGCCAGGAAACAUCCCCGACGAAAAUUCCUGACGCGAACACAACUUGCAAUUUCGUUGAGAAUACGAGAGGAAUCUCUUGAUUUACCACAAUUACCAGAUGACAGUCUUAUAAGAAAACCAAUCUUUGAAAGUAUCAAGAAACAAUUUUAUGAGCUGCAGAUGGGAAAUCAAAAGGAAAGUAUAGCUCGUCCUCUUAUUUGGAUUGUAGCGUCUAUUGCCAUGGUCCCAGUCCUGUCAGGUUCCAUCUUCUGCUAUCAAACACAAUGUUCAGUUGAUGUAUGCAUUUUCCCUUCUUCUUGACCUUGUAUUAGUGAGACAGAUCAAUGUUAGACUAGGGAUUCCAAUGAGAUGUUUGUCCUUUGUUUUUCGAGGUUGGCAAAGAGUAUUGUGCAGUUUAAGAUCUUGCCUUUCACAGUACUAUUUGCGAAUAUAAGUCCUCGAGGAUGUGAAGGAUCACUGCCUUUCACAGAAUGCUCAACGAGAAGGAGAAGGGAGAAUGCUCUUAUGUCAUUUUUAUUAUUUUUAUUAAUAUAUUUUCUGUCGAUUUUAUCCGACAGAAAUUCACUUAGUUAUAUUAUUAAUAUAUUCCCUGUCGGUUUUAUAUAUUUUCUGUCGGUUAUAUCCGACACAAUUUCUGUCGGUUUUAUAUUUUCUAUCAGUUUUAUAUUUACUGUCUGUUAUAUCCGACACAUUUUUUGUCGGUUUUAGAGUAUUUUAUGUCGAAAAAUUCAUUUCCUGACGCUGGCAAAUCUGUCGCUAUAAUAUCUGCCACUGCAUCAUUUCUGUCGGAUUUUGCUUAAUAUCCGACAAUAAUACAUAUUUCUUGUCAGUUAUCAUAGCGCCACUAAUAAAUGGUUUUGUAGCAGUGCAAUCUCAUAAAAACAUUCGGUUAAAAGCCUUUGAUAGUGGCAUGCUUGUUCUCACCAUUUCUCUCAAGGCUCUCCUUGGCAUUGAGACCAGGUUCGAUCAACUAGGAACGAACCUUACUCAAAGCUCAUCUUCGUUUUUUUUAAAAGAGAUUCAUAAUAUCUCAAUGAUCAUCGUCUCAAUCUUUUAACGAUUAGUGAUGGAUUUCAAGCUAUCUCCGGCGACUAGCGAUGGAUUUCAGUUAUCGAGGGACGAGUUUGAACUCGUCAGAUUUGAGGGUACCCAGAGUAUUGUUUCAUACUAAUUUCUCGAAAAUCCGUUGAAAAUCAUGAUGUUGUGGUAGUUAAACAAUGAAUAAUAUUUCAAAGAGUUUAAAAAACUGAAUUUAGAAAAAAAGGGUCAGAGACGAAGAAUAGAGAAAACACACUCACAGAGAUUGAGAGAGGAGAUAGAUGAUGACGUACGUAGCCACAGCUUCAAGGCCGAUGUGCUCUUCACAAACCCAAGUGCCCAUUUCACCUAUUGUGAAGGGCACUGCCCUCAAUAGCAAUGGUAUUAUCAAUUGCCGUCGGAGAAACAAUGGCGUUUGUUUGAUUAAGGCCAUGAAAAGCUCGUCUCCCCCACGACUAACCUUGUCGAGCAACUGGGAUUUUCCCUCAGCUACUACUUUAGCUCCAAGGUUGCCUAGAUUCGAAGAGCUCGAUACCACCAAUAUGUUUCUCCGUCAAAGAAUCAUCUUUCUGGGUUCUCAGGUUCUCUUUCUCUCAUAAUUUGGGUUUUCUUGCUUCAGCAUUGAAUAUUUUUGACAUGGGUUUUGCUGCUACUUGUGAAAUUUGGACUCGUUACUGUUUGUUGAAAGUUUAGUUCAAAAUUUGAUGGGAUUACUGUGUGUGUUUGUGUUUCUUAUUUACAAAAGGACUAAACUUGUGAAUAGGAAGGGUUGCUUUAUCUAAUUUUCUCUUCAUAUUUCUACCGGUGGGCAGGUCGUUGACAUGACGGUGGAUUUGAUCAUUAGCCAACUUUUAUUUCUAGAUGCUGAGGACCCUAAAAAGGACAUUAAACUGUUUAUGGCUAAAUAGCUAAAAUGGUCACUGAGAUUUGCAUACUUCUCGAUGAGAUGAAGGAUGUCUUGGUCUCAAGUUAGCCGCUUUCGAGCCGUUUUUUGGCCAAACCAUGGUGAUUUAGCCGUCUACAAAGGUACCAUUCUCUUCGUCUCAUCGAGAAAUAUGAUUUUCAUUUUUGAAUCACUUGAUUUCGUUGAGUAUUGAAGAAGUUAUGAAUGUUUAAAGUUUACCCAGUUUCCGGCUAGUUUUCCAGUUUUCCCUCGAACCAGUCAACUUUGAGGCUAUUUUCUGGCUAUCUCCGGCAGCCAUUGGGCUUCCAAAUAGGUAUAAUCUUAUUCUACACUUUCCUAUCUUCAUUUUGAUAUAUUAUGGGUCGAAUUUGGUUAAGAAACGAUUAAGUUAUGAAGCUUUGAAAAUUGCCCAAACUUCCGACCAAGAGCUCCGGGACACUUAACGGAAUUUUUAACGGAAUGACCAAAAUGAUGGAUGGUGGAUAAUAUCAGGGACCACUUUUAUUGAUUUGAAAUGUUAGGGACCAAAGUGAUGAGUUAUGCAAAUUUCAGGGACCAUUUUGGCUAUUUAGCCAUUGUUUAUCAAUUCACCCUGUGGUUCUGUUACUGCUGAUAUGAUUUAAAUAUACUUGGCAUGUUGGAUCUUGCAUCUCUCCUCAAUUAUUGCCUUCUGGUUCUUAUUUAUCCUUGAUAUUUGAGAUAACAAAACAUACAAAUGAAGACAUUUAGUAAGGCCCACAAACGGGUUGGGCAAAAAAAAUGUCCAUAAAAAAAAAAAAAAGUGUGCUUGCUCAUCGUGCUAGCUGGCUGGUUGGAAAUGGCUAGCCCGCUGACCUGAUUGGCUAGUUUUGACACGAUGAGGCCCACAAACCCUUUAGCCUAGCCUUCGGUUUGAAACGGUUUCGUGUCAUUUCAUGUUAUUUUCAACCCUAUGGUCCUCUGGCCGGAUCAGUUGAAGAUGGCCUAAUCUGACAACACCCACAAAACAGUCUGUUGGGAGCCUCCUGAUAGGAUUUUUACCGUCUAUGAAAAGAAGGUUAAAAUCACACAAAAUACUUGCAAGAAUACAAGGUUAUUGUAGUACAAAUGCUCAUGCAAGGUCGUUCUCCUCAAUAACUAUUUUAAUAAUUUAUGUAAAAACAAUUCCUAAUUAUCUACUUAGAAUUAAAAACUGAGAAAAGAGAUUUGACUUUUGAAAUUUUAAUUAACAACUAAUAAUAAAUUUCCCCCAAACGAAUACGAUAAAAUAAAAGAGUUUUAAAUACCAAUUUAUAAAAGCACUAGGGUUCCACCAUCACCUAGCAAUCAUAUGAAUUUUUACCAAUUACUUAUGAUCUACACAUGCCACUUUGAAGGUUAGGUAUAUCUAGCAUCGGACGUUCGGAUCAAAUAUGAACACGAGAGACUCAUUAUGUUUUAUGAAAACCCUUUGAAAAACCAUGCAACCCUUAAGACGUGAUGUUCAUUUUAAGUGAAAUUACAAUUAUUAAUCACAAGAAGCCAGCGUCAAUUUCAGGGAACCUUCAGACCAAAAUUGCAUCAAAUUACUUUUUUAAAGAUCAUAAUGGUGAUCAGACAUUAAAACAAUUAGAUAGUUUAAAACAGUGAUCAUUAAUUCAAAGCAUGUAUGCAAUCAAUCGUAAACAAUUAAAUAAAAAUACAUAGGCAUGGAACUCAAGUAACGACAUGAACGGAUCCAAAGUCUUGGGGAGCCAUGCAUUGCCGUGGAAAACCAAAUAACGACAUGAAGAAUGGCCCACGAAAAUAGACGCAAAGCAGCCCAUUUUGCUGCUCACACGAAUGACGCACGACACACGAACACCAGAAACCCUAGCUGCCUUAAUUCAACAUCGGAUGCCCUUUAUACAUUCGCUUUGAGGUCACAGCCAACGGCUAUUUUCUCUCAAUUUUUUAUUAUGUUUUGACACGCCGUUCUCUCGCUAGUAAUUGAGAGAGAUCUCUCAUUACUCUCAGCCUUCUCUCUCCUUGAAAAUUAGAAAUGGCUCUCCAUUAUUGCAAACCUUCUUCUCUCAACGCCCAUUAUUGCAAACCUUCAUCUCUCUAAACUCUUCAUCCACUCUGCAACCAAUGACCCAACAAACAUACACACCUCCGUUUCUCUAUAAUCCAGCCGUGGUGGAGUAAGCAUGAAAAGCUGAGAUGCAUGAAGCUAAAUCCCUCCUCCAUUUGUGUGUUUUUUUUUCUCAUUGCAGAUUUAUGUAUCGGAAUGAAAUGUAGCAAGAUUUAACACAUGCAUGUGUGUUUAUCUGUGUGAGGAACCCCAAUCGUUGCAAAUCCGAGAUAAACAACAAGAUAAACCCCCCUGAGUCGCCAACUCCGAGAGCACAGAGCUGUUCCAGCGCCCCCAAGCUUGCAAUCUCAGCGGAUCUACACCUCAGGUACAUAAAAAUAGAUCCCCCUUUCGUUUAAUCUUCGAAUGUAGAACACGAUCAGCACUAUUUUACAAUGCAUGCGUUGGAUCCUUUCCUUUCGUACGACACCCAUUUCGGAUUUAAACUAAAUUUGAAACUGAAAGUUGGUUUUGUAGGGAAAAAAAAUUAUUGGUGGCCUGCACAGAACGAAGGAAAGGUUGUCUUGGAUAUCACAGAUCCUGGCAGAAGCUUCCACGAACCCCAGAUCUGUGCAUCUGGGAGGUAAAAUUUCGAAUCCUAGGAAGUUUAGUUGUAGUUCUGGUAGUAAUAGCUGUACUCAGUAAUGUGGUGUAUGGAUAUGUGAUUUAAUUGUGCUUUUCUCAUCCAUGCAUCGCAAAACUGAGCUGCAGAAAAGAACUCAAAAUUAUGCCACGGUAUUGGAUUCGCAACAACCACCUCCAAACUUGUAUACCAUCCCGAUUAAUGUCUGGACAUUUGAAAAUUAAGAAAUGACGCCUAAACCAGUUGAGUCGCCUGCCUAAAUCAUCUAGGCACCCGUUUAGCCCACUCAGACCCACCUAGGUUACGACUCACUUAGAUAGAAAAUAAUAACUUUUAAUUUGCAUUUAAUUUUUUUCAACAAAUUGUAAGAAAUUUGUUGAAUACUUAAAUGAGCACACAUUAUAUGCUUGUUUCCGAUUUUUUCAUUAUGUUCCAAUACCUCAUAAUACAUAUGUCAUUUUAUUUUGUAAUUUAUGAUGAAAUUAUAUAUAUUAAGUAUGCAUAUACACUAAUUUACACGAAAUAUAAUGGAUUUACUCAAAUCCUUCUAGUCCACCUAGAUCAUGCCUAGCCACUUAGGCGCUAGGCCCCAACAUGCUACUCAACUAGCGUCUAGCGCCUUUUAAAACCUUGGUGUAGAUGUGAUUGAUAUUAAUGUAGACUUGUUGCUUGGUGCAUGAUCCAGUAUAGGAUAAUCCGCCCUUGUUUUUCCUGGUUGCAACCUGCAAUUAACCAAUAUGCGAUAAUAAAAAAUAAAAUCAAUUAGGUACAUAAAAACAAAAAGCAAUAGAUUUUAGGAUUUUUUUUUUCUUAUUUUUUGGGUACUAUUUUUUUUAUUUAUGCAGAUUUUUUUUUUUAAUUUUGUUUUUGUGAUGAUAUGAAAACUCAGCUAUGUGAGUGCAUCUAGAAAGUCAAACCAAUAAUAAAAUGGAAAAUCAAACGAAAAAUAAAAAAGUAAAGAGUUUAGAAAAAUUGGGUUGCCUCCAAAUAAGCGCUUUGCUUUAAAUCUGUAGUUAGACGUCGGAGAGGUCCGGUGGCUAGCUCAAUGGUUCCUUCAGAGUCAAAGACUCGCUUGCACCAAUUUUCCCUAUGAAUGGUUUAAGUUGAUGUUUGUUAACCUUAAAUGCGAAACCUUUGCCCUUAGCCUUGAUAUCCAUGUUACCAUUUUGAAAAACUUUAGUAACUAAGAAAGGGCAUUUCCACUAAGACUCUUAUUUCCCUGGAAAUGACUUAUAUGAACUUAACAAACACACUUUUUUACCAAGCUGUAUUUUCUCACGACUUGGACUGCUUUGUAACUUUUUAUUCUUGCCUUUGACAUUCAGAUGUUUUUGGUCAUUCUGGUGGCUUGGAUAGUUGUCAAACAAUGUCGAUUCUGUUUUUUAUUUUUGCACAUCAAGCACUUGGAUUUUGUGUUGCUGACCCUUAAUAGUUUUGUCAUCAUGACUUACAUUUAAAGACUUUAGGGAUAGAUGGUCAUUUGAUGAUCUGUUUUUACACUUGUCACAGGCUGAACCAUCUAACGCAUCAAUACGCAUGCAUUCAUGUUUGUCAUCUAGAUGUGCGGCGACUUAGGGUGGUUGUUUGUGUUGUUUUUCUUAGAUUUGCAAAGUUUGGGGGGUCCACAUACAGAUACAAACACAUGCAUGGGUUCGAACUUGCUACAUUUCACUUAAACAAAUAAACCUGAAACGAAAGUCAUAAGAUUUGAGGAUGUUUUACCUUUAGCACCUCCGAUUUUCAUCAAGCUCCACCAUGGAUGGGUUAUCAAGGCAUGAAGGUGUGUUUGUUUUUGGGUUAGUGAUUGCAGAAAAUGAUGAAGAGCUAAGAGAGAGAGUGGGGUUGCUGUGAAAUGAAUGGGUUAUAAGAAUGGGGGUUGGGUUUGAGUUAUAGAAAUAAGGGUUACUUGUCAUAUUCUAGAGAGCGAUUGAUUGAUGGUAUAUGGACAUAUGAUGCUAUAUUAGGAAUCCUAAGAGUCUAUGUGAAGGUUGUUUGAAAAUAAGAACGGAAGAGCCGUUUGGUUCUGGGUGCGAGGAGAUGAAGAGAGCCGUUGGCUUUGGGCUCGAGGCAAAUGGAUGCAAAGCAUCCAAUGUGAGAUUAAUGACAACUAGGGUUUCUAGCACCCGUGUGGCACGCGUGUGAGCUUCCAAUUGGGGUUUCGAACUCAUGAAGAUGAGUCCAAACAAUGUUGAGCCUCUCACGUGCUGAAUGAUGCAAGAUUUGGCUAAUUGCUGAUAGGUCGCACAUAAUAAAAUGUGUGAAAAUUAGAUAGUGGGCUGCGAGAAAAAAAUUGCAGCCCAAUUGGUAGCUCACACGCGUGCCACACCGGUGCUAGAAACCUUAUGUCACAUCUCGACCCGAGCUUCACCACAUCCCGGGCUCGACUCCACCGUAACACGAUAUUGUCCGCUUUGGGCCCCGACCAUGCCCUCAUGGUUUUGUUUCUGGGAACUCACACGAGAACUUCCCAGUAGGUCACCCAUCUUGGGAUUGCUCUCGCAUGAACUCGCUUAACUUUGGAGUUCCAAUAGAACCCGAAGCCAGCGAGUUCCCAAAAAGCCUCAUGCUAUAUGGAGGUGGGCAUGUACAUAUAAGGCACAUCACCCCUCUCUCCGUUGGUCAAUGUGAGAUAUUACUAUCCACCCCUUUUAGGGGCCCGACAUCCUCGUCGGCACACUCGCACCGAAUGGUAGAGUAAAUCUGAUACCAAAUUGUCACAUCCCGACUCGGGCUCCACCAUAUCCCGGGCUAGACUCUGUCGUAGCACGAUAUUGUCCGCUUUGGGUCUUGACCACGCCCUCACAAUUUUGUUUCUAGGAACUCACACGAGAACUUCCCAAUAGGUCACCCAUCCUAGGAUUGCUCUCAUGCAACUCACUUAACUUCAGAGUUUCGAUAGACUCUGAAAUCAGUGAUUUCCCAAAGGGCCUCGUGUUAUAUGGAGGUUGACAUGUAUAUAUAAGGCACAUCAUCCCCUCUCUGUUGGCCGAUGUGGGAUGUUACACCCUAGCUAGCUCGAGCCCAUAGCCAACGGUUUUUUUCAUUUCCUCGUAUCCAUUGUCAAAUGGCUCUUCUGUUUUUAUUUUCAAACGACCCUCAUAGAGACCCUUAGGAUUCCCAAUAUAACAUCACAUGUUCCUAUGCCUUCAAUCACUCGCUCUCUAAAAUAUGAAAAGUAGCCCUCAUUUCUCUAACUCAAACCCAACGCCCAUUCUUACAACCCAUUCAUUUCACAACAGCCCCACUCUCUAUCUCUUAGCUCUUCGUCCUUUUCUGUAGCCAUUAACCCAGAAACAUACACACCUCACCCAGAAACAUCCUCAAAUCCUGUGACUUUCGUUUCAAGUUUAAUUGUUCUAACCCAUGCAUGUGUUUGCACGGAACAAAAGAAAGGAUGUCUUCUAGGAGGCCACAGAUUUGGACAAACAGAAGGUAUAAAACCCUUGUGAUUUCAAGCAUGUAGACUGAUCUGCAAAGCAUAGCUAUAUUUAUCCUCGAUUCGCUCAUAACUCAGUUUUCCAUUUUUUUUUCUUCUUAUGUGCAAGACAUUCGGAUCCAUAAUAGUUCCAAGAGAAGUGAACGCCUUAAGCUGCCAAACCAGUAAUUCCUCAAAGGCAAAAUAAACUCCAAAGUCUCGGUUUCUGCAAUUAGGAAGGUAGAAAGAAAUCUGUCUUCUGCAUUUGUUUGGCUUAACACAUAGCUUUGAAUACAUUUCAUAUAUUCUGUGAUGUCAACCCUAAACUGAUUUUAUAAGAACUGGGACAUGUAAACAUUUGAAAACAACUUGGAUCUCCAAAUUGGUAAAGAUUUCGGACUAAACAUACUUGCUCUCAGAAAAACAAAAUGAAUUAAUCCUUGAAUCAUUUCUGAGAACAUAUAUGUGGACAAAGUGAACUGGAACCGUGAAGAUGACUAAUGAAGAACCUAUUCUAGACUUACAAAGUGACUUACUAUUCAACUCCAAUGCAUGAGUAAUAGAUCUGCUGAAAAAUAGUCUUGUCUACUGAAUAACUAAUGAAUUUGGUUGUUUUGUUUUUGUUGUGCAAGGAACCAGCAUCUGGAAGCUUGACAUGAGCAAACCAAAGGAAGAGGAGUUUGGUCAUCACAGAUCCCAAACUGCAUUUGCAACGAACAAAUCAUGGCAAAAGCUUCCAUAAACCCCAAAUCUGUGCAUCUGGGAGGAAAUUUUUUGAAUCCCUGCAAGUGUAAUUGUUGUAGAUCUGGUAAUAAAAGUUGUACUCAGUUGUGUGGUGUAUGGAUAUGUGAUUUAACUGUGCUCCUCAUCCAUGCAUCGCAAAACUGAGCAACAGAAAAUAACUGUUCAAAAUUGUGGCAUGGCACUGGAUCUACAAAAACCACCCCCAAACUUGCAUAUGUGAAUGUGCUCAUGUUAAUUACUUUAAAUUUUAGCAUAGGGUAGAUGUGGUUGAUGUUAAUGUAGAUUUGUUGCUGGGUGCAUGAUUCCAGUAUAGGAUGCUCUUUAUUUUCCAUUUAUGCAACCUGCAAUUAACCAAUAAUUGUGAAAAUUAAAAACAGAGCUAAAAUCGACUAAGUAGAUAAAGAAAACAACAUUUUUUUUCUUUAUUUUUGUGGUUUUAUGUAAAAUAAGAUAUGAGAAUGCAUCUAGUAAGUUAAGCUAAUAAUAAAAUGGAAAAUUAAACGCAAAAUAAAAUAAGGAAAUAGUUUAGAAAAAUUGGGUUGUAAGCAUUUUAUUUUAAGUUUGUAGCUAGAUAUUGUCGAAGGUUGGUGGCUAGAUCACUGGUUUCUUCAGAGUCAAAGACUCGUCUGUAGUAUUGAAGGAUGACUCCACAUAUGGUUUCAGCAUGUGACCAUUCAUCUUGAAUGUGUUGCCUUGAGCUUUAUUAGUUAUUUCAAUUGCCCCAUGAUAAUAGACUUUAGUAACCAGAUAAGGCACAAUCCAGCGAGAUUUUAACUUCUUUGGGAACAACUUUGGCCUUGAACUAAAUAACAAAACUUUUUGCCCUAGCUGAAAUUCCUUCCUUAAAAUUUGACUAUCAUGAAACGCCAUAGUUCAUUCCUUGUAGAUGCGAGAACUUUCAUAGGCAGACUAAUGAAUUUCCUCUAGCUCAUUAAGCUACAAUUUGCGUUUUUCCCAACUGAAUCAUACGAAAAAUUUAACUCUUUAAUUGCCCAGUAAGCCUUAUGUUCAAGCUCCAUAGGUAGAUGACAUGUUUCCCAUAAAUGAGUCAAAAUGGAGACAUCCCAAUAAGAGUCUUGUAAGCCCACAAAGCACCAUUUAAUUUUAAACUCCAAUCCUUACGUGUAAAACCAAUUGUUUUAUCCAAAAUGCGCUUUAAUUCUCUGUUUGAAACUUCAACUUGACCAGAUGUAUGUGGAUGAUAAGGUGUAGCCACGUGAUGAUUAAUCUCAUACUUUGCCAGUAAAUUAGCAAAUGGUUUAUUAACAAAAUGAUUCCCCCCAUCAUUUAGAAUAACGUGCAAAAUUCCAAAACACAGAAAUAUAACCCCCUGAAGGAACUUUAGGACCACUAAUUCUUGAUUAGUUAGUGUUGCAAUGGCCUCGACCCACUUAGAAACAUAUUCCACUUCAACUAAAAUAUAUUGGUUCCCAUUAGAAGAUGGAAACGGUCUCAUGAAAUCAAUACCUCAAACGUCAAAUAAUUCAACAAUUAAAAUACUUUGUUGGGGCAUCUCUUUCCUUUUGGAUUGGUUGCCAACCAUUUGACACUUGUCACAAGCCUUGCACUAAUUAUUUGCAUCUUUAAAAAGUGUAGGCCAAAAUAAACCACUCUACAAAAUUUUCUCCACUGUCAUUUUCUGCCCAAAAUGUAAAUGUCCCCACAUGCAAAAUGAUGAGCAAACUUUAAAACACUUGCCUAUUCAGCCUCAGGAAUGCACAUGCAAAUAAUCUGGUCGAGGCAGUACUUGUAUAAGUACAGUACAUCCCAUAAAUAAUGCUUUAUAUCAGAUAAAAACCUCUUUUUCUGCUAAAACGAAAAAUCUAGAUGCUCCUCACCCUUAGCCAAAUAAUUAACAAUAUCAGCAAACCAAUGUGUAUUAAUUUGGACAGCAAAUAGUUUUUCAUCUGCAAAACUUUCACUCAAUGGAAAGAUUCUUCUUCUGUAGCUGUCGGAAUAAUUAAUCUGGAUAAAUGGUCAGUCACCACAUUUUCACUACCCUUUUUGUCUUUAAUUUCUAAGUCAAAUUCUUGAAGUCAAAGAACCCAACGAAUCAACCUAGGCUUUGCAUCCUUCUUAAACAACAAAUAUUUAAGAGCAUCAUGAUCAUUAUAAACAAUUACCUUAGCCCCAACCAAAUAAGACCGAAACUUCUCUAACGUAAACACAACUACCAAUAAUUCAUUCUAUAUGGUUGCAUAGUUGAGCUAUGCAUCAUUAAGAGUACAACUUGCAUAAUAAAUGACAUGGGGAAGCUUGUCUUUACGUUGCCUUAAAACUGCCAUAAUGGCAUAAUCUGAAGCAUCACACAUUAAUUCAAAUGGUAAACCCCAAUCUGGUGCAACAAUGAUGGGUGCCUAAGUUAGGAGUGAUUUCAACUUGUUAAAUGCUUCUAAACAAGCCUCAUCGAAAUAAAACGAUGCAUCUUUAGCCAAUAAAUUGCACAGAGGUCGGCUAAUUUUAGAGAAAUCCUUAAUGAACCAGCGGUAAAAUCCUGCAUGUCCCAAGAAUGAUCUGACACCUUUUACUGAUGUAUGGGGUGGCAGAUUUGCAAUAACAUCAAUCUUGGUUUUAUCAACCUUAAUGCCUUUGUUAGAAAUCGAAUGACCUAAAAUAAUGCCCUGUCAUAAAAUGACAUUUUUCCUAAUUUAGCACUAAAUUUGUCUCUUGACAUCUCUCAAGAACUAAUGAUAAAUUAUGUAAGCACUGAUCAAUUUAAUCCCCAAACACAGAAAAAUCAUCCAUAAAAACUUCGACAAUAUUUUCGACCAAGCCAGAAAAAAUACUCAUUAUACAAUGUUGAAAAAUAGCUGGUGCAUUGCAUAACCCAAAUGGCGUCCUCCGAUAAGCAAACGUCUCGAAUGGGCAUGUAAAAGUUGUCUUCUCUUGGUCCUCUGGUGCAAUUGGAAUCAGAUUGUGCCCAGAAUAACCAUCUAAGAAACACUAGAAAGCCCUUACCAGCCAAUCUUUCUAAAAUUUGGUCAGUAAACGGUAAUGGGAAGUGAUCUUUUCUUGUAGCUGCAUUUGGUUUCCUGUAAUCUACACACAUACGCCAGCCUAUAGUUAAACGUGUAGGAACAAGCUCAUUAUUGUCAUUUUUAAUCACUGUAAUUCUGGAACGUUUAAGCAUAACAUGCGUAGAACUCACCCAUUAACUAUCUGAAAUAUGAUAAAUCAUACCAGCAUCCAGUAAUUUCAUAACUUAUGUUUUGAUAACUUUCAUAAUUUGAUUAAGGCGGUGUUGAGCAUCUAUUGUUGGCUUCACGUCUUCUUCCAUUAAAAUUCUGUGCAUGCAAAGUGCUGGGCUAAUACCCUUGAUGUCGGCUAUUGUCUAUCCCAAUGCAUCUUGAUAUUUUCUCAAAACACGAAACAAUUUAUCUUCUUCUGUCGAUGUAACACCUCACCCCCAUUUUAUUUAAAAAUGGUUUUUAAUUCUUAAUUGGUGUGCCCAAGGGCCCACCUUCUAUUUUUGUGUCCCCCAUUCCCGUCACUCUUCCUUCUCUCUCUGUCCCUCCCCCGUGAACUCCCUUCUUUCUUCUUCUUCUUUUCUGUUUUCUUUUCUUCCUUCUUCUUCUUCUUUUUCUGUCUGUCAUGUCUCUCUCCCUUCUCUCGGACCUCUCUCAGCUCCCUUAUCUCUCUUCUCAACCGCGAACGCACGCACGCAACCAUCUCCCCUGCGCGAGGAAGACCCCACAUCGUCGCCAUCUCGUCCUUCUCCCCCUCUGUCCCGUGCUGCAACCCCAGGAAACCCGGAAAGGAACUCCGGCGAGUUCCUAUUUUCCCGGUGAGGUAAGCCUCAAAUCUCCCUUAUUUCGUCCAAGAAUCUUGUGGGUUGAAUUUUAAUUGAGUUUAUUGUGUGAUUUUUGGAGGUUAUAGGACGAAAUCGAAGCCGGGUGUAGGCACACCCAUCUCCGACGACUUUCGAGAGAAUUUCCGGCCAAACCACGGCGAGUUGGCCGGCGUGCAAGGUAUCAAUCUCUUCGUCUCGUCGAGUACUAUAACUUUCCUUUUUGUUUCACUCAAUUUCAUUGCGUAUUGAAGACGUUAUACUCAUUUGAAAUCUUACCCAGUUUCCGGCGACCUCCGAGGCUUUCGAGGCAAUUUCCGGCCAAACCACGGCGAGUUAGACGUCGUGUGAGGUAUCAUUCUCUUCGUCUCUUCCAGGGAUACAACUUUCAUUUUUGUCUCGCUUGAUUUCGUUGAGUAGUGACAAAGUUAUGGCCGUUUAAAGUGGGAUGGUUUUCCGGCCUUCUCUCCCAUUGGAUCCGGCGACCCACCAAAACCCAAGGCUUUGGGCCUUCCCUGCCUAGCCCAGCCCGUUUUUAUUCUAUUUAAUUAUUUAUUUUCAGCAGCCCAAAGGGCCUUGGGCCGGUUUUGAGUGAAAGGGCUUAAAGCCCGGUCCUUGUGUGAGGCCUUAAGGCCUUUGUGGUUUGUGUGUGUGUGUGUUUAAGUGCAUGCGUACGUGUGUGUAUAUGCAUGCUUGCAUGCAUGUGCAUGCCGUGAAUGUGUGUGUUUGUGUGGUGCGUGUGUGUGUUUGGCUUAGGCCCAAACCACCCAUUUUCACCCUAAACCCUUUAUAACCCAAAUCCUUUAAAACCCUAAAUCCAUCCAAUUCCAAAUUCCCUAUUUUAUUUAAUUCAAACCCUUCGUAGGGUAAUUCGACGUUUUGAAUCCGUUUCCAAUGUCCAUUUUCCCAAAUUCAAUUGCUAUAAUAGAGUUUUAUUAAUUGGACUCUUUAUGUGAUUAGGGGCAAUUAUAUGUGGCAUUCCUUCUUUGAUAGUUUGCGUGGCUCUUCGGCGGCUAAGUACUGUGAGUGGACCCCUUCUAAAAUGCAUGUUUUAUAGUAGAAAUGCAUAUAUGAAAAGCAUGAUUUGAUGAUUACGUUUUAUGAAACGUUUUGUGAGAUAACAUGCUUACUAAGGCUACUUUGAAUUAUUACUAUUUUUCCUAUAACCCGUGUUCUUAUAGAAUAUCUGAUGGAUGACGAUAUAAUAUUUAGAACAUGUUUCAAACACCUCUUUAUAGUAUAGAUGAUGAAUGACUUUAUACUAUGAAGUUGUUUUUCAAUAUAUAUAUGUUCAAUGGUUUUGUACCUACCUAGUGGUCCUUUCCGCUACGGGACGUAGGGAUAGAUUCUGGUCCGUUCCGGGCGACGGUUUGGUGUUGGCAUAGGGCCUGGAGUAUGUUUCCUCUGGCUAUUUAGCACAGGGACGGGGAGCCGGCAUGGGGCCUGAAGUGUAUUUUCCUCUGACUGUCUGCUCAGAGACGGGGAGCCGGCAUGGGGCCUGGGGGUUAUCGGACAAUUCACUAGUGAUUAUUAUAUAUACAAGUUAUGAUUUGAGACACUGCACAUCAUGCUAGGUUUCGGAAAACCUAUGUUUAUCAUUAUAUAUGUGUUUUCAUAAAACCUGGGGGUUAGUACGUUGAUAACUGUUUAUUAUAUAUAUAUCAACUUGGUCCACUCAUAUUUGUUUUGCGCCCCCUUCAGGACUUAGAAUCGAGGCAUACAAUUCCGGCAUCCAGGCACUUCCGCAUCGGUAUCUUCGAGUCCUCUCGGUGUAGGACCCACUUCUGUGUUCAUUCAAUUUUUUUAUAUUAAUUCUUUUAAUGUUCUAGAUUAGAUGUGUGCUCUGAACACGUUCCUUAAAUACAUAUUCAUUAUUCUUUUAUAGUUAUAAGUCUUAAUUAUUCCUUAUUUUCAGCAAUUGCACUCAAUAAUUGGUUUUCGUCACCCUCGGGUGUCGGCCAGCACGUGCAUAUCCUGGUAUUCGGGGAAUAUCGGGAUCGGGGCGUGUCAGUUGAAGUUAAAUCUGCUGCAACAAUAACUGGCUAUGUUUCUAGAGUCCCUAAAUGUGCAUAUUUUAAAUGUUCUAGCAAAGGCUUCAGCUCCAAUUUUGGUAGCUACUGUCUAGACUGUUUAAGGGGUUGUUUAGGCUCCCAUAAGCUUGCAUAAACAGUUCUCCACCUGGGCAACUGUGUUGGCAGACUGUCCAAUACAUAAAUGUACUCAAGAACCCUUUAUCUUCAGAAUCUGACCCAAUUUUCCCUUGUAAAACAUGCAACAACUGAUCUGAAAUUGAAUUAGCCUGAAAAUUGCCUUGAACCACACUGUCUAACACAUCAAUGCACAUACACUAUUGUUGUUUAGCAUGACGUUUGGAUGCCUCAAAAAAAUUAAAUACAACAGAUUGAUCUUGAACUCCUAAAGUUAGUGUUCCAGCUUCCACAUCAAUUAUUGUCGUAGAUGUUGCCAUGAACGAUCUUCCCAAAAUUAUGGGCGUUUUUUAGGUCUUCAUCCAUGUCUAAAACCACAAAAUCUGCCGGUAAAUAAAGAUUAUCAACUUUAAUAUUGAUAUUUUCAAUAAUGCCCUUAGGAUAAGUCAUUGAACAGUCAACUAGCUAAAGAAUACUUGAUGUAGGCUUUAAAUCUCCUUGUCCUAAUUAUUGGAAAACAGAAAAUGACAUUAAAUUAAUAUUGGCACCUAAAUCAAUUAAAGCAUUUUUAAAAUCAGAAUUUCCAAUAGUACAUGAAAUGUUAAAACUCCCUGAAUAUUUUUUCUUAGGUGGCAGUUUAUGUAACAAAACUACGCUGCAUUGUUCUAUCAAAAUAACAUUGUCCAAAUCUGCAAGUUUCUUUUUGCUGUUGCAAACCUCUUUCAAAAAUUUAGCAUAAGAUGGAAUUUUCUUGAUUACAUCCAGCAAUGAAAUGUUGAUUUGAACCUUAGAUAAUGUCUGCAUAAAAUCCUUAAACUGUUGAUCUCUUGCCUUAUGAAUUAAACAUUCAAGAUACGGUAAUGGAGGGUCAUAAACAUGCUCAGAAACCUGUUUUGGGACAGUUUCAGCAUCUGCCAGAUUCUGUUUUAUUGUAUAAUUUGCAAGUUAUGCUGCUAUUUCUGUAUUUUCUGCAGAAAUUUUCACUGCAAGCUAAUCUUUUUUAGUAUAAUUUUCACGAUUGUCAUAACUUUUUCCACACCGUAAAGUCCGAACAACAUUGCAGUCUUCACGUCCUCUUGGAUUAGGCACUGUUUGACAAGGAAAUUUGCCUUUUUCUCUGUUUGAAAUAUGUGUAGCUAACUGUCCAAAUGAUUGCUCCAAACUUUUAAUUGAUGCUUCCACAUUUUGAAAUUUUUGAUUGCUGCCACCUAUAUAUGAUUGAGUUGUUGCUGCCAAUUUAGCAAGUUGAUCAUCCAAAGAUGGUUUGGAUGGUACAAAAGGUUUUUGUGUUUACUGCAAUGGUUUUGCAUGAUUCUGAUUGUCCCCCAAUUUGAAAUUAGGAUGAUCCCUCCAUCUUGGAUUGUAAUGAGUUGCAUAUGCAUCAUUUCUAGGCCUUUGAUAGCUGUUCAUCAUAUUAACAUGUUGCUCAACAAGCUCCGUGUAGGAUUCUUUAUGCGGGCAUCACAUUAUGUCGUGCGUAGCCAUGCUGCAAAUAAUGUAAACGGUGGUUGCUACUGUGUAGAAUUUGCAAUUUGUUGUAAAAGAAUGUCAAAUUUUGCAUUAAUUUUCUUUUCCAUUUUUUUCAUUUGUGUAGACAUGUUAGGAAAACCUGCUGAUAACUAAAAAAUGCCCCUUUUCUAUGAAUGUUUUGCUGCCCAAUGUUGACAUUAUGUAGCCAUCAUAUCAAAUCAUUCAAACGCCUCUCUUGCAUAUUUAUUUGACAACAAUCCUCCAGUUGAGGCAUUAACAUGGCUCUUAGAUAUAGGAUUAAGCACAUCAAAGAAAAUAUUCAUUUGUGUAUUUGAAUCAAUAUUAGCAUGUGGACAAUUCAUGUACAUCUCUUUAUAUCUCACCCAUGCUUCAUGAAACUCUUCGUUCAGCUUUUGAGAGAAUGUCAUAAUCUCCCGCUUGUAAUUCAAUUUCUUAGAUGCUGGAUAAUACUUGUUUAGUAAUUUUGUAUGUAAUUGUUGCCAAGUGGUAAUGCUACUAGUCGGUAGAGUAAAUAACCAAGUUUUCGUCUUAUCCUUCAAAGUAAAAGGAAAAAGACGUAACUUAAUAACCUUGGCAGAAAAACUCCUGAUCAAAAUAUUUUUGCAACCCACAAUAAAUUUUGCAAUAUGAAUGUUUGCGUCUUCAUUAGGCAACCCACAAAAUGUUGGUAAAAUUUCAAGCUUGUGGUGCUUGAUCUUGAAUGCUUCUCCUUCUUCCUGGGCAAGAUAGACAAUACAAUUAGGAACAUCGUUUACACGGGCAGCCAACGAAUAUUUGAGUGGUUUGCCUCCUUAAGGUAAUGCUAACGCCAUUGUAACCUCUCUGUCCACAAAAUCAGCAAAUAAAUUAUGCAAAAAAGUGUCGUGCAUUGAACAGUCCCAUGCCAAAUUAGUUUCUCUUUGUUGUUGUCGCAGUGUGUGUUCUGGUUCUGGAUAAAACUGAGCAAUCUGGGCAAAUUUUGAUCCGAUCUGGACCAUAAAGUUUGUAGAAUCUACAAUCAAACGAAAAUAGCAAAAUAAUCUGAAUUAAAAUAUUGUUUUUUAUUUUUUUUAUUUGUGCAAAAAAUAAUUAAUUAGGGAAGGUCUAAACAAAAAUUAUCUAAAAUAAUCCCCAGCUACGACAUCAAUUUCUUGAUGGGAUUUUUACCGUCUACGAAAAGAAGGUUAAAAUCACACAAAACACUUGCAAGAAUACAAGAUUAUUGUAGUACAGAUAUUCAUGCAAGGUCGUUCUCCUCAAUGACUAUUUUAAUAAUUUAUGUAAAAACAAUUCCUAAUUAACUACUUAUAAUUAAAAAUUGAGAAAAAAGAUUUUGACUUUGGGUAAUAUUAAAAACGAAUUUUAAUUAACUACUAAUAAUAAAUUUCCCCAAAACUAAUACGAUAAAAGAAAAGAGUUUUAAAUACCAAUUUAUAAAAGCACUAGGGUCCACCAUCACCUAACAAACCUAUGAAUUUUUAUCAAUUACUUAUGAUCUACACAUGCUACUUUGAAGGUUAGGUUUUCCUAAUAUAUAUUUUACUUUGAACCUCCAACAUAGAACGUAUAUCUAACAUGCAAUCCGUCCAGAUGUUCGGAUCAAAUAUGAAUACGAGAGACUCAUUAUGCUUUAUGAAAACCCUUUGAAAAAUCAUACAACCCUUAAGACGUGAUGUUCAUCUUAAGUGAUAUUACAAUUAUUAAUCACAAGAAGCCAACGUCAAUUUCAGGAAACCUUCCGACCAAAAUUGAAUUAAAUUACUUUUCUAAAGAUCUUAAUGCUGAUCAGGUAUUAAGAGAAUUAGAUAGUUUAAAACAGUGAUCAAUAAUUCAAAGUAUCCAUGCAAUCAAUCAUAAGCAAUUAAAUAAAAAUUACAUAUUCAUGCUAAGGCUCAAGGCUUCGCCCUAGCAAAAUAAAUUAGUUAUGCAUAUUCAUAAUUAAAAUCAUAGAAAAUAUUAUUAUGAAGAAAAAGAACGAAAACACCUUAAAGUAGAAAAGCUAAAAACCUUUGAAAACCCUAGCAAUUCUUCCAAAGUUGCAUAAAAGAAAACGUAAAACAAAAUAGGAUCGGUUGAAACCUUUUAAAUCCCAUCUAAAAAGCAUUGCACAAUCCUAAAAAACCAGGUCCUUUAUUCCAACUAGGAAACUAAAAAUAAUAGUAAAAUAUCUUAAAAAAUAAAGUUUUAAUUAAGUUAGGGGAAUCUGCUAAGUACUUGUCUAGCCACGUUUUAGCCUCAAAUAUCCUCCAAAUCCGGCCCAUGAUAGCUUGUUUUGAAGAUUAGGACGUUCUAAACAAUCUCUAGAAGGCCACAAACCCAUCCGAGGUCAUCUUGGACUCACAAAAACGCAAUUCAAGCUCAAAACGUCACUAUUUCAACACCGCGCAUUGCUCAUUUAUUUUAUUGCCAGAAAAUAACCUCUUGGUGGAAAAUUUUGAUAUUUUGACACGAUCGAGCCAAGUAACUCAUGAACGUCCUCCAACUGAAAUUACUUCAAAAUUCGUCCAUUUGACCAUGUUUUACUCUAUAGGAAGUCAAAAAUCUUAUAUUCAAAAUACAAUUUAAAGUAUCAAAAUUCUUUCAAAAUAAUAACUAAAAUAUACUAAGAUUAAGGUUAAAUAUAUAAUAUAAAAUCUACUCAUCACCUACAACAGUGGCACACUUGUUCUCACCACUUGAGCCUCUCCUUGGCACUGAGACCAGGCUCGAUCAACUAGGACCGAACCUUACUUGAUGGCUCAUCGCCAUUUUUUAAAAAGCAUCAUAAUAUCUCAGCGAUCGUCGUCUCAAUCUUCCGACGAUUAGCGAUGGAUUUCAGUUAUCGAGGGACGAGUUUGAACUCGUCAGAUUUGAGGAUACCAGUAUUUUUACAUACUAAUCUCUCGAAAAUCCGUUGUAAAUCAUGAUGUUGUGGUAGUUAAAAUGAAUAAUAUUUCGAAGUGUUAAAAAAACUGAAUUUACAAUGUCUUUUAACAUCACACAGAUAAAACUUUGAACAUAACGACACUUACAACUCCGGAGCGUACGAGAAAAGCCAAAAAUAACAAGAUGAAAAUUGAUCAUUUUAGCAAUCGGAAACUGUAAAUUGACCGAUAACAGGGGGGCGGGAUGAAGCAUCAUUUCGGGGACAAAAAAGUUCAAAGAGGGUUGUUUUCAUAUAUACCGGAGACGAACAUGUAUCGGAGCAUAAAAAAUAGUCUACAUAUAAGUCAAUUGAUAUCUUAAAGACGUUAAGAAUCCCAGCACAUGUCCAGUGUAGAGUUGGAGUGAAGGCAACGUUGGAACAAAGCUUAAGAACAUAAAAAGUAUUAGCAUUUAUAGACACACACAUUAUUUAGACACACAACUACGCCUUAGUCUUCGGUAUCAAGAUUCAAGACAUACAAGAUGUACUGAAAGCAAGCAAAGCAGCAUACACACUCGGGUUAGUACCGGAAGAUUUCAAUACCACAAACUAUUUACUUGUUUAGGAGUGGUCUGCCUCCAUAUGAUUCAGACUGAAGGCGCCUUCCAUAUUCUUAUGCACUUCAGCUUUAAACUUCUCUUCUUUGCUUCCCCUUUUCACCUUCAGAAGCAUGUUAAACUUUGCAUGCUCUUCUAUCACCUGCUGCCCACAGUUUAAUCAUAUACACAAAUCAAUACAUUAAUCCCGUCGAUCCCAACGAUGAUGUCAAACAGACCUCAAAACAGAGAAGAAUGAACAAAUCGACUUGUAUACCGCAUUAUACAAAACAAUUUGAAGUUGAAAGCAAAAUUGACAAGAAAACAAUGUGUUUAUUUUGUUUUAAUCUUCUGAAUUACCUAAAGGUUAAAUCCAAAUUUCCUAUUCCAAUUCUCUAAAAUACAUUUAAAUAGAAUUUCCUUACUCAAUUCUCCACAACCAAAUCCUGGUCCCAUUACACAACUACUCGCAUUUGAAAGAGAUUUUUUAAAGUGUGCCUGAAACACGAGCACAUAGGCCAAGCGGAGGGACACUUGAAAAAAAUAUCCAUCCACUUGUAUAAUAACAUCUGGCAUGCCGUCCCAUUUUCCGAGCACACUGAAAAACCUCUCCACAUUUAAAUGAACUUGAACACCCAUUCCAACAAAACCAAAUACUACCCCCCCCCCCCCCCCAAAUCCUCAAUUCUCCAAAAUGCAAAAAAAUCGACUUUCAUACUCUGAUUCAGCACAAACCAACCCCCUAAUACCCAAUUCUUCGAAAUCCCUUUCAGACACAACAAAUAACUAUACACAAUACCCAAUUCUCAAAUUCAUUUAGUUGGAUUUGAAUACCCAAUUCAACACAAACAAAUACUAACCCCCAAUACUACAGAGUGGAAAAUCAAAAGAAGGAAAUGAAAAGGCACAAACCUCAGCCUUGGCGUGAACAACUUCUAGAAGCUCAUAAGGCAACAAGGAAUUAGACUUCUGCUGGAGGGACUUAACAGCGUGGUUAGCCGCAUCCUGCACCUGCGGGUCAUGCGGCGGCACAGAUUGCCACCCAGGAGGAUGCCCACCUUGCUUGGCACCAAGAUCGGAAGAGGUAACGGAUGGUGUCUCCUCCUCAUCAGCCUGCUUGAACUCCUGCUCUUCUUUGAAGCCCAUCCAAGGCUUCACCCACACCUUCGCUUCGUACAGCUUCUUCUUGCCGGCCUCGAUCGCCUCGAUCGUCAGAUGGUGCAGAGUUCCGGCAACCACCUGCUCUUUCGCCUUCACAACCCUCACAAAUUCGAGCAGGGCAUUCUGAACCAUAAUAAUUUAAUUAAUCAAUCAAUAAAUUAAUCGAAAUUGUAGCAUAAUUAGGUAAAGGAAAAGGUCAGGAGGGUAAACUAUGUACCUCCUUGUUAUUGUGCUCUUGGACGGCGAAGCGAGCGAGGUCUUCAACUUCGGCGCUGUUCUGGACGCCGCGGGAUUCUUGGAUUCCGCCGACUGUGUCCAUUUUCCGGUGUUGGGAACUGUGGCCGCAGCCAAUUCGGGUUGAUUUUUGUGCGGUAGUGGAAGGGAAAGCGAGGAGGAGGAGGAGGAGGAAGAAGGGAGCAAUUAAUAGAGAGAGGUAAGAUUCCGAUUUCAUCUGGCCUUUUUGGGUUUGGGGAUUUUUUCGACGGUUUCUCUGCAAAUUCGGAUAUUUUUCUUUCGGUCAUCAGGUUUUUAUGAUACGUGUCAAACACGUGUCGAUUCUGCACCAUCUUUGCUUACUAUGUAAGCUUUCGAAAUGGGAUUGAGAUCCUCUUCUUGGCUAAGGAUGAUGAUUUUCCUGACCUAACUCAUAUGAUUGUUUAAAUUUUAUCAACGAUUACAAACAUAAAGUUUUUCUAAAAGUUAUAAUAACUGUAACAGUUGAAUAAAAUUUGAACGAUCCGAUGAGCUUGAUCAAGAGGACCAUCACCCUUACCUUAGUAGUGGAUCCUAAUCUCUCUCUAUAUACUUUUGUGAGAGGACGGAGGAUCCUCUUUUUUUUUUUCUUUUUUUUUUUGACAAAGGAGAACGAUAUUAAUCCAACCAAACACAACUACAACAUAACAACAAAGGCCCACGGAGGAUCCUCUUUUUUGUGAGGAUCCUAAAGAUCAAUUCAUAUUACAUAUUCAUUAUAUCAUGCGAUUAGCUUUCGUUAAGUACUGUUUCUGUUUAAUUUUAAAUAAAAAAAUUGAAAUAAUUUCUGAUUGUAAAAUAACUGAUGAACGAAUAUGUUAAACAUAUGAGAUAAGACGAACCCGGCCCUUAACAUGUUGCUAGAUGUUGUCUCCAGCAAGAAACAAGAAAAUGCAAGAACGGGCCCAGGCCCAUUUGGGCAUCAGCCCUUUCUGAAGGCCAAUUUGGCUGUUGUCCUCCUCUUUGUCGAAAAGCUAUUUCAAUUUGGGAAAUUAAAUUCAUUUAACUUUUCUUUACAUCUAACUUACUUUUUACACUUAUAUUAUUUUUAAUUAAACUAUCAAUAUCUUUUUAAACCCAAAGUUACUACCUAAACUACCCUCACAAACCCAAUUCAAUAUGUAAAUUUAUCUUUUACACCCAUAUGAAAAAUAAAAAACCAAAAAAUCAAAGGAAAACUAAUGAAGAGAAUUUGAAAACUUUGAGUUUUAACAAUAAGGACAAAAUAAAAGGUAAAGUGAAUAGUACAAAGAUUGAUUUUUUAGUAUAAAAAUGUGGUUUUUCAUUAAAGUGAACAGUACCGAGAGCUUUUCGUUAAAGUUAAAAAAAAUCAAAGCAAUCUCUUCUCUGACGUUCUCUCCUUCCAAUAGUUGCUUUUGAUGGAGUCUUCAUCAUCCUCUACAACAUUGUUCUCUCAACUUAGUUCGUAUUUGUCGAGACUUGAUAGUAUUGGUCAAUUUUCUCAUUAGAUUUGUUGAAGGGAGUCCUUGAAUUGCUGCUUAAUAAUUCGUUUCACUACAAGAGCCAGUUUCUAAUAUAAUUGCAGCACAAUGCAUGUGUCUUAUUUGACAUAUCCUGGGUAGAAUUUAAAGACUUAAGUUGUUAAAGAUGUUUUUGAAAUUUGGCUCACGUGCAUCAUAUGUGUUGCAACAAGUUUAUGUUCCCAUGUUUACAAUUUGAGCUUGCAUUAAACUAUAUUAAGAUUUUUAUUUGUUUCUUCCCUCAAAUCUAUCCACCUUUUUAAGGGGUUGAAUAUGAUGGGUUUGCAUGCACGUCACACCCCUCCGCUCUUCCUCUGUAUAGAAAAGGAAGAGAAAACUCCUUCCCUUUCCCAUCCACUCCAUGGGUUUCUAUUUAAGUCGCGUAUGGGUGAAGAGGUAGUUGGCUUAAGUAUAGAUUGUCGAUGGUUCAAAAUUACUAUCCAUCCAUACAAAAUGACUUAUUUUUCACUAUGAGAGUGUUUUAUGAUUUUUGUUAUAAUAGAAUGUAGAAGAAUGAUACGUGAUGUUGAUGAUUAUAUUUGAUUAUUGUAUUGAGUGUUUGUUUAUAAUCUUAUUUUUAUUAUUAAUUUCAUUUUGUAUUUUAUAAUAAUUAUGCAAUAAGAUAAUAAAGUAAUUUUACGUUUAUAAUUUAAGGUCAAUGUAGAGAGAUGUUACAUAGUUAAAAUAAAAUUUCUCUUUCAAUUUUCCUUCCGUCCCAAUUUUCCCAGAAAAAGAAAGAGAGAGAAAGGAAAAAGAGGGUCAGAGACUCAGAGACAAAGGAUAGAGAAAACACACUCACUGAGAGUGAGAGAGGAGAUAGAUGAUGACGUACGCAGCCACAGCUUCAAGGCCGCUGUGUUCUUCACAAACCCAAGUGCCCAUUUCGCCAAUUGUGAAGGGCACUGCCCUCAACAGCAAUGGUAUUAUCAAUUGCCAUAGGAGAAGCAAUGGCGUCUGUGUGAUUAAGGCCAUGAAAAGCUCGUCUCCCCCACGACUGACCUUGUCGAGCAAUUGGGAUUUUCCCUCAGCUACUACUUCAGCUCCAAGGCUGCCCAGAUUCGAAGAGCUCGAUACCACCAACAUGCUUCUCCGUCAAAGAAUCAUCUUUCUGGGUUCUCAGGUUCUCUUUCUCUCUUAAUUUGGGUUUUCUUGCUUCAGCAUCGAAUAUUGUCGACAUGGGUUUUGCUGCUACUUGUGAAAUUUGGACUCUUUACUGUUUGUUGAAAGUUAAGUAGUUCAAAAUUUGGUGGGAUUACUCUGUGUGUGUGUGUUUGUGUUUCUUAUUUACAAAAGGACUAAACUUGAAAGUUAGAAGUUAGUCAUUUGAAGGGAUUACUGUGUGUUUGUUUGUGUUUCCUAAUUACUAGAAGACUUAACGUAUGAUUAGGAACGGUUGCUUUAUUUAUUUUUCUCUUCAUUUUCUGCCGGUGGGCAGGUAGAUGACAUGACAGCGGAUUUGAUCAUAAGCCAACUUCUAUUUCUAGAUGCCGAGGACCCGAAAAAGGACAUUAAAUUGUUUAUCAAUUCGCCCGGUGGUUCUGUUACUGCUGGUAUGAUUUAAAUACAUUCGGCAUGUUGGAUCCUGGCAUCUCUCCUCAAUUAUAGCUUUCUGGUUCUUAUAUAUCCUUGAUAUUUGAGAUAACAAAACAUACAAAUGAACGACAUAUUUUUAUUACAUAAUUAGGUAAAUCGAUUUUCAAUUAUAAUAUAACUUGAAGCAUUGGCAAAUUAAAUAGUAAAUGAGGAGAACGGCAUCAUGAAGCGAUGCUUUGGUAUCAAGUACAAAGGAUUGCAUGCAUAUACUGCAUUAUAUUUGCAACAUAUUGGAUGAGGAAAUGUUAAAAGGAGAGUACUGGGAGGGUAUACAGCCACUAAUGUAAAGCAAGUAAUAUAUUUGCAGGGUAUACAGCCCAAUUUGCAAAAUCAAUGACCAUGCACACACACCCUGGAACUUCCUCAAUUGAAAUAGCUAAGAAAACUUAUGAAAUGUGCAAUAGCUCAGAUUUAUACAUAAUUGGAAAUAGACAAAUUUAAUAAAAACAACAAAGACAAGUAGGUCUACCCUACUUUUAAUUAUCAAGUUGUCAUUGUUGCAUUCCAAGAGAAAUCAAAGGUACAAUUAUUGUUUUAACUAGUUUCUCAUAUACAGAGUAGAGGAAACAAAAAAUUAAAUAAAAACGAAUGGAUGAUCCAAUCACAGAGUCAAAAUUUAUCUUCAAAAGGCACACAGAUAUAUACAUCGGCUUAUACUCUUAAGGCACCAUAUAUGGCAGAAAACUUAGGAGAAACAAUUGAAACACUUUUCUAGUAGGGAAAAAAAUAAUAAUAUACUUUUGCUAGUAGAAUAGGAAAAAGAAAUCUAAACAAUUUCUUGUAGAAAACUCUAAAAUCAAAGGAACAUAAUGCAAUCACUUAACGUCUUCAUUCUGAAAGUUUAGUGAUUCGAUAGGUCUUAACAAAAAUCAAUAAUCAUUCAGAUAGCAAUCGCUACUUCUUAACUCUCUUUCAUUUUUUUCUCUUCAAAUUUUUACGAGUAGAAAAGCUUUGAGCAGAUAAAAGAGAUAAGAUACAACACAUGGUGACAGCCAAACCAUCGCACAUAGUAAAGCUCAAUCCAAGAUAAUAAUUGAAUUGAUCAACAACUACAAUUACGUAAAAUAUACAUCAAAGCUUAUUGUUCCCACUCUUUGGGUACAUUCAAACAAAUAUAUUACUUGCUUUACAUUAGUGGCUGUAUACCCUCCCAGUACUCUCCUUUUAACAUUUCCUCAUCCAAUAUGUUGCAAAUAUAAUGCAGUAUAUGCAUGCAAUCCUUUGUACUUGAUACCAAAGCAUCGCUUCAUGAUGCCGUUCUCCUCAUUUACUAUUUAAUUUGCCAAUGCUUCAAGUUAUAUUAUAAUUGAAAAUCGAUUUACCUAAUUAUGUAAUAAAAAUACUUCGAUUUUUGAGAAAGCAAUCAUGGUGGGAGAUAUUUGUUGUAAUAUAUUUCUUUCCCCCCGAUAAUACCUCUGCAAACAAGCUAUACUAGAGCAAGAAUAUCUCAUAUCAUCAGGGUUAAAAGCAAGAGUAUCCCAUAUCAUGCUUUUUCCCUGUCUUUUCCUUUGGCCUUGUUUUUACCUGCAAGACAAGGAGAAAGAGAGCAAUCAGUCAGCACUUGAAAUCAAGCUCCCAGCCAGGAACUGACAGCCUGGAACCCCUUACCUGAUUACUUACCUGGCAUUGCUCUCGAGUACUCAUCUUCAACAUCUUAUGUUGCCAGGGAAGAUACCGCAUCUGCUUGAGGAACAGAUAGGGCAAGUGCGAAGGAUACAAGGAAGCAUGUGGAGACAAGCGUAACAGCACCACGUGCCGAUCCAUCCAUUACUCUGUCAAAAGCAAAAGUAUCCCAUAUCAGCAGGGUCGAACGUACUCUAGAUUUGAUGGACUUGUUUUGACCCUCAAAUUCUUCAGUCGGCCUUAUACUUUGGAGGAAACCAGAAAACCCUCCAGCUCAGUUCAAGAAUAAGCCUGUGGAAAGUUACUUCUUCAAAAGCAAAAAAUAUCCCAUAUCAUCUCUUCUCAUUUUUUCUUCUCUUUAUCCCUUCAUGCUGCUGCAAGAUGGGGAGAAGGUGAACAAUCAGCCGGAGCUCUAAUUGCUUACCUUGUCUGUUACCUCUCUUCAGCAAAAUCCCCUAGCUCGGCGACUUGGGGGACUCCUACUACAUGGUUUGUAUCGCGCUUGACCAAGCCUGAAACUACAAGUAAGCUUCAAGUGAAAUUGAUACAUUACCUUGUGCAUCUUCACCAGUUAAAGAUACCACCCCUGGAUGGAGGAAGAGUACUUCCAGAGAGAAGCUGCCACAUCUACCUAUGAGACAGAUAAGGCAAGUCAAGAUGAUACCACACUCCGAUACUUAGAAGUUUCGUGAUUACGAGAUCAUUCUCCCACAAUAUUUCCUAAUGUCAUUUGUACUCUAAUGUCAUUUGUACUAAAUCAUUCACUUGUACUCACUAAAGGAGAGCUUGAACCUAUGUACUUGUGUAAACCCUUCACAAUUAAUGAGAACUCUUCUAUUCCGUGGACGUAGCCAAUCUGGGUGAACCACGUACAUCUUGUGUUUGCUUCCUUCCUAUCUCUAUCCAUUUAUAUACUUAUCCACACUAAUGACCGGAGCAAUUUAGCGAAGAUCACAAAAAGCGACCGUUUUCGCUACCUAGGAUCUAUCUUACAAGAGAACGGAGAAUUACAUGGAGAUCUCAACCAUAGAAUACGAGUUGGAUGGAUGAAGUGUAAGAGUGCAUCCAGCAUGUGUGUGUGACCGUCGUAGGCCACUGAAGCUCAAGGGAAAAUUUUAUAAGACGGCAAUAAGGCCAACGAUGUUGUAUGGCACAGAAUGUUGGGCGGUGAAACAUCAACACGUACACAAAAUGGGUGUAGCAGAGAUGAGGAUGCUUCGUGGGAUGUGUGGGCACAAGAAAGGAUAAGAUUGAGAAUGAGGAUAUCCGAGGUAAAGUAGGAGUAGCCGAAAAUUGAAGGAAAGAUGAGAGAAAAAUCGGUUCCGGUGAUUUGGACAUGUGCAAAGAAGGCCGACUGACGCUCCGGUUCGAAGAUGUGACUACGGGACAGAGGUUCAGGGCCGAAGGGGUAGAGGAAGACCUAGGAAAACUUUGGAAGAGACUCUAAGAAAAGGCUUAGAGUACUUGGAUCUAACGGAGGACAUGACACAAAACCGAGCGCAAUGGCGUUCUAGGAUUCAUAUAGCCGACCCCACUUAGUGGGAAAAUGCUUUGUUAUUGUUGUUGGGCAAUCUAUGAGAACUUCUAUAACUUUUUCAACACUUUGAGUCUGUAUUAUGUAUAAACUAUGAGAACUUUUAUAACUUUUUCAAUACUCAUUUUGAAUAACUUAAAGGUGUCAUGCAGUUGUGGAGCCAGAAAUUAUGUUAAGGAGGGUCAAUUUUAAGUGACUAUAGAAUUAUGAUAAAUUGAUCUUAUAAAUAAAAAUUACUUGAGAAAUGAUCAUAAUUAUCAACUUAUUUAGCAAAAAAAAUAUUCCAAGUUUCCAACCAAUGCGAAAAGCAAUCAUGCCUAUGCACCUUCGUGUGAAUUCGAACAAAAGUAAUUGGAUAGAGUAAGAUGACAUGAAAUUAAAUACCUUUUAUUUGAUUAAGAGGCAAAAAAUGAAAUUAUGAAAUUAAGUGUUGGACCCUCAACUAUGAGCAAAUUACAUCUGUGAGAAGGUUAACUAUAAAUAUAAAAGCCAAACUACAUCAAUUAGCACAUAUAAAUACAACAUGUCCAAAUUGUGAGAAGGGUCAUAUGACCCUCCUAGGCUUUAACUGGCUCCGCCAGUGAUGUGAUGGAUAAUCUUUAGUUUCUACAAAAACACUUAAACAGCACUGAUCAUGGACGGUGGAUAGUUUGUGCAGUGGAAUUGAUAUAUUGGUAUUAUGGUUUAGAACUUUUUAAAUCCAAUUCUUCCCAGUGUAAACCACCACUCGACAGGCUUUCGAAAUCUAUAGUUGUCUGAAGUACAUAGUAGAAAAGAUUUAUGUAGGUGAGCAAGGUGUCGUGAGCAUUCGGUUUGGUUGGGAAUAAGCUAAAUUUUGUUUAUCAAGUUAUAAAAAGAUGAUAGUAAAACAAGAGCUUGACAUGCUAAGGAAAUACGAAGAAAACCAAAGAUGAUUAGCGUGGGGAUAGAGUGAGUCUCUUCCUCCAAAGGCAUCUUCUAUACUCUUAUAAAAAACCAAUGCGAAGAAGAUUAGUGUAAUGGACAAAGACAAUUAGCUAGGGGAACUAGACUGGCAACAAUGAAUUAAAAAGGAAACAACAACACAAGAAACCAACAAGUACUAGUAUGGGGAGAGACACUCUAAGUUGAGUAGUAUGGGGGACAAAGAAGAUAUGUCUGGUUUGAUGUUUGAGUCCUUUUGGUAACACUGAACAAAAUUGGAGUGAUAUAUGUUUGCCAUUGGGUUUUGUUUUGAGUCCACAUGGUUCUUUUAUGUUAAAGUCCAACUCUUUAUCAAUUGUUAUGCAUUUUGAAAUUUGAAUGACAUAGAGGGCGGGAUAUUUUUGCAGAAAGGGAAAGAGUAGGGCAGAGUGCUAACUGGGUAAUGUCAAUGAAAAGAUUGAAUGAGGUUUGUUGAAAACAAAUAUAAGUAAUUGAAAUUUUAUUCUAUCUAUUUCUGCUUUUGGGAAGCAAAAUAGCUGUUCUCCCGCUUAGCCAUGCCCUCCUUUGUUAUUGUUAUACAACUUCAGUUGGAUUGAUUAUAUUUUCUUUUUAAAGUUCUCUUCCUUUUUCUUUUGUAUUCUUACCAACCUGCCCCUCCAUGUAGGAAUGGGAAUAUAUGAUGCAAUGAAAUUGUGCAAGGCAGAUGUUACAACUGUUUGCCUGGGGCUUGCUGCUUCUAUGGGGGCCUUUCUUCUUGCUGCUGGCACAAAGGGAAAGAGAUUCUGCAUGCCCAAUGCAAGAGUGAUGAUCCAUCAACCCCUUGGAACUGCCGGGGGAAAAGUAAGUGCUUGUUUUCUGCUUAUUGUUGUGGAUGUCCAUAUAAAAUUUCUUAAGGUGUUUUUAGUAUUGUUUGUUUACCAUAGUGUUUUCAUUGUUUUUGUAAAUAUGCUUGUUCACUGAUACCAAUAUCUUUAUCCUUGGUUCUAUUGCAUGUAUUUAUAUUGAUGCUGUCGUGUCUUUCUAUUAGUAAGUUAUAGAUUACCAUUUAUUGUGUAUCAUGUAUUUACAAACUUAGUUCCCCCCAAGCCUGUCUGUCUAUGGUUUAAGGCAUGGCAUAUUGGCGCUGUCCUCUGUUUCUGUUACUAAGUUAUAGACGACCAUUAUUGUUUAAGAUUGUAUUUACAAACUUAGCUCACCCGGCCUGAUAGUCUCUGAUUCUUUCACAACAUUAUUGCGACAAUUUGACUUUUGGAAGAAUCUAAGUUCGCUUUUGAUUAUAAAUUUGACUUAUAUUUUUCAGUUUAUAUAGUAAUAGAGGAUUACCCAUUGCACGGGGAACACCAUUUUUGAGUUACAUAAUUUCGAUGAACUGUAAAGGAUAAAUCAAAUUAAAUUAAAAUCUCUCAAGGAGGAGUCAAACAACAAACUCCCUUCCAACUAGAUCCCAGAGAAAGAUCACUCCAAGAUUCUGGCAACUAGCUAUUCUCCACUUUCUAGAAUUUCCACAAUCCAUGCCUUCUAUAUGGUUGGCAUUUCUCAUGCUGUUGUGGCUUUGAUAUAGUUUUUAGUAAUGUAUCAUUUGACUAGUAAAGUUCUCGUGCUUGAGAAUAAGCUAUCAGUUGUUCCUCAACAAGCUCUCUCAGGUUCUGCAGUUCAGAAGGUCAAGUCCUUAAUACAUGACCUUUUGUUAGAUUGUUGUGAGCCUCUGGAAUUGUGAGUGGUGAGCCCUCACUUUGCAAUCACAGUGAUCCAGAACUUUGACUUGGGCAGCCCUGUGGUACUGUGAUGAAUAGUUUAUGAUGCUAAUUUAUUGUCCUAAUAAAGGCUGAUCACUACCGUCAUUAAUAUCAUUUAUAAGUAAAAUAAGUUGGUUGACUUUCCUCUGCCAUAGAAAAGUCUGCAGUGAAGUCAUUUAAGGCGAUCAACUUCAUAGGAAGGUGGAAUGAUGCAGAUAUAUUCUUAAGAUUGUGCACCUCACCAGUUCUAUUCAGCCUUGUCACAACAGAAAGGUUGCUCUUUUGUGACUGAAAGGUCAUGGGUUCGAGUCGUGGAAAUAGCCUCUUUGGAAGGCAAGGGUAAGGCUGCGUACUAUUAACGUUCCUCUCACCCCCUGCUCCUCUUUAGCAAAGCAGGGAGCCUUGUUGGCUUGGGGUUGGGGGUGUCCUUUAUAUUUAUAGCAAUGGCUAAACAUUUUGUACACAACUUUAACAUACUGACGCAUGCAUUUUUAUGCGAUGGAGGAUUUCAAUCAUCUCCUUUUAUCCAUUUCUACCUGGCUAGAACACAUACAUGUUGGUUGAAUAUGAUAGAUAGUUCUUUUCGUUUACAAGGCUAAUGCAUUUGUUGGUGAUUCAUGAUUUUAUCCUGCAACUUUUACAUGUGAAUUCAGGCAACAGAAAUGGGUAUUCGGAUUAGAGAAAUGGUGUACCACAAGAUUAAAUUGAACAAAAUAUUCUCAAGAAUCACGGGGAAGCCUUUGGAGCAGGUCAGGCUUCAAAUUAGAUUUCUUCCAUAGUAAAUAUUCUGUGAGGGUCUCUUUUCCGUUUUUGAAUUCUUUGUUGGUGCAGAUUGAAGAGGACACGGACCGUGAUAAUUUCAUGAAUCCUUGGGAAGCUAGGGAUUAUGGGUUGAUUGAUGUCGUUAUCGAUGAUGGAAAGCCAGGCUUAGUUGCACCCGUUGGAGAUUUCACACCUCCACCCAGAACACGAGUCUGGGAUCAGUGGAAAGUUGAAGGGAGCAAGAAAUCGAGAAAGAGCUUGCCCGCAGAACAAAGGAUUUCUGACACUGAAAGAGGGGCCGAUAGGUUAAAGGAAGCACCCACUGCUAUAUGAGGCAUUGCGGUAGACUGAUCUUCUGCUUUUUUACCUUUGGUUUAUUUUGAUUAUGUUGUACUCCUCACCUCAUAAUCUUGUAAAUCAUUUGUCCAAAUAGUGAAAGUAGAUUAUUCAAGAUCUGCUCGGAGAUUAUUCCCCGUCCGUAAGCACACAUUUAAAUGUUCAACAGAGUUUGCUUCUCCGCUCUUUAUCUUUUCGAUAGUGUAUACUCCUCGUUUGUGGUUGAAUUUACAGAACAAAUUACAGUUUGACAAGCGGAUGAGUUUUUCUUUAGCUCUCUUUUGGUUGAAUUCUUUUUAAGUGACUUUAGUGUAUGAGUAGUCAGCUUAUGAUUUGUUGUUAAGUAGUUGUGAGGAGCCGAGCAAUAAGGAGCCAAAAGUUCGGCCUCCGGAACUUUACCAACAAGAAGAUUGAUAGCAAGACCUUUCAUGCAACACCAAGACCAAGUUGCACUUGUGCUGCCAUAUGUGAUAACUCAAACGAACCUACAACAUGAAAAUGCCCGUUCUUCGAUCCAACUUACAUGGUUGAUUACUUUGGAAUUUGGGCUUUGAGCUAAAACCUACAAAAUAUAAUGUGAGUAGUGUGUGGUAACUAACUGGUACAAUAAGAAAUUACAUACUUUACAUUGGUAACUUGACAAAUCCUUGUUUCGAUACGAAAACCAAAUAACAGCGUUAGGAUAAACAAGAUUCUAACGCUCCUAAUUUAACGUUUGGUACUCCUUUUUUAAGUGCCGAUAUAUAGUGAAACAUUCGGUUGCAGGUUACUAAUAAGAGAGUGCUAGAAUUGCUACCCUAAAAAAAUUCUCUCAUUAAGUCUUACUUUACAUGAAUUGUUAUUGACAUCUCAUAAAGGUUGAUCACUUGUUUCAAAAUUGAAAAUUCACAAUAGAAAAUUUGUGUACGAAAAGAGCAAAAUGACUUUUUCAAAGUGCAAACAACAAUAGACGGAAAGUAACAAAGUUCAAAUUUGCUUGAGUUGUUAAGAGCCUGUUUGGUACUCUACUUGAAUCCAACUUUUUAAAUUCAGAAACAAUUUUCAAGUUUUAGGCCUUAAAAACUUGUUUGGUAUGACUAUUUUCAAAAACUGAACUCAAGACUAACUCAAAAAUAUAGUCUAUUAUCUAAAAACACAAAAAGUGAGUUUUUACAGUUUUUAAACUUAAACUCACUCAUUUCUUUCCUUUCCCUCCUCCCCUCUUACUCCAAAUCUAUCUUUUUUUUUCUUUCUCUCUCCCCCUUCUCUUUUUUUUUUUACUUUUUUCGUCUCUCCUCCAAUCUGUUCUCUUUAUUCUCUCAGUUCUUUCUCUCACUUCUCUUCCUCUCUAUCUCCUCCGAUCUUCUUACUUCUUUCUCUUUCAUCAAAUCAUCUCUUACUUUCUUUCCUCCUCUCUCUCCUCUUUCUCUCUCGACCCCCUUUUUAUGGAUUUUUUUGUCUAGUUUAAGUUGUAAGAUUUAAAAAUUUUAAAUCGCAUACCAAAAAAGUUUUUGAGUCUUAAAGAAAAUUAUUUUCAAAAAAAAUUUUUAAAAUUUUUUUUCAAAUAGGAUACCAAACAAGCCCUAAAAUUCUCCCCCAUCAAUCACAUUGUCUUCAUUGGGCCUUUUUCUUUCAUGGUCCAGGCCCGGAUCCAUUUAAAUAAUAAAAAGUUAAAAAAAAAAGAAAAAAAAGCUGGAUAUCAAAAUAAAGGCACUGUUCUUGGCGCCAAAACAUCCGAUAAAUCCGCAGUUCCGUUUUCGAAAAAAACAUUUCCCUCUCUCGCAUUCAUACCUCACAAUUAAUCACAUUCCAAUUUCGUCAAACAAACCCAGAAAACGGUGUCGUAAUCGUAACGCCACCACAUUUCUCUCUCUCUCUCUCUCUCUCUCUCUCUCUCUCUCUCUAGGGUGUGCUCGUCCCCUUUCUCCUCCAAUUCUCAAGUGCUGCUACUACUCGAAUCUUGAAAACGACGCCGCUUCAAUCCUAACGUGUCGUCACUCGCCAUGACCACGAAGCCCUCGUCCGUCUCUCCCUCCCGCACCACCUGCGCUUCUCUCCUCCGCGAAUUGCAGGUUCCAUUUCUCUUUCUCUCUCGCUCGCUGGUCUUCUUUUCGUUUCGUUUUCCAGGUGAAUUUCGCUAUUUUCGGCGGCGGAAGAUGAAAGGGUUUAAUUGGGAUUUUUCGGAUUUUGAAUUUUUUCAGAUAAUUUGGGAUGAAAUUGGGGAGAGUGACGAUCAGAGGGACAAGAUGCUUCUACAGCUUGAGCAAGAGUGUCUCGAUAUUUACCGGAAGAAGGUUGAAAUGACCAGGAAGCACAGUGCCGAAUUGCACCAGUACUUAGCGGACAGCCAAGCCCAGAUCAAGGCCCUUGCUUUGGCCCUUGGAGAAGUUGACUCCUUUUCUUGCGGAAGAGGAACUCUCAAAGAUCAAUUGUCUGCCCUCAAACCUGUUCUGGACGAAUUGACCUUGAAGAAGGAGAAAAGGGUCAAGGAGUUUUCAGCAGUUCUGUCCCAGAUUGCAAGGAUUUCGGCUGAAAUAGCUGGGACUGGCGUGUCUGGGAAUGUGGAUGAUCCAGGACUUGACGAGCGCGAUUUGAGUGUGAAGAGGUUGCGGGAGCUUCAGUCGCAUCUUGAGGAGCUUCAAAGAGAGAAGGUACUAGUUGGGGUUCUGUUUUUGGCUCACCGAUAGUCUUCAAUUUAAUUCGGGUUCUGAAUUUCUCUUGUGUUUGCAAUUGGGUUUUUCUGGAUCCUUUGUGCAGGUUUUGCGUCUAGAGAGAGUAAGUGCUAAUGUAAACAUCAUCCAUGAACUCUCGGUUGUAAUGUCAAUUGAUUUCUGUAAGACAAUCAACAAAGUUCACCCAAGCUUGACGGAUCAGUCCUCUGCUCAGUCCAGGAGCAUCAGUAAUGAUACUCUUGCCAGAUUGACGACUUUGACUGAUUCAUUAAAGCAAGAGAAACAACAAAGACUGCAAAAGGUAACUCAUUAUUGAUCUCUUUUUUCUGUCACUAACUAUUUGAUACAUAAGGUGACCUGCAUGAAUUGGCAAUGUAUUAUUACUUAUUUGAAUUAGUCUGUAAAACUCCGCACUUUAAUUUCCCAGUACUUACACGGAAGUUAACUCUGUUACACUUCCAUUUUUUUCGACAUUCUUCUUACUCAAUUGGUAUAUGUUUUGUUGUAGCUGCAAUAUCUUGGGAGCAAACUGAUAGAACUGUGGAAUCUGAUUGAGACACCAAUUGAUGAACAGAAGAGAUUUGACCAUGUUACGAGCAUAAUUUCUUCCUCAGUUGAUGAGGUGUCUAGGCAAGGAUGCCUUUCCCUAGAUGUCAUUGAACAGGUGCUAAUUAUCAUCUCCAGUUUAUCUUAGAAUUUCGUUGUGCUGUAAUUUUAAUGACUAACUGGAAAUUCACUGUUUCUAGACUGAGGUUGAAGUUGAGAGGUUGAAUGUUUUGAAAGCCAGCAAGAUGAAGGAGUUGGUAUUCAAGAGGCAAAGUGAGCUGGAAGAAAUUUACAGAGGGGUCCACAUGGAUGUAGAUAGUGAUUCAGCUAGAGAGAUCCUCAGCAGUCUCAUAGAUUCUGGUCUUAACAACCUUCUAUAAUCUUGGUCCCUUGUUUAUAGCUCUAAAAUAAACUUUUCAAUUAUGAUGGUGAAAUAUGAUUGCAUAUGGAUUUACAGGUAGUGUUGGUUUGUCUGAACUGCUUUCAAGCAUGGAUGAUCAGAUUCUAAAGGCCAAAGAGCAAGCCCUAAGCAGGAAGGAUAUUUUGGACAAGGUAGAGAAGUGCAAGUUUGCAUCUGAGGAGGAAAAGUGGCUUGAUGAGUAUGAAAAGGUAAAAGUAUAAAGUAACAGUUUACAUUUUGUUCAGAACUAUUAUUUUCAACGGUCUAUAUAACAUGUUGGUCAAGUGACUAAACGAGUAAAGACUAAGAGUGAUCAUAUUUGGUAUUUUGGGUUAAUCAUAUGCAUAGACCACAUAGAGUGGGAUGGAAGAGAAAUUACCUGUAGAUUUGUGGUGGCUUGAGGGUUGAAGUGGAGAUCUGGUUUUAGAGAAUCAUCUGGUCAACAAUACCGAUAAGGUUGGAAAACUAUAGAAUAGAAUUUCUUGAGCUAUAAUUUUUUAGUACAUCUAUUGUGUAUCUAAGAAACAUGUUGGUGGAAUAGGUUUAGACAAGUUGUGAACGGAUGAGAAGCGAUUCCAUUUAUUUAGAAGUUAAGAAAAAAAUAACAAAGUUUCAACCAAGCUAACAUGGUAUUGUGGCUAAUGAUAUGAUUCGUGUUAAACAAGCAAUUGUUAAGGGAAGCCUGAAAAUGAGUAGGGUAGUGGUAGUAGUAAUGAUGAAGGGCAUUCCACAUUGAAGAGGUAACAAAACAUGGUCUUAGAAAGGUUCAAUACAUCGACAAUUUUGCUUGGGGCUAAGUCCCUGAUCAUGUUUGACUUCCUUUAUAGCAUAUUGGAGCUUAUUCAGGAAGAAAUAAGAAAUUUUCUUUAUGUUGAAUUUUCUAUUCUUUUUUCUUUCAGGAUGAAAAUCGCUACAGUGCAGGAAGAGGAGCACACAAAAAUUUAAAGCGUGCUGAGAAAGCCCGGAUUCUGGCUGGAAAAAUACCAUGUGAGCACUUAAUCGUGUUUUAGAGCAGUUUGGAUCUCGUAUAAUAAUACUUGUUAGACAAAUGUGUUUUCACUUUUAUCGGUGUACUUUGUUCUCUAUGCCCUGAAGAUGCUUAUCUGACCUUAUUUUUUUUACAUAACUUUAUUGGCCUACUUAGGGUCUUGGAUCAUAUAUAAGAAGUAAUGAAUACUUUGACUUCCUAAUGACUCACUCCAGAAUUUUGGUAUUACUGUUUAUUUGUAGCAUAACCGCAUUUGAAUUUGUUUGAAAGUAUUUUUUGUAUAAUUUCUUUGGCAUUUUUUAUAUCCUUCUGUAUUUUUAUUUCUAUACUUAAGGUGCAUUGUUUAUUUAUCUGUUCAGUUGACUUGAUAAUCAUCAUACCUCAUAGUUUGUGCAUAGAAUUCAUGGUGAGUAUACUUGUUCGUUUAAAAAAAAAAAAAAAAACUCACUUUAUGACCUGCGGAGAAGCAAAAUUAAGGAAAAGAAUUCAUGCUUGCUUGUAUUCACAAAUUAUCAUUCACUGUGAGGUGAAAAAUGUGUAGCUGUUUUUCACUCCAGCGAUCUUGUUCUUCUCGACUGAAAACCUUGGUUCAUAUCUCUUGAAAUUUCUACACUUUGAAGAAACAAAUCAUACUUCUCAGACCUGGUUUUGUGGGGAAGCAACCAACUAGACACUCUUUAUUCUGUUCUCCUAAAUUUCCAGAAAGAAGAGAAAUUUUGUGCUACUUGCAACUCCAAGUUCGAGAGCGGGAUCUAUUUGGGUUUGAGUGACGUUAAUUGUUGCUAAAACUGGAUCUGAAAGUCACUUUUGUUUGUUUGAGGCUUCGAGCAUAAAAUAUUUAAAGACGCACUUUUGUUUGGUUAUGGAACUACAAUUUCAUGAAACUGAAAUUAUAUUGAAAUGAAGUUCAAUGUGCCUGCAGUGCCUGGUUCUCUUUCUGUGUUUAUUACAUGUAGUCUUGUUUGUGAUUAUUGGAAGUUUAUUUAUUGACAACAAAUACUUCUUUUACUAGCUAUCAUCGAAAAUUUGACUGCCAAAGUUAAAGCCUGGGAGAUUGAGAAAGGAAUCCCCUUCUUAUAUGACAAGGUAAUCAAAUAUGGUUUAUUAGAUGUUUUUGUUUUUAGAAGUUCUAUGUUAUCUUAAUCUGCUGUGCUUAGUCCAACAACUAGAUGAAUUUCAGGUUCCUCUGUUACAUACGUUGGAGGAGUACACUGCACAACGACAGGAGAGAGAGGAGGAGAAGCGUAAAUCUCGGGUAUGCCUGGACUUGCUACUUUUACUCCACCAUUAGCUAAUAUGCAGAUGAAACACCUUGCCAUCCAGACUUUCAUUAUUUCUGCAAUGCAAAUAAUGUCCACUGCCCAUCUUCUGAUCCUAUAGUUUAAUCUGUUGCAUAAAAUGCUAAAUGUACCGUAAUUGCUACUGGGAAAGUAGAUAUAAUCUCAUUUUUCUGUGUCAAUUUGGCGACUUUAGUCUCUUCAUAUCUGUGUUUCUGUCAUGACUCCUGGAUAUGAUCGAUCAUCUUGAUAACAAUUCAUCUAUUGCCAACUGUGUACCUAAUUGCUAUGCAUGCUAUUGCUAUUUAUCACCAUUCAUUCCGCAAAUGCAUUGUUUCUGCUGCUCUAAUGGAUUGUGCGAAACAUGUCAAUCGAAAUUAGGAGAAAAAGCUAAUAACGAUUUGGCCUAUGGUUAAUUUUUACAGGAGCAAAAACGGCUUCAAGAACAACAUAAUGCAGAACAGGAGGCAAUCUUUGGUUCAAGGCCUUCUACAAAGAAGCCAUUGGGACAGAACACAAGUGCUAACACCAUGGUUGGCACACCAAUCAAUCGCCGCACACCUUUAGGCCGUCAUGGAGUCUCAGCUGGAAAGGAACGCAAGGAAAGCGGAAGGGCACAUAACGUAACGCCCAUUAACUACGUUGCUCUUCCCAAGGAUGAUUCAGUAUCUCGGAGAAACUGAAGAGCACAUAUCUUGCUUUUUAAUAGCUUGUAAAUGAUUUUUUCUUUUCUUCCAUUCGCUACAUGUCGACAAUGUUAUCGAAAGGAUCUUGAAUAAUAGUGUCAUUGUUCUUACUAGGUUUUGUGGCUUGAUUUACAUCCCCAAUAGAUCGGACGAGAUUGACUACAAUACUUACAUGUAUUAAAUACAAUCACCAUCUAACGGUCAAAUAUAAUUUAUAUGAAUAUGUGUUUAAUAUAAUCACCAUCUGAUUGUCGAGAUGCUAAUUGUAUCAAAUACAUGAUUGUAGCCAAAUCUCACAUGUGACAUACCAAAGGAAAUUAACAAAAUAUGGAGAUGGUAAUUUGAGAUUAAAUGCUAACAUAAUGUGGAGGCAAAGUUUAAACAUCAAACCAAAUGCACAACCUAAUUAUUUGAGCGAUAUUCUAAUCUAUUCUAAACUAUGAUUAGAAAGUGUUCGGACUUAAAUACAAGAAGGGUAGCACGUACAUUUCUCUACCUAGCUUGAUUGAGCCCAUGUUUGCAAUGUAUAAGAACAACCUAUAAUUAUUGUUCAAAUAUGUACACAAGUAUUUAGUGAAGUAUAAAAUCAAUAAAGAGAAGUAAUGAAUAUUACAUCAUAAAGUGACUUUGUUGUGUGCAAGAGACAUGGGUUUAGGGGUCACUCGAACAUGCAUUUUAGGACAUCGUGUGUAUAAACACUCUUAAGUAAUUGUGCUACAAGUCUCUUGCAUCGUGACUUCAAUAUUUUUUUGUUUUUUGCAACUAUGAAUGACCAUUCGUGCGGGUUUGACAGCAUAUGUGGUGCGAGGUUUUACUAUCGUGGAGGUAGAGACAGAUGCAAAGGCAGUGGCAUAUGUGGGGAGACUACGGAGAUGUUGGUAGAAGGAAUUGUUCAUGACAUUCGUGUGCUGGGUUUCUGUUUGUAGUCCAUUGUAUUUAGGUUCACCUCGAAAGUGUAACAAAGCCGCCCAUGAGGUGGCUUCUUAGGUUUUUAAAGUCUUUCAUUGGGAUGAUUGAGAGUCAAUUUUGUUGUAAAUGUUGAUGUUAAUAAGGCUCGUUUUAAAGUGUUUUAAGAAUGACAGAAAGUGUUUUUGAUGAUAAUAAUUUUAAAACAAAAAAGUACUUAACAUGCUUUUGGAACUCAAAAUCAAUUUCACCAAAGUAAUUGAGCUACAAGUCUCUUGCAUCGUGACUUCAAUAUUUUUUUGUUUUUUUGCAACUAUGAAUGACCAUUCGUGCGGGUUUGACAGCAUAUGUGGUGCGAGGUUUUACUAUUGUGGAGGUAGAGACAGAUGCAAAGGCAGUGACAUAUGUGGGGAGACUACGGAGAUGUUGGUAGAGGGAAUUGUUCGUGACAUUCGUGUGCUAGGUUUCUGUUUGUAGUCCAUUGUAUUUAGGUUCACCUCGAAAGUGUAACAAAGCCGCCCAUGAGGUGGCUUCUUAGGUUUUUAAAGUCUUUCAUUGGGAUGAUUGAGAGUCAAUUUUGUUGUAAAUGUUGAUGUUAAUUGUUGGAACAAAUAUGUUUUUAUUUAAAUAUUUAAAUAUAUUUAUGUUUUGUUUUACUACCAAUAUUAUAUACACAACAUUUUGCUUUAUUAUCAAUAUUAAAAGUCAAAUUAAUUUUGGCUUAAGGAGUUAUGCAAUCAAACCGUUUUGUUUUUAUUUCCGGUUUGAAUUUAUUCAUGUUUUGAUUUUGUCCCGUUGUGGCUUUUAUGAUUUGUCCGUUUUGAUUUGCAACGGUUUUGCAACCCCAAUUACCCCCUCAACGUCUCUUUAUAUACAUAAUAUAUAUAUACAUAAUAUAUAUAUACAUAAUAUAUAUAUAUAUAUACUUGUUAUGCGAAGGUUCUGUAGCUAACAGAGUAAGAAAAAAUAGUUUUACAUAUUAAUUUAAAAAGCAACAUAUCGAAAAGGUUUAGUUCGAAGGUUCUUCCGGUGGGCAAGGAAGAAUCUUAUUAGAAGAAGGUUCUGGGCUGUUUUAUCCUGGGGACGACGUGGUGUUUGUGAAUUGCUUGCACACUUUGGGCAGAGCCGCGAAACGUCUUAAAGAGAGCGACUUAGUCCGCGACUCAUCCCAAGAAUCAUUCACCACUCAAGGCUUUUACAUUUUUUCGGGUAACUUCGUUCCUUUCUAUUUCAGCUUACAACAUUAAUAAAGCUUGUUUUAAAGUGUUUUUAGAAUGACAGAAAAUGUUUUUGAUGAUAAUAUUUUUAAAACAAAAAAGCACUUAACAUACUUUUGGAACUCAAAAUCAAUUUCACCAAAGCGCUUUCAGUCAUUUAAAAACACUUUCAAAUAGUGUAUCUAUCCAUAUAUGAUAUUAAUGAGUCGGUUUAUAAUUUGGAAAACAAAUAUAUUAUAUAAUGGAAGUGUGGCUGAUGUGCUAAAUUGCGCAUGCAUAUAUUUUCCAAGAAAUAUAAAUAUUUUUCAGUUGUUCUGUUGAAUUGCAUACUACAUUUCCUCACAUGGACACUAAAUGCACAAACCAUAUCAGCACAAAAGAAAAGAAAAUUAAAUUUGAUUAGUUCAACCAAAAUGUUUCAAAUUCCUCUCGUGAAGUUCAAUAAGCUAAAUCUACGAUCCUUUGAUUAAUUAGACAAUUACACAGCUGCAUUUUUGAGUUUUCACAAUUAACAUUGCAAUGACGCUACAUGAUAAAGAUAAUAGAAGACAACUUUUUAGAUGUUUACAAAAAUAAAGAGCUAGGUUCUUACUGUAGAAGUUUGCAGUACUGUAAAUGGUUUUAUAUCAUUGUUUUCUCCAACUAAAAUUUGAACAUUGUAAUGAACAACUAUCAGUAUCUUUACAAUCAACAAAAUAACUCUAAAUUUCCACGUGAAAAACAAAAGGAAAAAUAAUUGAACAGAUACAAACGUGUUACUUGUAUGAAAUAAGUUUCUUAAUUAAAUUUUUAACUUCGAAUUGUAUCCUCACAAAAGAUUAAUGUUGAAAUUGAAAAAACUAGAAUUAUAUUUUCGUUAUCUAAACCAAUCCAGAAGAAGUAAUUAACUCUUAUUCCUCUCAUUUUUUUAAUUUUCUAACCUUUGGACAGAACUUUAAAUGUGGCAUAUUUCCAUUUAAAAGCGAAAUACAUCUUAGCAGAGCAAACUGAAGAAGAGGAUUCCAGAUUAGAAGUGAGAAGUGUAGAUUAUAUUUAAGUUUUUAAUAUUUAGUUACUUUCCUUUUUUAUUUUUGCAGUAUACAACUUGGAAGUUUUUAAUUAGUAUUUUGAAGUUUGGUACAUUUGGAUGAUGGAAAGAGUUUAACGGAACCCACGAGGCCAAUAAGUAUUUGCUACAGAUUUUGCCUUUAGAACAAACUUUAGUUUAUGCUAGUUGUCUUAUUAGUGGGUUCUAAAUACUAUAUUCGUUUACCCUUUAGUGCCUCUCCUCCUAAUUAUUUAUGGAAUUCAACCAACACAAAGUUUCUCCAGCUAAUCAAUUAUUUUCUUAAUAUUUCAAUAUAUAUGAACUCCUAAGAUUGAUGGAAACAUGAAUUUGACACGUAUAUAAAUUUGAAAACAGCAUUGAAAGAAACACUUUUUUUGUUUGUGGCCAACGAAAUGAAUAAAUCAAACGAAAACGAUAGGUAAGAUUAAACAAUAGUGUGUAACAAAAUAAAAAAAAGAGGCAGGUUUAUUCUUUCCCGUUUGAAAAUGAGAAACAGCAAUCGAAUAGCAUAUAUACAAGUUAAGUAGAAGGGCAGCUAGUGGAAAUAAUUUAAACAGAUUUGGUUUGAUGAAUGUUGAGUGUCUCCAUGAUACUCAACAACAGUGACAACUACAAAAAGCAGUACACGGCAGAUACAACUUGUAUGUGGAGAAUCAAUGAUUGUUCUUGCAUAUGAUUAAGCAACAACUAGUGCUUGCCAUGCAGAUAUUACGCUUGUAAUUAUAUUAAUUAAACUCACAAAAUUGACAUUUUUGUUGACAUUAUAUGGAGUAUGUGUCAUCAAAUAUAUUAAUUUUGUACAUCUAAAUAACAUAAUUUUUAACUAAUUGAUACGUUCCAUUAAGGUAAAGAGUUAUUAUUGAGUCUUUUUGUUUUGUUUCUGGCUUUGUUCAUGAUUAUAGUUGAUGAGUAGGAUCAGCACUACAACAUGAUGUUCCCAGUUUGGUUCUCAAUCUCCGAAAGGGAGGACUGGCGUGCCAAAGCCGCCAACUGAUCCCUUUUAAAAAAAAAAAAUUAAAACAAGAAAGAAUUGUUGGAGAGUUGACCUUUGUAAUUAGCUUAGUUACCUGUUUGAGUCAUUGUAAUCAGGAUGUAAUUAGGAUAGAUAUUAUUUGGUGUUUCGUUCCUUGGAAAUCAAUCUUGUACAAUAUAUAUUUCCCUCCUUGGUAAGAAGAAUAACAUCAGAAAAUUAACCCCCAAAAUAAGCCCUAAUUAGCAUGGUAUCAGAGCAGAUAUCCUAGGAUUUCUGCUCUGCCCGUUCCCUCAAGCAAACUCGGCCCUCCCAUGGAGAACCUACCACCACUCCACGAUGGAAACAAUUUCAUCCUAACCGAUCCCACCCCUAUACUAAACACUACAACCUUAAACACUACUACCCUAACUGACCCUACCAUGAAUCCUCCUAUUUCGAGUUCUUCAGACAUGCCUCCGGAGUCCUCAGGUAAUUGUGGUUAUACUUUUAAUAUGAAUAAUUGUCAUACUCAGUUUGGUUGGAUCAUUGACUUCGGUGCCACAGACCAUAUGAUAUGACCUAUGACCUCACUGAUUUAGCUUGUGAUAUUGUUCCACUUCGACGAAAUAUUACUAAUGCUAAUGGUGUCACCUCACCAGUAAUUGGCGUUGGCACUGUACACCUCACGACUACCCUCUCUUUGCCGCAUACACUACUUGUACCUUCACUAAAGCAUAAAUUGAUGUCUCUUGGCCAAGCUACUGAGCAAUUGAACUGUUGUGUACUAUUGUAUCCAAAGUUUUGUCUUAUUCAGGAUAUUCUCACCAAGGAGAUAAUUGGAUGUGGUACUAAGAGGGGGGAUCUCUAUUUUAUGGACGAUGUCAGUACAUGACGAGUCAAUCUCGCCCAAGGAGCCGUUGAUCACAAAAGGUGUCAGAUAUGGUUAUGGCAUCGUCGUUUGGGUCAUCCGUCUUUCAGUUAUUUACAGCAUAUGUUUCCGGAUUUAUUUGUUGGUUGUUCGGUUUUAGACUUUAAAUGUGAUACUUGCGUACUUGCCAAGAGUCAUCGUGUUUCUUAUCCGUUGAAUUCUAAUAAAAGUGCUAUUCCUUUUGGUCUUGUUCAUUCGGAUGUUUGGGGACCAUGUCCGAUUACUACUUCAUCUGGCAUUAGGUGGUUUGUAACGUUCAUAGAUGAUUGCACACGGAUGACAUGGUUAUACCUUCUUAAGCAUAAAAGUGAUGUGUUUCUAGUGUUUAAGACAUUCCACACCAUGGUUCAAACACAAUUUUCUACUAAAAUCCAGAUUUUGCGUUUUGAUAAUGGUGGUGAAUAUGUUAAUAAUGAUUUUACACAUUAUUUAACUAAUCACAGAAUACUUCACUAGACUACUUGUCCUCAGACUCCUCAACAUAAUGGGGUGGUUGAGCUCAAAAAUCGCCAUAUAUUAGAAACAGCUCGAUCGCUAUUGAUUGGGGCGAAUGUUCCCCGCUCCUCUGGGGAUGUUGCUCUUCAGACUGCCACUUACCUUAUCAACCGCAUGCCAUCCAAAGUAUUGAAUUUUCUUACACUUUUGCAAGUUCUUGCUACAUUCAUGCCUUUACCGUAUGUUUUGGUGCUCCCACCACGAGUUUUUGGAUGUGUUGCCUUUGUUCAUCUACAUAAAAAUCAACGGACAAAACUUGACCCAUGUGCUCUCUGUUGCGUUUUCAUAGAGUAUGGACUACAUCAGAAAGGGUACUGUUGCUACCACCCUCCUUCAUGUCAGAUGUAUACUAACAUGGAUGUUACUUUUUCUGAGUCUGAGAUGUAUUACUCUCUGGCUUAUUCUAACCAUCAGCUUCAGGAGGAGACACUGCAUGACGAGCAGGUUUGGACCAUGACUGCUACCACUGAUCUUUCGCUGCCACUAUUAGCCGAGCCAGUAGCCAAGCCCACAAUGGCUGAGUUGCCAGCCCAGCCAACAGAAGCAACAUUGUUGCCCACAGAACCAGCGGCAGGCACGGCAACAGUGCUGCCACUUGUCAAUCUUGAGGCUUCUACUAAUACUACUCCCUCUUGUCUCAGAAUAUAAUAUCGCCAGAUAACCAUACUCCAGAGAAUAUUCCUGAGGUAAGAUAUACUAUCCCUAUUGAUGUAUCCGAUGUUCCGAGUUAUCAGUUACCUUUCAGGCACAACCGGGGAAAGCCACCCAAUCGAUAUUCACCGGAAACAACGAAAGGCUCUAAAUAUCCCAUUGCCAACUAUGUGUCAUCAUAUAAAUUAUCAGAACCAGCAAAGCUUUUGUACAACAAAUAUCCAAUGAUAGCACACCAAGUUCAUUGAAGGAGGCAUUAUCUGAUGAUUGAUGGACCAAGGCAAUGGAGGAAGAAAUGGAUGCACUUCAGAAAAAUCAAACAUGGGAUUUAGUUUUGCUACCCCGAGGAAAGAAGAGAGUGGGAUGUCGAUGGGUGUACACCAUCAAGUACAAAGCUGAUGGGUCAAUUGAAUGUACAAAGCAUGAUUGGUGGCCAAGGGAUACACUCAGACGUAUAAUGUUGAUUAUACAGAAACAUUUGCUCCGGUAGCAAAGAUUAAUACGGUAAGAGUGUUACUUUUGUUGGCGGCUAACUUGGAUUGGCCAUUACAGCAAUUUGGUGUGAAAAAUGCUUUCUUACAUGGUAAUCUUAAAGAAGAAGUGUAGAUGGAUAUUCCACCUGGUUAUUCAUCGGUUUCACAACCCGUAAUGGUGUGUAAGUUGAAUAAGGCAUUGUAUGGAUUGAAACAAUCCCCUCGGGCAUGGCUUGGUAGAUUCUGGACGGCUAUGUGGAAGUAUGGGUUCAGACAGAGCAAUUCCAAUCAUACACUUUUCUUGAAACGUCGAAUGGGUAAAUUGACGGCACUUAUUAUUUAUGUGGAUGAUAUGAUUGUUACGGGUGAUGAUAAAGAUGAAAUCUCAAGCCUGAAAGAUUACUUAGCAACCGAGUUCGAGAUGAAAGAUCUUGGUGGAUUGAAAUAUUUCUUGGGUAUAGAAGUAGCUCGAUCUAAACAGGGUAUAUUUCUAUCUCAAAAAAGAUAUGUUCUUGACUUGUUAGCCGAAACCGGAAUGCUUGAUAGUAAAUCGGUUGACACCCCUAUAGUCCAAAAUCACCAUCUUGUCGUGCACCCUGAUCAAGUUCCCACUAACCAAGAUCGUUAUCAAAGGUUAGUUGAGAGGUUAAUUUAUUUAUCUCAUACCAGGCUUGAUAUUGCAUAUGCAGUAAGUGUUGUUAGUCAAUUUAUGCAUUCCUGAGUGAUACGCAUAUGGGUGCGGUUGACCGCAUUCUACGAUACCUAAAGUCCGCCCCGGGUAGAGGCAUCAUGUUUUCUAAGAAUGGUCAUUGCAGGAUAGAAGGUUAUACCGAUGCAAAUUGGGCAGGGAAUGUGGUCCACAUCGGGUUACUUUACAUUUGUGGGGGGAAAUUUAGUGACUUGGCAGAGUAAUAAAUAGAAAGUGGUUGCUUUAUCAAGUGCAGAGGCGGAAUACAGAGGUAUGGCAAAAGGACUAUGUGAAUUAUUAUGGCUUCAGAGGUUACUCGAAGAACUCGGGUGUCCUUCAAUGUCGGCUUCUAAUUUGUUUUGUGAUAAUAUAGCAGCGAUUGAUAUCUCAUAUAACCCAAUCCAGCAUGAUCGCACGAAACAUGUGGAAGUUGAUAGACACUUCAUUAAGAAGAAGUUGGAUGGGAAUAUUAUUCAAUUCUAGUUUGUAAAGUCAGAGGAUCAAUUAGCGGACAUCUUAACUAAAGCUGUUGCUAGUCAAGCGGUCUACAACUCUCUCGUCAAGUUUGGCAUGAACGACAUUUAUGCACCAACUUGAGGGGGAGUGUUGGAGAGUUGACCUUUGUAAUUAGCUUAGUUACCUGUUUAAGUCCUUGUAAUCAUGAUGUAAUUAGCAUAGAUAUUAUUUGGUGUUUCUUUCCUUGUAAAUCAAUCUUGUACAAUAUAUAUUUCCUUCAUUGGUGAGAAGAAUAACAUCAGAAAAUUAAACCCCAAAAUAAGCCCUAAUUAGCAAGAAUUAGGAAUUUGCUCGGAGCUUUUUUCUUUUCAAUUUAUAUUUUUAUAUUUUGUGAAUUAAAUGUGUCCUUUGAAUCAAUACCAACACAAAUACUUUUAAAAACAAUGAGAUUAUGAGUGGAAUGAAACCUGUUUGGGGAAUUUUCAGAACUAAGUGGGGUCACAAUUUUUGUGGAGGCGUCUAGAACUAAUAUGGUAAAAAGAUGCAAAUUGAGUACGUAUAAGCAGCCAAGAGAAUUAUUGAUUCCAUAAACUUCCGUUGAAAUACAGGCAUUUUAGAAAGUUGAAAUACAGGCAAUUUAGAAAGUUACGUGCAUGUGUAUAUCUGCAUAUUUUCUUGGGCAAAAAAUAUAAUAUGGUUAACAAAAGUAACUAAAAGUGAAUACAUUUUCCUUUUUGAUAACUCAUUAAUUUAUUUGAAUAUUAAGUGACGAAAGUUAAGCGAGAUUAGAUAUUCGACAAUGGUUGUGUGCCAGACACAUACCUUCUCAAAAAGAAGAGGACCAUUAUAACUAAAAAACCUCAUCGGUCCUUGCUCUACCUGUUUUUGAUAAGUUGUGAAAGUGUAUUUUAGGGUAUUUCAAAAAGGAUACAAAAAGCGAAGAAAUUAGUUGAAGUUCCACCAUAAAACCAAUUGACAAUAUGAGCAGUAGCCUAGCUUAUAUAUAAUCCUAUGCAAGGUCUCUCCUCUCAUUAGUGUUGGAUUUAUUAUGAACACUCUCUCUCACAUGUGGUGAAUUUUCAAGCCUAACACAUGGACAACACAAAUAGAGUAAUGUGGAACACUUGUGAGCGUUGGGCUUCACACCUACGAUAACUUGCUCUAAUACCAUGAAAGAAGUUGAGAUUUUACCAUAAAACUAAUCGACAAUCUAGAGAGUAACCCAACUUAUAAGCCUAGUAAAGUCCCAAUGCAAGGUUCUUCAUCUUCCCAUCAAUUUGAAAUUUAUUCACAAGAAAGUCAUUGUAUAUCUUUUUCUGAGAAAUGUUGCCUCUUUCACAUUAAUUAGUACCCCAUAGUGCUUGCUUAUAUCAAGAUGAAAAUUGUAGUAGAGGGUUGCAGAGACAUGCAUACGGUAGCUACAACAACUGUUACUAAUUGAUGUCUUUGGAUUUCAAAUUAGACUUGUGAUAUAUUGACUAGAAACUUUAAGACCUUAGGACUGAAACUCAUCAAAACUUUACUUAAAUUUGUCCUAAAAUAUCUCUAAACCUCCCAAAAUUUUCAAAUAUUGCACCAAAGUCCAGAAAUAAUAUUACUAAAAUUAUCAACGUCGUUGUUCCCAGAAACCAAUCGAAGUUUGGAGAAAUCCUGGAAAUUGAAAUCUCUUCACCCCCUUUCAGGGCAACCAGAUUUUCUUUUGAUAUUUUGAGAGAGAUUAUGUUGCAGAUAUUUCAGUAGCAUGCAUGUUCAAUUGUUCAUGGCUAUAUGUUAUUCACCACUAUAUAAAAAUUGCUAUGGCACAGAGUGGCAUUGGCAAGGUGCAAGUCAGUAGGGUCUUAUCAAUUUUAGAAAAACACUUGGUGGGUUCAAGCAAAUUCCUUGCUUAUGUCGUCAUUGUGGAUAAGUUUCAAAGUUUUGCUGCCAUCAUAAAAGUGUGUGUAUAUAUAUAUAUCUCCAGAGUCUACUAUUUAUAUAUAUUUUUAAUUAAUUUCCUUGAUUGAUUAAUUUAUCUGCUGGGAGAUAUUAUACCAAAUCCGAUUUGUGCGUGACAUUAAGAAUCCAGAAACUUGUCAACCAUUUGUGCGAGGAGAGAAUAUAUGUGUGGUAACCUUCCGUGAAAGCAGAUGAAAUAUUCAUAUAUGCAUGGCUGUGGGUGAUAUUCUUGCAAUUUGUCCACUUAUAUGUACAUGUACACACACACACACACACAUAUAUAUAUUGGGUGAUAUUCUUGCAAUUUGUCCACUUAUAUAUACAUGUACACACACAUACACACACAUAUACAUAUAUGUAUAUGCUGUGUGAGAGACCAAUGGAUAACAGAAAUUUAGUACAGAUUCUAUGGAUCGAGUUACUAUUUCAUGGAAUUUUAAGCGUACUUUAUGAAAUUGGUCGGAAAGAUACAAAUUUAAAGGGCUUGUAAGCUGAAUGCAUUGCCGACUAGGUAAUCAAACUUAAGUUUAAUGUCGAAUGAUAACUUUCUGUCAAUUGUACUAAGUAUUGAGACAAUUAUUGGUAUGUAUUUUAUGUAUUUAACAGACUAAAUCCAAGCAUCAUUGGUUGCUUGCUUGAAUAUUUUAUAUUACAAACCCACAAACCCACAAACUUUUCCCUUUUUUUUUUCUUUUGAAUGUACAUAUGAAAUUGAUACACUGAGAGCAAUAAGACUUGCAAAACUUAUCAAAUAGAUCAGUACUUUGCGGGUGCACUUAAUUAUCAUCUUGAUAGUGUUAUUAUUUUUAGGUGCCAAGAGAUGGCGAAAGAAUAGCCAUGGCAAUAGAAAAUGACAUCCAUUUACGAUGCAUGCAUCAUCUUCCAAUGUGGCCUUUAACUUUGUUACAAUGCACUCAGAUGGCAUAUUAGAAAUCAUAGGUUUAAAAAUAAGAAUGGAACUUUAAGAGUACUGUCUACAUAAUGGACAGACAAGUUUGAAGGAAACUGAUCUUUCUACAGUGUGUAGAUAGUAGUAACCAUACAUAUGCACAUAUGUAGAGAAGUUAGAAUCUGGGGACAAACGUUUUUAUGGAGCUCACUUCAUAAUAUAUUUCAAUAAUUCAACAGUCUAAUUAAUUUUUAUGUAUUACCUCAAGGAUCAUGUCUACCAAAAAUCAUCCAAAUCCAAAUCCGAAACCAAAUGAUUGUUUGAUUAAAUAUUUAGUGUUUCUUUGUAGAACCUUAUUCUUUCAUUUUCUUCACUACACAUGAAUGUCUUAAUGGUUUUAAAUUUGUCUUUUUUUUGCAAAGAUAAUCUAUGAACGAUGUACUAAAAUAUAAAUGAUUCGGAUUGUUGAAACAACAUUAUGAAGUGAGCUACAAAAUGUGUAUCAAAAAUGCGUGUCCUGUAUUUUAACGCACAUAUAUAUAUAUAUAUAUAUAUAUUGUUGUGGCCUAUAUUAACUGAGGGAUGUGGCAUAGAGAGAAAGAGAAAGAUGGAGAAUAGACUUGAGAAAUUGUGUGUGUUAAUUCCCUAGUCCUUGUGCCUUUAUUUAUAGUAAUAAGAAUGAGAGAAACUUGCUCUCCAAGUAAUACAAAGUCUAUUAGGAAAAAUCUUCUAUAUCCCAAAGGAUUCCUAAUCUAUCUCUACUUAGGAUUUACACAAUCACAAUAUGUAUUAGAGCAUAUGUCACAACACUCCCCCUCGAGUGUGCAAAUACUCAAGUAGAUGGCGCAUCAAAUCUUCAGGCAAAUGUACAAGUAGUUGAUGAAGUCGUCUUGUCUAGUCGGCACAAGUAACGAAUGUUAGUCUAAAAACAAACGGAAGAAUGAAUGGGUGAUAAAACUCAUAAAACCUCGCUAUGGAAAAACCCAAGGUGGGACAAAAGCCCAUAGUCAAAGGAGAAAAGUGAGAAGUUGCAUUAAGUCAAAACUAUACAUCUUCGGGACGCAAGUAGAACGUACACAAAUGACCAACCCAAGAUGGGUGCCUCAUCAAAACCUAGUCAAGUAGCAAAAACCAAAUGGGAAAAAUGCUCCUAAUCGGAGGAAAAAAGUACAUUAAGGUCAAGUAAGUAUACUUCUAGAUACUCCUUAUGAGUUUGACAAAACUUCCAAAUGAAACUACAAGCAUCGCAAAUGAGAAAGUUACGCAUACCAAUUCCUCAGACAAGCUUCUGGAAGGUAGACUUCAGCAGUGAUGUUGUAGAGGUCAACAAGGUUGUCUGGGAUUGGACUGCUAGACUUCAAUCUUCUAAUGCUUAUGUUGAUGUAGAUACAAUAUGCUUGGUGUUGACUUGUUGGAUGUAUCAUGAUCUGGUCGAUACAUGCGGCGUUAUCUUCAUGGAUCGUUGUUAGAACUCAACAACUAAUGAAAAUUAAAGAGAGUUUGAAUAUGCUCAACAAGAGUUCUUGACCAUAUCUCUCACGUGAUGAGAUAUAGUGAGUCUUGGAACGAUCCAAAGGUUUCGUAACUAAAGGUCUAUCUGGUUGACCUCCAAGAUAUUGCGGUGUUCCUUAAUGGUAAAGACUUAACCAUUUGGUAACGUACCUUUUGUGGUCAGACAUAUGGUUAGAUUCAACGAAUCCUACUAGGUAGGCAUCAUUCCAAAGAUCAAGAGGGUGUGAUCUAUUAUGAGAUGCAUAGGAAUAGAUAAGCCCAAAUCUGUAGUAAAGGAAAAACAUCUUUAACACCAAUUUGGUGGUGGCAUGUAAGCGCAAUGCUGCUUUAUGCCAAAAGAUUAUCAACACAUAAGAUGUUCGAUCUAGUGCAUUGAGCUAAGUACAACAAACACCAAUUGUACUUAGAUAUGGUUGCCUCACAUUCCAAUAUGUAACCUUAUGCUCCAUACCCUUUGUAAAGGUCUCAUUUGUAUCUAGCAUACAGACGAUCAGGGUAUACUCGGACAUAAAACCUUCUAGGUCUAGUUUGAGUGGUGGACCAGAAUUAGAAUUAGCUCGAAACUUCUAGUUAAGGUCAUGUCAAGUUUUCCCAAGAUCAUUCAUCUUAAAGUUCGACUUUAGGUGCAAGUCAGUUUUCUCAACUCUAGUAUUUUCAAAUUUUGUACACGCAGGGGCAUAUAUCCCUAACUGAUCAAUUAUUCAUUUAGACAGGUAUCCCGCAUCUGCUCGGAUAGUUCUACAUCCAUAAAGUGAAGGCUUUAUCAGAACCGAGAUGAUGUUCUUGUGGUCUAGAACUAUUUGAAUCAAUACAUGUAAGUUAUUUGAAAACUCCAUAUAGGUUCGUAACAGGAUCCCAGAUAUACUACAACCAUGUUUGUAAUGUUGCAAUUAAUCACGUGGCGUACGAGAGAAGCCUUGUGCCACAAGGCAUUAUUCGCACUAUUUCAUUCAUCUCAUUCGUCACAGAUUGAUUCUUUUAGUUAACCAAUCAGUUCUACGUUGAUAUUAAUCAACGAAAUGUGGUUCGUUAUUGUAGCUUUUCAUUUAUGUCGUUAGUAACCAUAUAAAUGAAACAUCAUCUAUGACAAUCUCUUUCCAAUUACAUAUCUCAUCCAAACUAGUAUACUGGACCAAGAACUUUAGGUCUUGGGAGUAAUCCGAAUUUAAUCUUAUGAGAUGAAAAGGAUUGAGACAUCGAUUGAAGGGCGGAUUUGUUCAUGCCACAUUCCUUCACUUUUGGGGAAGUGAAUCCUCGAACUGAGUGAUUUGCAACGCUUAUGGCAUAGGACAUAUUGAUUGGCUAAUCGCCAAUAUACUAGGGUUGGCCACAGUAAUGACGUUCCUGCUUUUGGGACAAAUGCGCAUCGUACAUCUGGUACACAUCUUUGCAGGCACAUUUACAGCUGGUAUAAGUGAUCUCGUCACUUUUGCUAGAUCAGAGGAAAUGUCCGGUUAUACUCUGAUGAUCUAGAUUGGGAUCAAGAUGAGACAUAAUGGGGAUGUCCACGAUAAUUCGAGUCAUUCUUUAGGAAUGUUGAUGUGUUUAUCUCCCCAUAACGAUGGGAAAAUUGUCUCAUAAAAGUGAUAAUUCGCCAAACGAGCAAUAAAGAGAUCGUCUGUCAAAGGUUUUAAGUAACGAAUAUUAGAAGGAGAAUCAUAACCGACAUAGACUCUCAUCCUUCCCUGAUGACCCUUUUUUUAUUUUGUAUGUAAGAGUGGCCCAAAAUGGUACAUAGAUUGCACAAUCAAAGACGCGCAAAUGCGAUAUUUCGGGUUCGUAUCUAGUAACCAACUGACACGCGCUUUAUAAGGUUGGGUCGUGGUGGGCCUUAGGCGGACCAACAUGGUUGUUUGUAAUAUUGCAUGGCCCCAAGCAGAGAUCGGUAACUUGGUACGUAUGACCAAUCGAUCGCUCAAUCAUUUGAAGACAUUUAAUGAAUGCUUCUGUUGGGCAUUCUGGGUAUGAACAUGGGGUACUUAAUGUUCAACUGCAAAACCCAACCGACAUGCAAUAUCCAUCGAAAGUUAAAGUUUUCGAUGUAAAUUCUCCAACUUAUCCAAUCAAAUAGAUUUGAUUACAUAAUCAGGGUGAUGAGCCUUGAGCUUGUUAAUCUGAUCCACCAGUGUGGAGAGUGCAGCCUGUGGACAUCAGCCACACAUGUGACCAAUGUGUAAAAGCAUAAACCAAUACUA